RNAcentral lists this long non-coding RNA (141365 nucleotides) under Hordeum vulgare. Its description in RNAcentral is "long non-coding RNA (HVUL_LNC007185)". The record is from RNAcentral. Lineage: Eukaryota; Viridiplantae; Streptophyta; Magnoliopsida; Poales; Poaceae.
GGAGGGGCUGGUUGACUGGGUGCUCAGGGUGUUCUGGUGCUCUAACCCACCAAGUUUGGGGCCUUGACAUUGGGUAAAACAGUGGCUAGGAAGGUUUUUACCUUCGUGUGAGUAGGCGUUCGACAGUGACUUAGGGUUCUUCCACUCCACCACUGUAAAUGAAACUUAACAGGUUUGGUCUUGGGGUAAAAACAUGUGGUUCCACCAAAUAUGAGCUCCAUUGAACAAGUUUGGCUUUGCAAACUUGAAAAGGUCUCAAAGUGACCAGUACUGUCCCUUACAAAGGAAGUGUGGUCAAACAGAGUCUCACAAAUCCCAUUUUUGGUGUGGAGUCCUCAUUUGGGGUGUUAAACACCUCUGCAAAGUUUCAGCUCUAUUGGAGAAACUUUGCAAAGUAGAGUUGUUCCAACUCUACUCUGGACAGAGAGGGUUUUGGCCUCUCUAACUGCACUUACCCACCUUGGAUCAAGGUGAGAUUUUUGGUGAGCACCUAAUAUGGUUUGGGAGGGCUCCUGUAAUUUUAUGGGAAUUUACUGAGAUACUUUCCUUUGGAAACAUCUCAAAAAGCUAAAACAGACAGAAAUGGUUUUCAGGGUUUUACUCAAAUAAUAUUAAUAUAAAAUAGGGUUGAAAAUCUUAUGUAUGGAAAAUAUAUGUCCUUCUGAGCUUCCAUGAAUUUACUCAGAAUUUCCUAAGGCAGGAAAGUAAUUUUCUUUGUGGAAAUAUCAUUAGUGGCCUUAGAAAUAGACAUAGAUAUAAAAUAGAAAAAUAAUAUUUUAAAUCACUAAUUAGUGUUUUUAAUGAAUGAAAAUGAUAUUAGGAUCAGAUCACCAACUUUAGUUGAGAGUGCCACUUGGCUUCAUGAGCUAGUAGUGUAUCCCAACAUGAUGAAGGUGAUCUUGAUGUAAAGGAAAAAGGGUUUUUGAUGAGAGCAAAAUAAUAAGUUUUUCAUGGGUUGAGUCAUCAAACAAGCAAGCAUACACUCAAACAAGGGUUGAAAUUGCACUCACAACAUUAUUUGGAAAAGUUUUAACAAGCUCUGAUUUUUGCAAUACAGAAAACUUGGGGUGGAAAACAGGGUGUGACAGACCUAUCCCCCUUACAAGAAUCUCGUCCCCGAGAUUCCUAAGCUAAGCGUUAAACAGCUCGGGAAAUUCUGAUCGGAGAUAGUCUUCACGCUCCCACGUGGCUUCUGCUUUGGUAUGGUUGCUCCACUGAACCUUGAAAAACUUGAUGGUGCGGCUUCUGGUGCAACGCUCUGCUUCAUCCAAAAUGCGGAUCGGUCUCUCGCGGUAGGUAAGAUCUGGUUGAAGGUCAAUAGCUUGAUGAUCAAUGUCCUUGUAAAGAUCGGGACGGUUCGGCACUUGCAAACACUUCCUGAGCUGUGACACGUGAAACACGUUGUGCACACCCGAAAGUUCAGGAGGUAGCUCCAACUGAUAAGCUACUUCCCCGCGCCUUGCCGUGAUCUUGAAGGGUCCAAUGAACCUUGGAGCUAGCUUCCCCUUGACAUGGAAACGCUUGGUCCACUUGAGAGGCGUGACUCGAAAGUACACUAGGUCUCCGGGAACAAACUCCAUGUUUCUACGGCGAGGGUCUGCAUAGCUCUUCUGCCUUGACUUAGCUACCUCCAAGUUCUCUCGGACAAGCUGAACCUUGUCCCCUGCUUCCUGCAGUGCUUCUGGCCCGAAAACUAGCCCUUCACUGGUUUCGGACCAAUUGAGCGGGGUGCGGCAUUUCCGCCCAUAUAAUGCUUCGAAUGGGGCCAUUUGAAGACUGGACUGGUAGCUGUUGUUGUAAGAGAACUCAGCAAAUGGUAGGCAGUCUUCCCACUUGGCACCAUGGGCCAAAACACAAGCGUGGAGCAUGUCCUCAAGUAUCUGAUUUACCCUCCCGGUAUGUCCGCCCGUCUGCGGGUGGAAAGCCGUACUGAAGGAGAGUUUGGUUCCGAGAGCUUCUUGAAACUUCUUCCAGAAUCUUGAGGUGAACUGCGUGCCACGAUCGGACACAAUCUCUUUGGGGACUCCAUGGAGACUCACCACUCGAUGAAUGUACAGACUGGCCAGCUGGCUGCCGUCGUAAGUGGUGUUAACGGGGAUGAAAUGGGCCACCUUGGUCAAAUGAUCAACUAUGACCCAAAUGGAGUUAUGACCCUUAUUCGACCGGGGCAACCCGGUGAUGAAGUCCAUGCCGACUAUAUCCCACUUCCAUUCUGGCACUUGAAGAGGUUGUAGCAAUCCAGCGGGUCGUUGGUGUUCAGCCUUGACUCGCUGACAUACAUCGCAUUUAGCGACAUAGGAGCCAAUUUCCCUCUUCAUGCCAUGCCACCAGAAUCGUUCUCGGAUGUCUUGGUACAUCUUGGUACCACCUGGAUGGGUAGAGUACGGUGUGUCAUGUGCCUCUUGCAGGAUCAAGUCCUUAAGUUCGGCCUUGUUGGGUACGCAUAAGCACUUCCCGUACCACAAUACUCCUUGCUCAUCAAUCGAGAAUCCUGGGGCUUUUCCUUCUCGCACCUUCCUCUUGAGGCCUUCAAUACUCUUGUCCCCCUUCUGGGCUUCCUUAAUGUCGUCUGCCAGAGUAGGCUUGACUUCGAGGUUGGCCAGGUACCCUGGUUCGUCUAUCUCAAGUCCUAAGCCCUCCAUCUCUUCAUACAAGGCGGGUAACAUUUCCUUCAGCGCGACGUUCAAGGAGCCUGCCUUCCGGCUCAGGGCAUCGGCUACCACGUUCGCCUUGACGGGAUGGUACUAAAUGCUGAGGUCGUAAUCCUUGAUUAACUCAAGCCAUCUCCGCUGUCUCAUGUUCAUCUCUCUCUGGGUGAAGAUAUACUUCAGACUUUUGUGGUCUGUAUAUAUCUCGCAUCGCUUCCCCAGAAGGUAAUGUCGCCACGUCUUCAGAGCAUGCACUACCGCUGCUAGCUCGAGAUCAUGGGUGGCGUAGUUCUCCUCAUGCGGUCGCAGUUGCCGUGACAAGUACGCCAUGACCCUGCCAUCUUUUAUCAGGACUCCAUCGAGCCCGGUUCCCGAGGCAUCACAAUAUAUCACGAAUUCCUUGUUGAUGUCUGGGGUAACCAAUACCGGAGCGGUAGUUAGCCUCUUCUUCAACUCCUGGAAGCUUGCUACACACGCCGGUGUCCACUCGAACUUCCGGCCUUUCUUCAAGAGUUGAGUCAUAGGUCGAGCGAUGCUCGAGAAUCCCUCGACAAACUUGCGGUAGUAUCCCGCGAGCCCGAGGAAACUCCUGACAUCCUUCACGUCCUUGGGUGAUUCCCAGUUGGCCACUGUAGAAAUCUUAGACUGAUCCACGGCUAAACCGCGUUCCUUCAGGGUAUGACCCAGAAACCCAACUUCGUUCAGCCAGAACUGACACUUGCUGAAUUUGGCGUAAAGUUGGUGCUCUCGAAGCUUUCCCAGAACUAGCCUCAGGUGUUGCUCAUGCUCUUCUUUGGACUUGGAGAAGAUUAGUAUGUCAUCGAUGAACACGACGACAAACUUGUCCAAAUAUUCCAUGAAGACCUUGUUCAUGAGGUACAUGAAGUAGGCUGGGGCAUUUGUCAAACCGAAGGGCAUGACCGUGCAUUCAUACAGACCGUACCGGGUCACGAAUGCAGUCUUGGGUAUAUCUUCUGGUCGGAUCUUCAACUGGUAGUAUCCUGAUCGGCGAUCGAUCUUGGAAAAUACCCUGGCCCCGUUUAACUGGUCAAACAGGUCUUCGGUCUUGGGGAGCGGGUACUUGUUCUUAAUUGUUACUUCAUUAAGGGAGCGGUAGUCGAAGCAGAGUCGAAUGGUACCAUCCUUCUUUGAAACAAACAGAACAGGUGAUCCCCAAGGUGACGCACUCGGACGAAUGAACCCUUUCCUGAGUUGCUCAUCCGGUUGUUUCUUCAGCUCUGCCAACUCCUCGGAACCCAUCAUGUAAGGCUUUUUAUAAAUAGGCCUCGAUCCGGGCAUAAGCUCAAUGAUGAACUCAAUAUCUCGGUCAGGAGGCAUUCCGGGUAGCUCGUCAGGAAAGACGUCCGGGUAUUCACAGACUAUAGGCACUCGAUCAAGCUCUACCUCGGAGAGACUCUUGACUCGAGGUGCGUGAGCCGAUACUGGUUCGGAGACGAACUUGACCUUGACCCCUUGGUUGCUUAUCAUGGUGAUGGCUCUGUUGGCACAGUCCAAAAGACUCUGGUGCUUGGCCAACCAAUCCAUACCGAGGAUUACUUCCACACCUUGUGAUUUAAGCACAAUGAGGUCUGCCAAGAAACUCGUCCCAUUGAUAACUAUCUCGACCCUUCUACACCCUAGGUUGAUCCUUAAUACUGCUCCUGGGGUUUGAAUUGCCAUCUGUCCGCGGAGUAAAGUGGGUUUUAAACCGCAUUUCUCCGCAAACCCUUGAGUAACAAAAGAAUGCGAAGCACCACAAUCAAACAACACUGUUGCUGGAGUUGAGUUGACGAGGAACGUACCCAGAAUGCAGUCCGGGUCUUCCUGUGCUUCUUUUGCAGUGAUGUGAUUGAUCCGGCCCCUACCAUUGAACUGUUGGUUGCGGGGGGCCUGGUUCCUCCCUGGUGCACCUUUACUGGGGUUGGGUGCAUUGGGACGCGGUGCGUCGGGCUUCUUGUUGGGGCACUGCCUGGAAUAGUGCCCAGUCUGACCACACCCAAAGCAGGUGACUUGCCUUGCAGGGUCGGUCUUGACUCCACCGUUGUUGGGCGGUUUGACUACUGGCUUGACUUGCUGCUGAGGCUGAAAAUUCUGGCGGAACACCGGGUACUUGUACUGUUGCUGCUGAAAGUUGGGUCUUGCAGGUGCUGACUGCCAUGGUCUUGGUCUUGCAUUACCGGGUCCGCCACUGCCUAUCAGCUUGCGCUUGCGGGUGUCGUCCAUUGCACGGCGCUUGCCUUCCAGCAUAAGCGCUUUGUUAACCAACUCGCUGAAAGUCUGGCAGUCGCAAACCACCAGCUGGUAUUGCAGGGACUGCUGUAACCCUUCCAUGAAGCGUUCCACCUUAGCGGCCUCAGUGUUAACAUCUUUAGGUGCUAACCUUGACAAGAGAUUAAACUUCUGCAUGUACUCCUUAACAGUUCCACUGCCCUGCCUUAAGGCUCGCAAUUCACGCUUCUUAAUGGUCAUCAGUCCAGGCGGAAUGUGAGCCGCACGAAAUCCUUCCUUGAACAUCUUCCACUUGAUGACUUGCCCUGCCCGCAUGAUCUGGAAUCCAUCCCACCAUGCCCUGGCGGUGCCUCUGAGACAGUGAGAAGCAUAAAGGACCUUCUCAUGAUCAUCGGUGCACUUGACCAGUGCAAGGAGGUCUUCAAUGGUGCGAAUCCAGUCAUCGGUGUCCAGGGGUUCAGUCGACUCCGUGAAUAUGGGGGGCGUAGUCCGCAUGAACUCAGAAAGAGUAGAGCGACCACCGCCAUACUCAUUCCGCGGCGGGUUGUCCACCAGGACUUGGGUCAGCUGCUGGAUAGCGGCAUUGCUGGCUUGACGCUCCUCUCGAAGAGCUUGAAGGAACUGAGCCAUCGUUAAGUUCUCAGGAGGAGGUGGUGGCGGAAGGUCUCUAGGCUGCUCGUGGUGACCUCCAGCGUGAGCUUCUCCUUCGGUUCCCUGCGGCGUCCCUCAAGAGCCGGAGCCGGGGUUGCCGAAGGUGCUGUUGCGGGUUGCGUUCACCAUCCUGUCAUAGAAACAGACAGGUCAAAAUGUCACCUUGCUCGGGAGUACAAGGAUUUGCUCCUAGUAGGAGGGGGUCCAAUACGUGCAUGUGCCAAGUUUUUAAAACCAACGUUUUUGACAAACUGGAAAUUGCAUUCAUGACAACUAGGUGACGUAGUCACUUACAGACUGCCCAAGGCAAUAGGUGACUUACAUCAAGCACACAUACGCAAUUUAAAAACGGAUACAAGGAUACCCUAUACUCGGGUACUCCGAUUGCCUACGCAAAACAAAUCUACGCGGCGGACUGCUCGGUCUCAAAGGCGGACUCAACAUGAUCCUCAUCUUCAUCAACAUCCUCUUCCUUUAUAGGAGUGGAAGAAAGAAUCCGCACGUCUCGGUGUCUCUUGGGCGAGGCGGCGAAGAUCUCAGUGUACUCUUCCGCUGUCAGGCGACGACUCUGAAGAGGGACUGCCUGGAUGGGUAACACACCACCCCUAGUGGCAACAGCUGCCCUCCCUUCAGGUGCGCUUGCCUUCUUUACUUUGCGGUUCUGCAUCUUCUCUGUGUGGAGCAGGCCUUUGACUAGGUGCAGCUCUUGGCGAAGCUUGACUGAUUCCUUAACCAGGAAGUGUGUCAGGGUGUCUGACGAGAGACUGAAGUAGGUCUGAAACCUCAAUGGCAUCCCAUCCUCCAUGGCGGGGGUGAGUGUCCAACUCCCAUCCACUCCUUCCUUAAUGAAAGGUAGAUGACGAGUGACAGGCUCGUUGGCCAUCUUAGGGAGGAUGCUGCGGAGUUGCAUGAGCGCCUCUCGUGCAGCCGCCUCCACUGCCAACAUCAGCUCUCCCAUUUGUGGUCCUUCAAAGAACCAACUAGACGGGGAGUCAUUAGCCUUCACUAUCACGUCCACGUGAUAUUCCUUGGUGUCGGCGUUGACCCAAUGCUCGUGGUAGAGGAAGAUGGGCGUGCGUCGGACAUGGCACUUCUCGAGACAAUCCACCAGAAGUAGUGGAAAGCCGGUCUCCAGAAGCGUCUCAGGUACAGCAGCCAUCUACAAGGCAUAGGAGAGAAGUCAGGAGGUUGUAUGUGCAAGAGUCUUGUGCAAGGCUGGAUUCCUAACGUUCUUGGUUAACGUCCAUGCUAUCUAAGGCUUCCGAUAGUCAGGAUGGCUCUGAUACCAGUUCUGUGGGGACCCAGACUAGCAAGUCGAGUUCGCCGUGCCCAGUGACCCCAAGGAUCAAUGUUCACUGAACACAGAUACUGAGUGAUAGAGUCUUACAUCCAAGUACCAAAUUAUUACAUCAAAUGACCAGAAGGUCGGGUUCAAGAGCAAGGCCUAAAGCCAAAUAAAGGGAUACAUCGAGUAGCGUAAACUCGUAAGGGCUAAGCGGUGCCCAUGCCAUCAAGCCUACACCGACAGGCAUUCUGACUCGGAAGCGUCCUAGAUCGCAGGUCCAUCUCCGACGGCGUACUCAUCGCCAAACUCCGGUCCUUCCAUGUCUAGUCAAUAACAUAACCAGUGGCAAGCCAAUGAGUACUUUGAAUGUACUCGCAAACAGCCCAUGACAUAAAUGGUAAUGAAUGGAAGUAACAUGCAUCUUUAAUGGAAUGCGAUGAGGUGGUAUGAUCAUGUAUAUGCAUCAGGUUAAAGAAUUACUUUUGAAGAACAGGUUACAGAUAUCAUCAUCUUUGCUAAGGGUUGAACACACCGGGUUCACCCUAUAUGCCAAGUCAUCGGACUUGUCAUAAUCUCAAGGUAUUAAUGAGGGCUAAACCAUCCGGGUUUACCCUAUAUGUCAAGUCACCGAACUUGAUCAUAUUAUUGUGAUUAUCAUGAUUAUAAUGACACCUUUUUAACACCACACAAACACACACUUGGUUUAUGCUGAAACUCAGGACGUAGUUUAAGCAGCACCACCCAAAUGUCCUUGACCGUGGACACGGCUAUUCGAAUAGUUUACACUCUGUAGAGGUAGUACGCUGGACCCACGAGAAACGGAAUACUUCCGUGUCGUCCACGACUCGCGGUAUAUCACAUAUACCUGAGGUAAGUAACCGAUCAUCAUCUUUCCCCUGACGAUACUAGACAAAGAGAUCCACUCGAUUGGUACCCAGCCCACAUGUUGUACGUCUUAUGAGCAUUGACUCUGGACUGUAUCAACCAUGCAGGGACCAACGGUGUGCCUGGAACUCAUAAUAAUGGCAUAGUCGUCCUACCUGGCACGACCCCAUCACGAGAGUGACACCGAUCACUCCCGCCACUAGUAAUGUGGCUCUUUGCUAGCACCCACCAGAGUAAUCAACAAAGCCCCGUCCCAUAAAGGGGUAUCGUGGUCGUACUGGGUAAGGUUGGGACGGUCGACACAUCAUAAAUCUAAUCCAUUUCCGAAACCAUACUCACACCAAAAUCACCGGUGCAUCACUUCACCAAAAGUGAUCACCAACUCAUCAUCACGUUCGGGCAUUAGUGGCACCCGACGGGGUUUUUAUAAACUCUUUAUUCAACUCAUCAUCAUGCUCAUGAUAAAAUGCUCUAUUAUUACUUGUCAACUUGAUGUGCCUUAACAUUACUUGUCAACAUGAUAGUAUCAUGACCCUCACGGGGUCAAGCUCAAUGCAGUGAUUCUACUCUACUAGCCAACAUGACAGUAGCAUGAUCCUCGUAGAUGGUAGGAUCAGCUCAUCAUGCUCAUGCUCCGAGGAGCCAUGUGAAAUCACUACCAUAAUGCAAGGGCUUGGAAGAAGCCUUCGGUACCAUCACAUCAAUGAUGAACCGACAUAGUGAUUACAUGCAACGGCAAAUACUUGCUAUUCUAGCAUGCAUCAUUUUAUUUACUUAAGUCAUGGAAAAAGGGCAUGCUUGCCUUGGUCAACUAGGUAUCCGGGGUCUUCGAGGUCUUCCGCUCCGGAUCCUCCGUCACUCGGUAAUUCUACCGUCGAGAAAGGAAUAAAUAAAUACUAGCUUUUACUAAAACAGUUCACAAAGUGCUUUUAAAAAUGUUGCAAGGCCUGAAUAAAUCUAGGUUAUUAUUUUGAAAAAUGUUCCCUACAGUUUUAUUAGCUAAGCAUAUUUAUUUAAAAGCAAACAGAAGCAAACAAGUGCUUUUUAAUAUCAUUUUAUUAUACCAAAAUAGUUUCUGUUAUUGAUAAAUGUCAACUAUUACAGAAUCAAAUACUACUCAUUUUUAGAAAAAUACUGGUGGAAGAAUUAUAUUUUUCUACUGGCUAAAUCUUUUUAUAAAAAUCAUUUAGUUUGCUGGAUUAAAACAGAAGAAAAAGGCCAGGGAAACAGAUCCAGCCGGCCCAGCCAGUAGGCCUGGCCACCAGGCACGCACGGGCCAGGUUCAAACCUGACCUGCGGGCCCCUGGGGUGAGCGUCAGCGGCUGCGCGCGCUGGCUUCCCUAGGACACCGAUAGGUGGGCUCCACCUGUCGGGUCCUUCUCCUACCACUGGCCACAGAGGUGGAGAUGGACGUCGACGAGGCCGCCGUUGUCCUCAGGCCUAGCUAGGAACGGGAACGGGUUCCUCGUGCCUCCGCCUACCUGCUCGUGGUCGGGACGUCAUCGGAGGUGGUCUCGGUCGCCGGCGACGAGGUGCUCGUGGCGGAAGGGUUUCGGGUUCGAGUUGAACUAGGGGCUAGAGGUAUGGAUUUGCUCGGGAGAGUUAGGGGAAAUGUUCCUGGUGUCGAGGGGAGUGUAAUGAGAGGUCGGGCAGCGCAGGAGCCGACAUGUAGCCGGAGAUCGACCGGAGCUCCUAGGCAGAGGGGCCUCGGUCGAUCUCGAGCACCGGGGCUCUGCGAGCUCGAUUGGGCGGCUAGGGAGUGUCUACUGGUUGUGCUGAAGCUGCUUGGAGGGUGCUGGAGUGCCGGGGGGGUCUACUUAUAGGCCAACGGCGGUGACCCGACUCGGGCACGCCGGGGACUCACCGUGGCACGCGCGAAAGCACAGUGAGGUGCUGGCCGCGAAACCACGGGUUCGAGACGUGGUUUAGGGCCUCCUGAUGCAACGGCCGCAGAGGGAAAGUGAGUGGGGACGAGCUGCAGCGAUCGUGCAUGCUCGGUCGCGUCGGGCGCGCACGGGCUCGCGUCGCCUGAGCUCUUGCGCGAGGGGGAGAGGGUCCCUGGGGUAGCUUUGCACUGAGGGGCUGUCGGGGGAGUGAUUGGACACUACUGGGGAGGCUGGGACCGGCCGGAGCGUCGGCCCCUUGCGGGUGGCUCUCUGCAGCGCGCCCAGAGCGCAGUUUUGGCAUGCCACGGCUUGCUGGCUCGCUCUGGGCACUUGGGACGUGUCCUCCAUGUCCUGAGUGUUGCUGGGAGUGUUCCUAGACGUUGUGGUUUAGUGGGAGCUCGAGCUGGUCAAGGGAGCAAGGAACACUAGUGUUGCCAGUACUGUCCUGCAGCUCAAAUUGGAGUUCUUGUCACUUGUGCUUGGAAUUGGGGAGGGACUGGUUGACUGGGUGCUCAGGGUGUUCUGGUGCUCUAACCCACCAAGUUUGGGGCCUUGACAUUGGGUAAAACAGUGGCUAGGAAGGUUUUUACCUUCCUGUCAGUAGGUGUUCGACAAUGUCUUGGGGUGCUUCCACUCCACCACUGUAAAUGAAACUUAACAGGUUUGGUCUUGGGGUAAAAACAUGGGGUUCCACCAAAUAUGAGCUCCAUUGAACAAGUUUGGCUUUGCAAACUUGAAAAUAUCUCAAAGUGACCAGUACUGUCCCUUACAAAGUAAGUGUGGUCAAACAGAGUCUCACAAAUCCCAUUUUUGGUGUGGAGUCCUCAUUUGGGGUGUUAACACCUCUGCAAAGUUUCAGCUCUAUUGGAGAAACUUUGCAAUGUAGAGUUGUUCCAACUCUACUCUGGAUAGAGAGGGUUUUGGGCUCUCUAAGUGCACUUACCCACCUUGGAUCAAGGUGAGAUUUUUGGUGAGCACCUAAUAUGGUUUGGGAGGGCUCCUGUAAUUUUAUGGGAACUUACUGAGAUACUUUCCUUUGGAAACAUCUCAAAAAGCUAAAACAGACAGAAAUGGUUUUCAGGGUUUUACUCAAAUAAUAUUAAUAUAAAAUAGGGUUGAAAAUCUUAUGUAUGGAAAAUAUAUGUCCUUCUGAGCUUCCAUGAAUUUACUCAGAAUUUCCUAAGGCAGGAAAGUAAUUUUCCUUGUGGAAAUAUCAUUACUGGCCUUAGAAAUAGACAUAGAUAUAAAAUAGAAAAAUAAUAUUUUAAAUCACUAAUUAGUGUUUUUAAUGAAUGAAAAUGAUAUUAGGAUCACAUCACCAACUUUAGUUGAGAGUGCCACUUGGCUUCAUGAGCUAGUAGUGUAUCCCAACAUGAUGAAGGUGAUCUUGAUGUAAAGGAAAAAGGGUUUUUGAUGAGAGCAAAAUAAUAAGUUUUUCAUGGGUUGAGUCAUCAAACAAGCAAGCAUACACUCAAACAAGGGUUGACAUUGCACUCACAACAUUAUUUGUAAAAGUUUUAACAAGCUCUGAUUUUUGCAAUACAGAAAACUUGGGGUGGAAAACACGGUGUGACAGUUAUGCUGAGUCAAAACCUUGGAAACCCCAUUGACCAGCUCAAAACCCCUAUAAACCUCGCGGGGUUUCGCCUAACCCUAGCUCCGAACGUCAAUCGUCCGAUCAUACCCUAGCGCUAAGCGACAGCCCUCAGAUCACAUGGACAGGUUGUGUAGUGCUCUGCACCAUUGGAUCACAUGGAGGGCUCCGCAUCGUUGGAUCAUGGGGCGAUCCACGAGAGUUUUAUGUUGUGCUCGCCCACCCUUGCCUCCCCUUUCUUCUGAUGCUUAUUUUGCGGCGAAGAGAGGAGCCACUCCUUUGCUUCUUUUUCUCCGGCGACGAGAGGAGCCACUCCUAGACUUCUUCUUCUCCGGUGACUUUGGGUGGUAUGUCGAGCUCCACUUCAGCCUCCCGCCCCUCGUGGACCCAGUAUGUUCCACUUCCCAUGGAGCGAUGUCCUGAAUGCCCAUGCAAAGCGCCACUGAUAUGGUUGACUUUGAAGGAGGUCAAGAAUGGAAAAUAUGGGCGUGAGUUUGUGAAAUGCAAGAGCAAGCCAGAGGGGCAGUUAGAUCUCAUGAUUUUUCUCUGAUUUGUUUUUCUAUUUGCUUUUAAUUCUUUUUCCUUGGAUAUGGGAUUUAGGGUUCAUGUUUUCAUUUUAGAUCGUGAAGAAAUGCACACAUUUUGAAUGGCUGGAUGACUACGUUAAGCGGAUUCAAUUCAAUGGGGCCCCAACCCGGGAGCUCAAUCUUCCCUGAGCACCAACGAAUUUGGUCUCUGAAAGUGCUGCUUUGACAGUUGGAGAUGCAGAUCUGAAGGGGUAAUCAAAGAAGAUGAACUAGAACUUGACGUAGAUGAUUGAAUUGAAUAAGCACGCGAAUAUGAUAGCUUUAGGAUUUUAUCCCUUUUAUUUUUGUAUAGUUGCUCUAAGAUUUUCUUACUUGUUGGUCAUCACUCAUUAGAGAUGUUAUGUAACGCCCAAGAUGUGACCCUAUCCUUAAUUUGGCACGUGGGCCUUGUCAGGUAUAGAAGUACAUCUCGUCGUUUCGCAAGAAUGGAUAUCGUUACAAGUACAUGUACUGAAAAGAUGAGAUAUACGGAAUUGGCUUACACUUGCCACAAGCUACAUCAGAUUCACAUCAGUACAAUACAUAAUCAUUAUGAAGAAGAGCAGGGUCCGACUACGGACAAACACAAACGAGAAAGAAGAACGACAUCCAUCCUUGCUAUCCCAGGCUGCCGGUCUAGAACCCAUCCUAGAUCGAUGAAGAAGAAGAAGUAGAAGAAGCAACUCCAAAUGAACAAUCAACGUGCUCGCGUCAAGUAACCUUUACCUGUACCUGCAACUGGUGUUGUAGUAAUCUGUGAGCCAUAGGGGACUCAGCAAUCUCAUUUCCAAAGGUAUCAAGACUAGCAAAGCUUAAUAGGUGAGGUAUGGUUAAGUGGUGAGGCUGCAGUAAGCGACUAAGCAACAUAUGAGGUGGCUAACUUACGAGUACAAGAAUAAAGAGGGGGAAGAUCUACGCAUUACGGACGUCAACUACUGAUGAUCAAAUGAAUUAUUCUGAACACCUACUUACGUCGGACAUAACCCCACCGUGUCCUCGAUCGGAGUAGGAACUCACGAAAGAGAUAAUCACGGUUACGCACUCAGUUGGCAUAUUUAAUUAAGUUAACUUCAAGUUGUCUAGAACCAGUGUUAAACAAAGUUUCCACGUUGCCACAUAACCGCGGGCACGACUUUCUGAAAGAAUUAACCCUGCACGGGUGCUCCUACUAAUCCAUCACAAAUUACCACAAACCGCAUAGAAAUCCUCAAUCACGAAACUCGCGAUCUCGUCGGACUCCUUAGUGGAAAACCUCAACUCUGAGAUUACCCAAAGCAUCACCGGAAUCCCGAUGCACAAGACAUUCGUCAAAGGGAAAACUAAUCCAGCAAGGCCACCCGGUGUGUCGACGAUCCCGAUAGGAGCCGCGUAUCUCGUUCUCAAGACACGACGGAUGAGUGUACCGUACAGUGGCCUGAUAGAAAUCUCCCGAGUUUCCCUGGGUUGGCAACGCAAACGGCUCUGUUUUGGACCAGCACCAUCAGCUUGCUUGACGCCCUAUGCUUUCAGUAUUAACAAAAUUAUUAUGUUGGGCAAAUGUAGUACCAAUGUUGGGCCUUGCCAGACCAGCUUUAAUCUAAAACGAAUUAUCAAGGGGGUCCCCAUAACAACCCCGAUCGUGUUAGGAGCGCUCAAUUAUGAAAAAUAACACCGGUAGAAAGGCCGAACCUUCCACCCUUUACCAAGUAUCUGGGUGCAUUAAAUUAAAUAGCAUUUAAUAGGGUGAUAUAACAAGGAACCCAUGUUAACACAUGGAAGCAACUGCACCUGCAACUAGCAACGCUAACACAUGGUUAAGCAAGCGGUAACAUAGCCAAUCAGUGGUUUGCUAGGUUGUGAACAGGUUGAAGGUUUUCAUGGCAAUGUUGAGGGGCUGAUAUUUAACAUGUGGUAGGCAACGAGACAUAACGAUAGAAACGGUAAAACUAGCAUGGCAAUGAUAGAAAUGGUAUCUGGGGAAAUGGUCAUCUUGCCUGAGAUCCCGCUUGGAAGAAGAACGACUCCGUGAAGCAGACGAACCAACGUAGUCGAACGGAUCCUCACAAUCCGACACGCUUGCAGAACUCUAUCGAGACGAAGCAAACCAGAAACAAGAAUCAACACAUGAUAUGCACCACACGAUGCACAACACAUAUGAUGCAUGAACGGCUGAAUAUAGGCAAGACAUGGCAUAGCAAUUCACAACAAUCAAACACUACACAUUAAGUGAAGUUCAAAAUGCAACGAGUUGCAUAUUGACAAAACUCCACAUACGAAGUAGUUAGUUCUAUCCUGAUUAGGUACACGGCAAUAUUAAAUGUUGUUUAAACAUGGCAAGAGGUGAAGCAUAAUUAAACUACCUAUCUAGACAUUUUAAAUGAGGCCGGAAAUGACAUAUAGAAUCUCCGAAAUGACCUGACAUGUUAAUUUAUAAUUCUUCCAGAUCUGAAUUAACACGUUUAAAUAUUUGUUAAACAGAAAAAAUAAAUAGGUUCACGUGAUUCUAUGCAUCAUUACAAACAAUUUACACACAGAGAACAUCUCCAACGGAGCUACGGUUCAAAAGAUACGAACACCGCAAGAUAUGAUGACAUGAAUGCAAUAUGUGUGCAACGACAGUCACAAGCAUUUCAAAACACACAAUCAGCAAGAUAUUAUGAAACUACAUGAGAUUCUAAGCAAGUUUCAUAUAGGUCACAAUCAAAACGGAGCAACGGUUCAACAAUUACAGGCUAAACAAGAAAUCACUACAAUUUGCCAAAAUCAGCCACAUAGCAUUUUCUACACCCCACAACUAUGAGCUACAUAAAUCCAAUAUGCUCAACCAAGGCAUGAGACGAUAGAGGGAAAGAUGCACUACAACAUACAACUAAUAACACCUAGCAUGGAAGCAUGGAUCACUAGGAAAAGAAGUCACAAAAUGGCACCUCACACAUAGUUUCAGACUUACAGAAAAACACAGUUUAUGAAAGUGCAGUUUUCGAUCUGAAGGCAUAUUGACAGCAGCAAAACCAUAAGCUACAGGACUCCAAAUGGCAUGAAAGUUCAUAGCAUGCUAGAGAAUCCUAAAGUCUACAACUAACUCCAUUGCACCAACCUCAAAAGAGCUAUAGAACACCAGAUAAACUCAUGACAAGACAACAACAAAAUAUAAUAGAUUUCAGACUUAGAGAUAUUACAGCAACUCCAAAUCAGCACUAUUUCCUAGCAAGUUGAGAACAAGCAAACCACACCUAAACAUGGAUUUCUAUUGCAACCAAAAUUACCAGAGGCUAGUCUACACAUCCAAGGGCAUAUCUCUAGUUGACAACUCCUUCAUAUCUUGCACGGAUUAAAUCCCACAAAAUAAACAAAAGGGCAACAUGGCAAAAUAUCACGCGCACUAACUUGCUCAAAAGCUAAAACUAAAUGCACAGUUAAAUCCUAUGGAUUUUUCUACCCCGAAAACAUAUAUAACAUGUGGGGUUGCAAAACAAAAAUAACGCCACACGAAUAUGCGAGAAUAUGUCCUAAACACGGUAUAACAAACUAGCGACGGAAUCCUACGUGCAAAAAUACAAACAACUACUCUAAAAUACAUGGCAAAGGGUCCCUAAAAACAUGAGCAUUUUAUCUACGGGGUUUGAGCAAUCCGGACACGCAUGGAAAUAAAUACGGGGCAAUUAACCUAUUAGGACAGCACGCAAAACUAGGCAUUCGGAUGGUCAAACUAUUUCAAACAUGCAUGCAAGUUACAAAUUAUUAAUCUAUGCGGAAAACUACACAAGUUCCAUAUACAAUACGUCGCGAUCCGAUACACGGUUUAAUAUAUACGGGCAUUCUAAAAAUCUAUAACUUCCAGUAAUAGAAUUAAAUUCUAAAUCCUAAAGAACACUAUUGGGCCGGAUUCGAAUCUAGGCCGAAUUAGUGGUAGGGGCGCUUCUUACUAAAACGCGCCACGGGCGAACAAUAACGCGAGCGGAGGAGGGCCUCACCUAGGGCCGGCUCGGUCGCCGGAGGCAGCUGGGCCGACUGGCCUUCGCGUAGAGGAAGGAGGCCGAGGCGAGCAGUCCUGGGGCGGGGAGGAGAGCACUCACACGCGGAGCAUCGUCUCCACGACGACACCGGUCGUAUACCUCCUCUCCGGCAUGGUCGGUGCGAGCUGGAAGGUGGGGCCGUUGUACUACAACCUUGCCUGGCUUUGAGAGUGCUCUGGGUUUGGGUGAAGAAGAGAUGGGGGCGGCGCAAAUGGAUGUGUGGAGAAUAGGUGGACACGUGGGUGGUUUAAAUAGAGAAAGGGGAAGGGAAGUGGAGUAGCACCAGCCACGCUUUUGAUUUGCUACGUUCAAACGAGCGUCGUCGAUUGAUAUGUCACUUUAAUUGCCAUGUUCAAUAGAUGUGAGCGGAUCGAGGAGACAAGCGUGCGGGAUGAGAUGAACCAGCAGCAACGAACGUCCGUGGCAGCUCGUGUGCAGAAAGAGGGGUGGUCAGUGCAUCGUGGCGGCGGGUAUUAGAGCAUGCAGGCAGUCUAGCUACGUGCAUGCAUAGCAGGCUCAUGUUGAUGCGCCGUGUGCAGGGCCCAACAAUCUUACCGUGGCCCAACGGGCAAACAUAUGCACCGUCCGACGCGGCCCCAAUUGUCAGGUCCAACGGGCGACGCAAUCCAGCAUGGCCCAACUCGUCAGAGUUAACAGUCAAAGCACUGACCCAAUGGCAUCCAUCGUUUGUGACCAUGUAUGAGGGUUUCAGACAAGGGAGUGGGGAAAAGUGAGAAAAAGUUAAGAGCGUGGGGAUGAAUGAGUAGAGCUAAGGAACGAGGGGCAUGGAUGUAAAAAUCCCAAAUAACAAUUGUUCAGGUUCAUCACCAACAUUGAUGGUAAUUGAAGAGCGAGUGUGCCGACGCCGAUCACAUCAACCUUGGAACCAUUUCCCACGCGCAUCGUCACUUCGUCCUUCGACAACCUUGGACUAUUCCGCAGUUCCUUUUUUGAGUUGCAAAUGUGAGAAACCGAACCGGUAUCAAAUACCCAGGCACUACAACGAGAGUUGGUAAGGUACACAUGAGUAACAUGUAUAUCACAUAUAACUUGUUUGUUGUUGACCGCCUUCUUGUAGGGCAGUUACUUGGGGCAGUUCCGCUUCGAGUGACCAGUCCCCUUGCAAUUAAAGCACUUAGUUUUUGGCUUGGUUCCAGCCUUGGGUUUCUUCUUGGGAGGGGCAAAUGCUUUGCCACUCUUCUUGGAGUUAUCCUUAUUUCCCUUGCCAUUUUUCUUGAAACUAGUGGUUUUAUUGACCAUCAAGACUUGAUGCUCCUUCUAAAUUUCUGAUUCGGCGACUUUCAGCAUCGCAAACAGCUCGGCGACAGAUAUGUUCAUCCCUUGCAUGUUACAGUUCAACACAAAGCCUUUGUAUCUAGGUGGAAGUGGUUGAAAAACUCUGUCAGUGAUUGCCUCUCACGGGAGAACAAUUCCCAACUCAGCCAGAUGGUUGGAAUACCCAGACAUUUUGAGUAUGUGUUCACUGACAGACUCGUUCUCCUCCAUCUUGCAAGCAUAGAACUUACCGGAGGUCUCAUACCUCUCGAUCCGGGCAUUCUUUUCAAAGAUAAAUUUCAACUACCGGAACAUCCCAUAUGCUCCAUGACGUUCAAAACGUCUUUGAAGUCCCGGUUCUAAGCCAUAAAAGAUUGCACACUGAACUAUUGAAUAUUCAUCAGAACGCGUCUGCUAGACGUUCAUAACGACUUCAGUUGCCUGGGGGAUAGGUGCAUCACCAAGCGGUACAUCAAGGACAUAAGCCUUUUGGGAAACCGUGAGUUACUUCCAUCAUCUUUCAACUUCUCUUUCUCUAGGAACGCAUUAAAAUUCAGGGGUGCUACUGUGUGAGCCAUUGAUCUACAGCAUAAAUUUGCAAAGAUUACUUUAGACUAUUGUUCAAGAUAAUGAGUUUAGUUAAUCAUAUUACUAAAAACUCCCACUCAAAUUUACAUCCCUCUAGUCAUUCAAGUGUUACAUGAUCCAAAUUCACCAAGCCAAGUCCGAUCAUCAUGUGAGAUGAGGUGGUUUCAAUGGUGAACUUCUUCAUGUUGAUCAUAUCUACUAUAUGACUCAUGUUCGUCAUUUCGGUCUCUUGUGUUUUGAGGCAAUGUCUGUACAUGCUAGGCUCAUCAAGUUUAACCUGAGUGUUCCGCAUGUGCAAAACUGUCUUGGACCCGUUGUAUGUGAACGUAGAUUCUAUCACACCCGAUCAUCAUGUGGUGCUUCGAAAUGAUGAACUUCUGCAACGGUACACACUCGGGGAUAACACAAAUUUAUCUUGAAAUUUUAGCAAGGGAUCACCUUAUAAUGCUACUGUCAUCUUAAGCAAAACAAGGUGCAUAAAAGGGUUAAAAUCACAUGUAAAUCAUAAGUGACAUGAUAUGGCCUUUAUCUUGUGCUUUUGAUUUCCAUCUCCAAAGCACCGGCAUGAUCUCCAUCGUCACUGGCAUGACACCAUGAUCUCCAUCAUCGUGUUGUCGUCAAGGUUGUCGCGACAGCCAUGCUUCUACCACUAUUGCUACUGUUUAGCAAUAAAGUAAAGCAUUACAUAGCGCUUAAUAAUGGACACUCAUGUCAUACAAUAAUUACAUGCAACCCUAUGGCUCAUGCGAGUUGCUGUAGCAUCGACAUGCAAGUCAAUAUUAACUAUUCCAAUAUGAUCAUCUCAUAUAUCAAAUAUAUGUUAUCAUGUCACUUGGCCAUAUCAUAUCACAACAUACCCUAUAAAAACAAGUUAGGCGUCCUCUAAUUUGUUGUUGCAUGUUUUACGUGGCUACUAUGGGUAUCUAGAAAAAUGCUUCUUACCUAUGCAAAAUCAAAAUGGUGAUACGCAAGUUGCUAUUUAAACUUCUAUAAGGACCACCUUUGUCAAAUCCGAUUCAACUAAGGUGGGAGAGAUAAACACCCGCCAGCCAUCUUACACAACAAAGUUACAUGGCAUUCGAUGGAACUGGUCUCUCGUACGUGGACGAGUAAAGUUGGUCCGGGCCGCUUCAUCCCAAAAUACCGUUGAAUCAAGAAAAGACUAAGUAGGGAAGAAGUCUAAAUAUCAAUACCCACAAACUCCUUUGUGUUCUACUCGUAAUGUUAUCUAUGCAUAGACCUAGCUCAUGAUGCCAUUCUUGGGUAACGUUGCAUGGGAAAAAAUUCCUACGGUCCCAAAGAUCGAUUUAGGAGAUGCACAUCUACGAGAGGAGGGAUUGAAUAUACAUACCCUUGUAGAUCACGAAGCGAAAUCUUUCAAGAAUGUGGUUGAUGUAGUGGUACGUCUUUGCGAUCCGAUCACGAUCUGUCCCAUGAACUCCUGAUCAAAUGCGGAACGGACGGCACCUCCGCGUUCAACACACGUACGGCUUGAUGACGCCUUCACCUCCUCGAUCCAGCGAGCGAUAGUGAAGUAGCAUCCCGAGUCCUCGGGCAACACAACAGCGUGCUGAGAUGGUGGUUGUGAUGGCUCGGCACGGCUUCGUCGCAUAAUAUUUAGAGGAGAAGAACUAUGAUGGAGAGGAUGAGCAGCGCGGUAGUACGUUAAGGUGCAGCUGCCCUCUCUUUCCCUCUCUAUAUAUAGGGGGGAGGAGGGGAUGGUGCCCCAAAGUUUCCCCAAGGGGCUGGCAGCCAAAGGUGCAGGCGGCGGCCAGGGUGGGCCCUCCCACCUAGGCGCCUUGCCACCCAAGUUGGGCUAGCCGGCUGCCAUAGGGGGUGAGGCCCUCCCUUGGCCGAAGUGGGCUAAGGUGUGGGUGGUGCCUAGCCCCUUGUGAGCUGGUGUGCCACCUCUCCUUGGACCAUGAGGCCUCAACACUUACUCGGGCCUCCCAAAACUCCUUUUGACACUCCGUCGUUUCCUUGAUAUGCCCCGGAACACUUCCGGAGUCCGAUACCCUUCAUCCUAUAUAUCAAUCUUCACCUCCAGACCAUUCCGGAAUUCCUUGUCAUGUCUGGGAUCUCCUCCGGGACUCCGUACAACCUUUGGUCACCAACACAAUGAAUUGAUUAUGCUUAUAUCGUCACCAAACGUUAAUUGUAUAGACCCCGCGGGUUCGAGAACUAUGCGGACAUGACCGAGACACUCUCCGGUCAAUAACCAAUAGCGGGACCUGGAUGCCCAUAUUGGUUCCUACAAAUUCUACAAGUAUCUAUAUCGUUCGAACCUCGAUGUAAAGGGUUCAAUCAAUCUCGUAUACAAUUCCCUUUGUCCAUCGGUAUGUUACUUGCCCGAGAUUCCAUCGCCAGUAUCUCCAUACCUAGAUCAAUCGCGUUACCGAAAAGUCUCUUUACUCGUUUUGAAAUACAAGAUCUCGUGGUUAACUCUUUAGUCACAUUGCUUGCAUUCUUGUUGUGAUGUUGUAUUACUGAGUUGUCCCUGAGAUACCUCUCCAUCACACGGAGUGACAAAUCCAAGUCAUGAUCCAUGCCAACUCAACAUACACCCUCGAAGAUACAUGUAGAGCACCUUCACAGUCACCUAGUUAUGUUGCGACGUUUGAUACACACAAGAUACUCCUCUGGUGUCAGUGAGUUGCACGAUCUCUUGGUCAUAGGUAGAGAUACUUGACAUGCAGAAAACAAUAGCAAUAAACUGACUCGAUCAUAUGCUACGUUUAUAGUUGUGAUCCCGUCAUCAAAUGACAACUCAUGUCUUUGGCCAGGAAACCAUAGGUUUGUGGUGGAAUACUCACACAUCAUCAUGGAGGCAACAAGGUUGAUAUAGACGGCCUCCAUGAUCAAUUACCCCUAUGGCAGGGCACCAGAAAAGGUCUCCAGAUGGGAUCGCGACGGAACACACACUUGCGGCUGCAGAAAAAGUGUUUUUGGCUUCUCUUGGGUGUUUUUGAAAACUUUUAGGAUUUACAUAAGUGGAGUUAGGACUGGUGGGUGUGCGAGGGGAGCACAAGCCUGGUGGGUGCGCGAUAUCCCAAGGCUUUGUCACCUCCUAGUGUGACAUGUGGCCUCCUCUACAAGCUUCCUAGGUCCAAAAUUGUCCAGAAAAAAUACCAAAAAGUUCCAUCGUGUUUGGACUCCAUUUAGUAUUGAUUUUUUACAAAAUUCAAACAUGAAAAAAACAGGAACUGGCAGUGAGUAACCAUGUUAGUCUGAAAAAAUGAUAUUUAGCAUAUUAUUUCAUAUAAUGUAUCCAAAUUAAUAAUAUAAUAGCAUGGAUCAAUCAAAAAUAAUAGAUACGUUGGAGAUGUAUCACCAUGCCCAAGCUUAAUUCCUACUCGUCCUGAGGUAGGUAAAUGAUAAAAACAUAAUUUUUGUUGUGACAUGCUACCCAACAUGUAAUCUUUUUUAGGUAUGAUCACCGAGGAACGAUGAAGUAAUUGAUAUCAACAUAAUAAUAUCCAUGAAAAUAAGAAGCAUAAUCAUUACUUUUUCAAAAUAUACGAUCCUUAAAGAAUGUUAUUACCUACUCAUUUUAUCAUAUUAGCAUGGCAUGACUUCGUAUUCACCGCAUAAGUAUAAAUCAUGAGCUCGAGAGUGUCAAACCAAGAAACUGGAUCGUACUUCUAACGUGCUUCGGCAUUUUCAAAUUCAUGCAAUACAUGAACGUGAACCAUGGAUAUAACAUAUAUGUGGAAAAGAGUAUGGUGGUAAAGAUCAAAGGAGUCAAAAAGGGAAGAAAUUCUUGCAUCAACUAGGCGGACUAACGGGCUACGGAGAUGCCCAUUGAUACGUCUCAAACGUAUCUAUAAUUUUUGAUGGUUUCAUGUUGUUAUCUUGUCAUCUUUGGAUGUUUUAUGUACCUUUUAUAUCUUUUUUGGGACUAACAUAUUAAUUCAGUGCCAAGUGCCAGUUCCUGUUUUUUCUGUGUUUUUGGCUCUUUUCAGAUCUGAUUUUGGAACAGAGUCCAAACGUAAUAAAAUGUCCGAAAUAAUUUUUUCCCGAACGGAAGAAGAUCAGGGGGCUUGAGGGCCAAGCCAGGAGGGCUACAGGGGGCCCACAAGCCCCCUAUCCGCCACCAGGGGCGGCGGCCAGUAGGAUUGUGGCCUCCCUGGUGCCCCCUUGACCUAGCUCCUUCGCCUAUAUAUUCCCUAAAAUAUAGGAAAAAAAUCAAGGGAUCCACGAAAAUACUUUUCUGCCGCCGCAAGCUUCCGUUUCCGCUAGAUCUCAUCUGGAGACCCUUCCCGGCGCCCUGCCGGAGGGGACUUUGGAGUUGGAGGGCUUCUUCAUCAUCAUCACCGCCCCUCCAAUGACUCGUGAGUAGUUCGCUUCAGACCUACGGGUCCGUAGUUAGUAGCUAGAUGGCUUCUUCUCUCUCUUGGAUCUUCAAUACAAAGUUCUCCAUGAUCUUCAUGGAGAUCUAUCCGAUGUAAUCCUCUUUGGCGGUGUGUUUGUCGAGAUCCGAUGAAUUGUGGAUUUGUGAUCAGAUUAUCUAUGAUAUAUUUGAGUAUUUGCUGAUUUCUUAUUUGCAUGAUUUGAUAUCCUUGUAAGUCUCUCCGAGUCUUGGGUUUUGUCUGGCCAACUAGAUCUAUGAUUCUUGCAAUGGGAGAAGUGCUUGGUUUUGGGUUCUUACCGUGUGGUGAUCUUUCCCAGUGACAGUAGGGGAAGCAAGGCACACAGUCGUGGUAGUUCCCAUCAAGGGUAACAAGGUGGGCUUUGUCGUAGAUAUGAGAUUGUCCAUCUACAUCAUGUCAUCUUGGUUAAGGCGUUACUCUGUUCUUUUGGACUUAAUACACUAGAUGCAUGCUGGAUAGCGGUCGACGUGUGGAGUAACAGUAGUAGAUGCAGAAAGUAUCGGUCUACUUGUUUUGGACGUGAUGCCUAUAGAUAUAAUCAUUGCCAUAGAUGACGUCACGACUUUGCGCGGUUCUAUCAAUUGCUCGAAAGUAAUUUGUUCACCCACCGUCUACUUGCUUUCAUGAGAGAAGCCACUAGUAAACACUACAGCCCCCGGGUCUAUUCACAUCUAUCGUUUCCACUUUCGCUUUCACUUUGCUUUGUUACUUUGUUGCUUUCAGUUCUCACUUGGCAAACAAUCUAUAAGGGAUUGACAACCCCUUCAUAACGUUGGGAGCAAGCUUUUAUGUUUGUGCAGGCACUUGUGAUACUCCUUCACUGGAUCGAUACCUUGUUUCUCAAACUGAGGGAAAUACUUACCACCGCUGUGCUACAUCACCCUUUCCGCUUCGAGGGAACACCAACGCAAGGCUCCAAGGCCAUGGGGGGAAUCCUUUGCAUAUUUUCCUAGGAAGUCCCUUAAGGCGUAGCCAUAGAAGAAGGAUUCCUAGUGCCUUAGCACAUUUCUGGCGCCGUUGGAAGGUCUUUUGUUUCAGUAGCAGAAGUAUUUCUGGCGCCGUUGCCGGGGAAGGAGAGAUCUAUCCAAGUAGGUUUCACAAACUCAUCUCCUGCAUUUAUUGUUUUGCGAGUUGCCUCUCGUUUUCCUCUCCCCCACUUCACAUUUGCCGUUUUCAUUUUCCUUUCUCCUUUGCCGUUUUCUUUUCCUUUUUGGCUUUUUGCCGUUCCCUUUUUGCCCGCCUGCUCUUAGGCUUGUUCGUGAGAGACCUUUCCUCAUGGCCAAACCAAACUAUUUCAGGAAAUUGGAGGAGAUUGAAACUAAUGUCAAAGGUUUCAUGUCUUCUCAGUUUGACCAAAAUAGUUACUUCCAUAGGGAAUUAAAAGAGCAAAAUUCCUUUUUGGGGUGUUUGAAUAAAGAGGUUGAUGAUAUGGCCAAUGAUUUCCUUGCACUUAAUUCUCAGCUUGCUCACCUUGAAAAAUUGUUGGGCCGAAUUUCUGACAAGCAGGCUACCUUCGUCAAUAAGAUGGCAGCUAAACCUGAAAUUUGUGACGCAAAUCACGAAGAUCUUAGAGUGCUUGGUGUGCCUCCUCUUGAAUCUUUGUUUUCGUGUGUCAAACCUAUUGAUGAAGGGGCUGGAUAUGAAUCCACUUUGGUUGAAAGACGCCCCAAUGAUUCGGAGUCCACCUAUCUUGAUGAUAAAGGUGUGGAGAGUGGAGUAGAAGAAAUCAAAAUUUUGGGUAGUAACGAAACUCCCACUUUGGAUUUCAAGGAAUUCAAUUAUGAUAAUUGCUCCUUGUUUGAAUGCAUUUAUUUGAUGCAAUCCAUUGCAAACUCUCCACAUGCUUCUAGCCAGAGCAAAGCCUUUACCGCGCAUAUCGUAGAUGCUAUGAUGAAAUAUCUUCAAGAGAAGCUCGAACUAGAAGUCUCUAUACCUAGAAAACUUCAUGAUGAGUGGGAACCUACUAUCAAGAUCAAUAUCAAAAACUAUGAGUGCAAUGCUUUGUGUGAUUUGGGUGCUAGUGUUUCCGCGAUUCCAAAGUCUUUAUGUGAUAUUCUUGGUUUUCAUGAGAUUGAAUAGUGUUGUCUUAAUUUGCAUCUUGCGGAUUCUACUGUCAAGAAACCCAUGGGAAGGAUCGAUGAUGUUCUUAUUGUUGCAAAUGAGAACUAUGUACCCGUGGAUUUCAUUGUACUUGACAUAGAUUGCAAUCCUUCAUGUCCCAUUAUUCUUGGUAGACCUUUCCUAAGGACUAUUGGUGCUAUCAUCGAUAUGAAGGAAGGGAAUAUUAGAUUUCAAUUUCCUUUAAAGAAGGGCAUGGAGCACUUUCCUAGAAAGAAAAUAAGAUUGCCUUAUGAAUCUAUGAUGAGGGCUACUUAUGGUUUGAGCACCAAAGAUGACUAUACGUGAUUCCAUCACCUUUCGCCUAGCUAAGGGCGUUAAACAAAAGCGCUUGUUGGGAGGCAACCCAACGAAUCUAUCCUUUUUCUUUAUGUUUUGUGUUUUCCAUAUUUUCAUAAUUCUGUUAUGAUUGUGUUUUUUGUGUUUAUUUUUGCGAUUGUGCCAAGAAAAACCGUUAUGAUUAGUCUUGGGGAUGAUUGUUUGGUCAUGCUGGAAAAGACAGAAACUUUAUGCUCACGAAAAGAAUUGUCAUUUUUUUAUGUAAGAGCUUUUGAGUUGAUUAUUUUUAAUGCUGAUUGCUAAGCAAAUUCUUCAGACUUUCGUAAUUUUGAAGAAUUUGUGAAGUACCAGAAGUAUACGAAAUAUACAGAUUGCUACAGACUGGUCUGCUGUUAAGAGAUUCUGUUUUUGGUGUAUUGGUUGCUUAUUUUGAUGAAACUAUGGAUAGUAUAGGGGGGUAUUAGCCAUGGAAGAUUGAAAAUACAGUAACCCAACAUCAGCAUAGGUAGAAUUUAAGUUUGCUACAGUACCUAAGUAAGUGGUGGUUUGCUUUCUUAUACUAAUGUUAUCACGAGUUUCUGUUUAAGUUUCGUGUUGUGAAGUUUUCAAGUUUUGGGUGAAGUUCUUAUGGACAAAGAGAUAAAGAGUGGCAAGAGAUCAAGAUUGGGGAUGCCCAAGGCACCCCAAGAUAUUAAAGUAUGUCGUAAAAUCCUAAGCUUGGGGAUGCCCCUGGAAGGCAUCCCCUCUCUCAUCUUCAAUCCAUCGGAAACGUUACUUGGGGCUAUAUUUUUAUUCACCACAUGUUAUGUGUUUUUGCUUGGAGCGUCUUGUAUUGUAGGAGUCUUUUUUUUGUUUCACAAUCAUCCUUGAUUCACACCUAGAGAGAGAGACAUGCACUCACCGUGAUUUUGUCGAGCUUCACUUAUAUCUUUUGGUAGACAAUUCAGCUCACAUGUGCUUCACUUAUAUCUUUUGAGCUAGAUACUUUUGCUCUAUGUGCUUCACUUAUAUAUUUUAGAGCACAACGGUGCGUGGCUUGGUAGUUGAUCUAUGCUUUGAAAGUAGUCUCAAAAGGAGUAGUUAUCCAAAGGGAUACGAAAACUUCCACCUUCAUGUGCAUUGAAUAGUUAGAGAAGUUUGAUUCAUCUCAAUUCGUUUUGAGUUGUGGUUUUGGUGAUAUUCAAGUUAUGCUAGUAAGGUGUUAUGGAUCUAGAAAUGCUUGUGUUGAAGUUAGUGAUUCCCGUAACAUGCACGUAUGGUGAACCGCUAUGUGAUGAAGUCUGAGCAUGAUUAGUCUUUUGAUUGUCAUCCUUUGUGUGGCGGUCGGGAUCACGCGAUGGUUUAUACGUACCAACCCUUCCCCUAGGAGUAUGCGUUGAAUGCUUUGUUUCGAUUACUAAUAAAACUUUUGCAACAAGUAUAUGAGUUCUUCAUGACUAAUGUUGAGUCCAUGGUUUAUAUGCACUUUCACCUUCCACCAUCACUAUCUUCUUAGUGUCGUGCAACUUUCGUCGGUGCACAAAACCCACCAUUAGCCUCCCUCAAAACAGCCACCAUACCUACCUACUAUGGCUUUUUCAAUGUCAUUCUGAGAUAUAUUGCCAUGCAACUACCACCAUGACAUGUGCCACCACGUCUACAUUUCCAUUGCAUGAUCGUAAGAUAGUUAGCAUGAUGUUUCCAUUAAUGUCUAUGCCAUGCUAGAUCAUUGUCACGGUAAACUACCGAAGGCAUUCCAUAUAGAGUCAUCGUUGUUCUAAGUUUUGAGUUGAAAGUGUGAUGAUCAUCAUUGAUGGAGCAUUGUCCCAUGUGAGGAAAUAAAAGAGGCCAAAGAUGCCCACCAAAAAAAACAGGCCAAAGAGCCCACCAUUAAAAAAAUGAGAGAAAAAGAGAGAAGGGACAAUGCUACCACCUUUCCACACUUGUGCAUAUUAAGCACCAUGAUCUUCAUGAUUGAGAGUCUCUCGUUUUGUCACCACCAUAUAGCUAGUGGGAAAUUUUCAUUAUAUAACUUGGCUUGUAUAUUCCAAUGAUAGGCUUCCUCAAAAUUUCCUUAGGUCUUCGUGAGCUAGCAUGUCGGAUGCACACCCACUAGUUUUCUAUAAGAGCUUUCACAUACUAUUAGCUCUAGUGCAUCAUUUGUAUGGCAAUCCCUACUCAUUCACAUUGAUGUCUAUUGAUGAUCAUCUCCGCAGCUCAUUGAUAUGCCUAGUUAAUGUGAUCAUCUUCUCCUUAUUUUUGUCUUGCAACCUCCACCACACUCCACACCACUUAUAGUGCUAAAACCAUGGCUCACGCUCAUGUAUUGCGUGAGAGUUGAAAAGGUUUGAGAAAGUAAAGGUGUGAAACAAUUACUUGGCCAAUACCAGGGUUGUGCAUGAUUUAAAUUUGUUGUGCAAUGAUGAUAGAGCAUAGCCAGACUAUAUGCUUUUGUAGGGAUAACUUUCUUUUGGCCUUGUUAUUUUGAAAGUUCAUGAUUACCUUGCUAGUUUGCUUGAAUUAUUAUUGUUUCCACGUCAAUAGCAAACUAUUGUUUUGAAUCUAAUGGAUCUGAACAUUCACGUCACAUAAGAGGAGUUACAAAGGACAUGUAUGCUAGGUAGCAUGAAAGCAUCAAAAAUUCAUUCUUUAUCACUUCCCUACUCGAGGACGAGCAGGAGUUAAGCUUGGGGAUGCUUGAUACGUCUCAAACGUAUCUGUAAUUUUUUAUGGUUUCAUGUUGUUAUCUUGUCAUCUUUGGAUGUUUUAUGUACCUUUUAUAUCUUUUUUGGGACUAACUUAUUAAUUCAGUGCCAAGUGCCAGUUCCUGUUUUUUUGUGUUUUUGGCUCUUUUCAGAUCUGAUUUUGGAAUGGAGUCCAAACAUAAUAAAAUCCCCGAAAUAAUUUUUUCCCGAAUGGAAGAAUAUCAGGGGGCUUGAGGGCCAAGCCAGGAGGGCUACACGGGGGCCACAAGCCCCCUAUCCUCCACCAGGGGGCGGCCAGCAGGCUUGUGGCCUCCCUGGCACCCCCCCUGACCUAGCUCCUUUGCCUAUAUAUUCCCUAAAAUAUAGAAAAAAUCAAGGGAUCCACGAAAAUACUUUUCCGCCGCCGCAAGCUUCCGUUUCUGCGAGAUCUCAUCUGGAGACCCUUCCCGGCGCCCUGCCGGAGGGGACUUUGGAGUUGGAGGGCUUCUUCAUCAUCAUCAUCGCCCCUCCAAUGACUCGUGAGUAGUUCACUUCAGACCUACGGGUCCGUAGUUAGUAGCUAGAUGGCUUCUUCUCUCUCUUGGAUCUUCAAUACAAAGUUCUCCAUGAUCUUCAUGGAGAUCUAUCCGAUGUAAUCCUCUUUGGCGGUGUUUUUGUCGAGAUGUGAUGAAUUGUGGAUUUGUGAUCAGAUUAUCUAUGAUAUAUAUUUGAGUAUUUGCUGAUUUCUUAUUUGCAUGAUUUGAUAUCCUUGUAAGUCUCUCCGAGUCUUGGGUUUUGUCUGGCCAACUAGAUCUAUGAUUCUUGCAAUGGGAGAAGUGCUUGGUUUUGGGUUCUUACCGUGUGGUGACCUUUCCCAGUGACAGUAGGGGCAGCAAGGCACACAUCGUGUAGUUUCCAUCAAGGGUAAAAAGGUGGGCUUUGUCGUAGAUAUGAGAUUGUCCAUCUACAUCAUGUCAUCUUGCUUAAGGCAUUACUCUGUUCUUUUGGACUUAAUACACUAGAUGCAUGCUGGAUAGCGGUCGACGUGUGGAGUAAUAGUAGUACAUGCAUAAAGUAUCGGUCUACUUGUUUUGGACGUGAUGCAUAUAGAUAUAAUAAUUGCCAUAGAUGACGUCACGACUUUGCGCGGUUCUAUCAAUUGCUCGACAGUAAUUUGUUCACCCACCGUCUACUUGCUUUCAUGAGAGCAGCCACUAGUAAACACUACGGCCCCCGGGUCUAUUCACAUCUAUCGUUUCCACUUUCGCUUUCACUUUGCUUUGUUACUUUGUUGCUUUCAUUUCUCACUUGGCAAACAAUCUAUAAGGGAUUGAAAACCCCUUCAUAGCGUUGGGAGCAAGCUUUUGUGUUUGUGCAGGCACUUGUGAUACUCCUUCACUGGAUCGAUACCUUGUUUCUCAAACUGAGGGAAAUACUUACCACCGCUGUGCUACAUCACCCUUUCCGCUUCGAGGGAACACCAACGCAAGGCUCCAAGGCCACGAGGGAAAUCCUUUGCAUAUUUGCCUAGGAAGUCCCUUAAGGCGUAGCCGUAGCAGAAGGAUUCCUGGUGCCGUAGCACGUUUCUGGCGCCGUUGCAAGGUCUUUUCUUACAAUAGCACCCAUCACUCGAUAUCAAUGCAAGGGGAUGGGAUUUCCAUGGAAUGGAUGCACUAGAGCUAUAAGUGUAUGAAAGCUCAGAUGAAACUAAGUGGGUGUGCAUCCAACUUGCUUGCUCAUGAAGAACUUGGGCAUGUGAGGAAGCCCGUCAUCGGAAUAUGCAAGUCAGGUUCUAUAAUGAAAAAUUCCAACUCGCAUAUGAAAAGGAUAACCGAGGAGACUCUCUCUAUGAAGAACAUGGUGCUACUGAAGCACAAGUGUGGAAAAAAUAUAGUAACCUUGCCCCUUCGCCCUUUUCUCUCAUUUUUUUCAUGUUGGUCUUUUCUUUUGCUUUUUUCCUUUUAUGCCUCCCCUGUUUUUCUUUUUUUCUAUUUUCAUCUGGAUUUUCAUCCUGACUUGUGGGGAAUCAUAGUCUCCAUCCUCCUUUCCUCACUCGGUCAAUGCUCUAAUAAUGAUGAUCAUCACACUUUUAUGUACUAAAAACUCAAUAUUACAACUAUACAAGAUGACUCUAUAUGAACGCCUCUUUCAGUGUACCAGAAUGUGCAACGACCUAGCAUAACAUGUAAAUAAUGAUGAAUGGUGGCUUUGCCAGAAAUACUAUGCCAUCUCUAUAUGAUCAUGCAAAUUAAUAUGUUGAUGAACAAACAAGUCAUGUGAGAGAAUGGUGGAAGUUGCAUGGCAAUAUAUCUUGGGAUGGCUACGAAUAUGCCAUAAUAGGUAGGUAUGGUGAAUGUUUUGAGGAAUAUAUAAAUAUGCUUAUGUGUGAUAGAGCAUACGAUAUCACGAGGUUUGGAUGCAUCGGCGAAGGUUGCAACGACUCUCGAGGUGAGAAUGGGCAAUCCACGGUACCGAAGAGGCUAGCAAACUGAGGAAAGGAGAGAGUGAGUAUGUCCAUGGUUUCACAUUGGUCAUAAAGAAACAAUAUACUUAUUAUAAAGCCUUAUUAUCUCUAACAAACAAAAGUACUAUCACAUGCCCCUAGGGAGGAGGUUGGUAGUACUUAACCAUUGCGUGCCCCCGAUUCAUACAACACGAUAGGAUUCCAUGACCAAUAUUGAGAUGAGAAGUAAAUAGAAAGCUUUAAUACCAAUAUUCCUACUAACCAAUGAUCAUGAACCCAUGUUCUUUCAUAUUACUACAUCAAUAUAGUCAAACCACAUGUCUCUUAUUAGGUGAACUACAUGACAGUUUUUAUUAUAUCUUCCUUCAAUAUCUAUCCUUUUGGAGUAGUAUUAUAACAUGUGCACAUUACCAAUACUAUUUAUUAGACUCUCAAAAAUAUUUAAGUGAAGCAUGAGAGUACAACUUUUUCUAGAAAGUAUGAUCACUAUCGUCCUCUAAAAAGAUAUAAGUGAAGCACUAGAGGAACUACCUAGCUCAAAAGAUGUAAGUGAAGCACAUAUAGUAUUCUAACAAAUUGUGAUGAACAUGUGUCUCUCUCAAAAAUUUGUGUACAGAAAAAACAAUGAUUGUGGUGAAGUAAAACAAAGCCAAACUAUAAUAAACAACGCUCCACGCAAAACUUAUAUCAUGUGAUGAAUAAAAAUAUUGCUCCAGGUGACAUACCGAUGGAAUGAAGAUGAAAGAGGGGAUGCCAUCUGGGUGUCUCCAUGCUUAGAGUCUUCGGUAUUUCUUGAAUAUUACCGUGGGUGCCUUGGACAUAUCCAAGCUUAGGGUCUUGCCGCUACUUAUUCCUUCAUCCAUCAUUAUCUCACCCAAAACUUGAAAACUUCAGCAUAUAAAACUCAACAAAAACCACGUAAUAUCUGUUUGUAUAAUAGGUAAAUCAUAAACUUUAGGUUUCAUUGUAAAUUGAUUCAUAUUUAAUUAUUGCAUAAGUACUGUAUUCUAACUUCUUGAUGACUUAUAAUCCCCGAUAUAAUGCAUAGCAUCAUCAAAACAAGCAAACUAUGUAGUAUAAAAUAGAGUUUGUCUAAAAUACAAGAGUUUGUAAUGUUCACAACCAAAACCAUACUUUUGUAACUCCAAGAAUUCUAAAAAAUCCGACAACCUUGGCAAUUUGUAUACCUUAAUAAAAAUAAUUCAAAUAAAAUUCUUUGAAAUAAUCCAACAUGCCCAUCAAAAAUGUUAAUCAUUUUUGAAAUAAUAUGUCUUAUUCUACAAAAAUAAUGCAGAUUUAUAAAGUCAUGUUUGGGACUUUGAACUAAGUCAUAAAUGUAUUUGCAUUGGAUUUAUUAAUUCCUAUAAAUAAUUCUAUAGAUCCAAAAAUCCUAAAAUUUGGUAAGUGGCUUUGAAUAUACUCUAAUAGACCAGAUAAAUAUUUAAAAAAAAUUAUAGAAAUGAUUUAUUAUUUUAAAUAAAUCCAAAUACAGUGAAAAAAUUAGGAAAAAAACAAAAGAAAGGGCAAAGGCCCACGUGAGCUUACUUGUUGCAGAAACGGCCCAACACAGGAGCAGUGUCAUCUUCCACCUUUGCUAGAAGGCACGGGACAAGGAGAGCAUGUCGAGCGAUCGUGCCAGCUCCCGCAUCACGCUAUCGAUGCCCCCUUCACCUGGGACGUCGUUAGCCACAUGAGGACAACGCCCUAUGCCUAUCCCCUUGCGAGCGCUCAUUCUUUCCCCUCCUACCUACCUCUCCUCACCCCUCUCCACCUCACCUGAGCACACUGCCUCGCCAUCAUUUGACUCAUGUGUGGCAAACGCCAAUGAGAAACAGAGACACCAUGUCCUCCAGCCCCGCCAUAGAGCAGCGUGUCCCCACGCCGAAGAUCGAGCAGCCGGAUGCCCGGUGUCAUUGACAUCGACUCGUCUUCCUCCUCGGUUGCCAUGGACUGCCGCCAUCCAAUUCAUGCCACAUCGUGCCUCCCUGGACUCGCCAGCAGCACCAGAAGCCCUGCGAUGAGUCGAUCCAUCAUUCCUCCUUUGCCCCGAUUAUUCCGCAUCCCCUAGCUGCCAUCCCCACCAAGGACGAAGGCCACCGCCACUCGGGCUCGUCGUUGAUAGUGCUCCAUUGACCAUUUGGUCAGGUGGGCAUUGUUAGGGAUAUUGCCCUAGCAUAAGCCGGCCAGCCCAGGCCGGCUCACAUUAUGUGGGAAAGGACAUAAGCCGGCCCAUGGAGGGCAAGACCCCACAUGUCUAAACUGAAGACUAGGUGCAAGACUGCCAAGGCCUUGGGCCGCCUUGCAUGUAAGCCAACUUAGGAGAUGGUGAACCAAGGCUGGCUCAGGAAGUCAUGACCGAAGUCGUCUUAUGAGAUGCCGACUUAGUACUUCGCUCCGAUAAGGAGAAGAGGAUGGGUGCCAACUUAUAUAAGAGCAAGCCCUGGCUCAUCCAAGGUUAUAGACCCAAGUUAGAGUUCUCGAGAUAUAGGUAGUGAAGGCAACCCUUGUAAUUGAGAUCCUAACAUCAAUAAGCAAACAUAGAGCAGGAGUAGACUUUUACCUCACUAGAGGUGCCAAACCUGGGUAAAUCAUCUCUCUCGUUGCCAUCAACUCCAUCCAAGGCUUCGCCUAGCCUGUAUGGCCUCACAACUAAGUUCUCUCAAGAGGACACUUGUCGUGACAACCCCACGACAUUUGGCACCUACCGUGGAGCAUGCGCGCAAGGGAGUCAUCACCUUGGAGGGAGCUCUUCUUGGACGGAGCGAUUGGUCACCGGUCGGCUUAAGAAAAGCCAACACAGGAGGUUCUACUUCGUCGAUGACGAAGGCUAGGGACCAGAAGCCGGUUAUCUUAAUUCAAGUUGUCGGAUCCCAUUUGGGAAGGUCGACAUCUUCGUUGGCGUUUUGCUGGAUCCAAGGAGGAUCCGGAUCCAAGCGGUGACUCCGUGACACGAGGCAUCACGACCGUCCAAUCUGACAGUGAAUCAUCUAUCGGCGACAACAAUUAUACCAACACCGAAUCCAUCCUUCCCCUAUUUGAGGAUAAGCUUGGAUGGUACUUUGAUAAGGAAGGCUACGUGGUCUCCGAAGGGUCACCACAUCACGUUGCGUUCUACAUGGCAGGAAACCAGCAGAACACAACUGCUUGAGGACCCAAUAUGACUGAGGGCAAUCAUCGGGCCAAAACCCGCCAUCCAACUCCGGUGUUGGCGCUAGAAGCCUGGAAGCUCAAGGGGUCACAAAAGCUCUCACGACGCUCAACAACCUCCUCAUGCAACUAAUCACAACUAAAAACACUGCAACGCGUGUUGCCAAAAUCGAGAAGUGUCGUGAACAGCUUACGAAGGCUCAGUACAAUAUCACAACCGAAACCACGCGCCUUGCGGAGGUCUAGAAGGCCGUUCUUGAGGAAAGCUGGUGACAAGAGGAACAAGAGGUUCACCUCAACUUUCAUCAUGAUGCAAUUCCUACUGUCAAACAGUGGAGGCAGCAGAGCUGUUCCUAGGCUCCGGGAGGGGUAAUAGAACCUCAUAACUUGUUCCAAACACUACCACUUGUCCAACCUACAGUAAUUGCUAAUCCAAGGGCCGACUUAGGAGUAGUCGGGGUCGGCGUGCCGCCAAUCAUAACUCGUCACGAGGCGCAUCAAGAGAAGCCCCUUCAAAUCCAUCAACAGAUACAUAAGCUAACUAAGUGUUUCCAUACUCCCCCUGGUCACUUCUCCAAAUCGGUCGACAACCUAUAUACAACCACGUAGAAUGAUCCCAAUCAUAGGUAACACUCAGUUCGAGAUCUAAGCAAGGAAAGGAAUUCAACUAUUGCAGAUCGUAGUCACGUAGCACGCAAACUACUCCAAUAGUCCUAAUAGACUACACUAAACAAUGUUCAACACCUAGAGAGUCUAGAAUUAACAUGGGGAGUCACACGUUCCAGCAAGGUCAAGCACCACGCAAUGCCACCGGGAGCGACAAUUACAGCAGCAACAGCACUGCCAAACAGCCUCAGAAGCGCAUGUCAUAGUCAACAAUGCAUGUGCAGCUCGUGCGGCCUCUACUGAUAAUGUAAGGGGUAUCAUACUCGUCAAGAAGCAAGCAAUGCAAGAGUCCCACCCACCACUAACAUCCCAGUUUCUAUCGCCCUGGCUCCGGCUUCGUCAGUAGAUCCAUUGGUACAUAGUGCAUUGCGCCAACCUUAAGGAACAAAUGCAUUCCCGCGGACUUCAAAGGGCACACAAAGUACCUAAUUAUACUGCUGAUAUGGAGCCUGCAGAAUGGAUUUAGAGCUACAAGCUAGCCAUGCAUAUGAUGGAAGUGGACGAUGGAGUGUGUGCCAGGUAUCUCACAAUGAUGCUCGAAGGACGUGCCCUUACAUGGUUGAAGAAUCUACCCCCAAAUCCGAUCAACACGAGGCAAGAGUUGAAGGAGCGUUUCGUCAAGAACUUUCAGGGGAAUUGUAUACUCUCAACCAAAAUUGUUAACCUCGGGCAGUGUGUCCAAAAGGAGGGCGAAUCAGCUCAUCAUUAUGCAUGUCAUGUCGCGGAAAUCAUAUAGUCCUCUCAAAGUAUCACUCCACAAACUACAAUACUCGUCUUGGAGAAAAAUUGCAGGUUUGAGCUCGUGAUCCAUAAGCUCGGAUGCAUUAAGCUAUUGUUACUAACAUGAGUGAGCUCAUGAAUGCGAUGACCAAGUAUGUUGAGUCUAACAAAACCAACGAUCUAGAUUCAGAUGAUGACAAUUCUGGCAAGGGAAAGAAGAAUGGUAGAAAGGGUCACCAAAACAACAUUUUUUUAACGAUAACAAGUGAUCUGUUAUAUUCAUUGUAAAGAAGAAGAUGGUACAAGGACCCAAACUUCUUGGUUUAUUAAACGAAAACCAGGCGAAAACAUGCACAGGGCCUAGCUAGACUAGACCUAAAGCACACAAAACAUACAACACGCCAGAAGGCCACACUCCACAACACACCCGGCCGAGCACUCGAGCGCCUGCGCUGCUACUAGAGUACACACCAAAAACCGUUGCAUUAGUCCGAGCUGCCACAAGCACAUCCAAGAAGCUCACGGCAUCAAAGAGGAACGCUAUGUCUGAUAGAGCAGAAAUAUGCCACUUCAACCUUGUGAUAUUAGCACACAUAGCUUGCCUAGCGCAGCUUGCAUGUGACAAAUGCUUCUGCUGCUCACACGGAGAUGUCAUGCAAGCCGUCAUCAACCACCUUCACGAUCCCGGAGUCCCUCUGACCGAGUCAAACUCCAAAACGAUGCCCCAAGAGGAAAUGCGACGCCAGGCCAAAACCCAAGUGACUUCAUCGUCCGAUCGAGGAUUCCAGAUCUGGGGUUUCCCCCGGAGCAAGAUGGGAAGGAGAGUGAAUGUUGUAACAUCGAUGCCUCAACUAGGGAACGGUGCCUGUAGGCGCCGCCAUCGACAACUCCGAACAUUGCCAGAGUACGGCUUUCGCCGGCAACACCACCCACCAAAACCCAAGACCCGGUCAGAUCAUCCACCCUACCACCUCCAUGACGCACCAGCACAGUGCCACACCUUAACCCUGCACAUCGGCAACAUGCAACAGGGGCCCUCACCGGCCACCGCAGCCCCGCAGAAGCCAAGCUUGGCCCUGCCAGCGCAAAUCUGGCACAUCCCGCGAGCUCCCGCCAUGACCGUUGCACCCCAAGGAAGCCGGACGACCACCCAGCAGAUCGGCCCUAGAGCCACCCUAUAGAACAAGAUUGCGUGCCUCCGCCCAGUCGUGUGCCCCUGCAUCGCCGCAUUGUCUGCACACCGGGACCCAGAUCUGGUCUGGCCCACGCCUCGCCGCCACGGCCCAUGCCACUCCAGUCGCGCUCCACGCCCUCGCCACGCCCACGCCUUGCCCUUGCCACGCGCUCGCCGCGCACUCCUUGCCCAUGUCAUGCGCUCGCCCGCCCUCGUCGGUGCACCAGUGUCGCGCACUCGCUGCCCUCGUCGGCCCGUCAGCGUCGCGCGCUCACCGCGCACGCGACGACCCAUCCGCGUCCCGCGCUUGCCGUGCCCACGCCAUGCGCCGCAACAACGAAAAAUAUAAAAAAUGGAGGGGCCCCGCUGCCACCGUCACCAGAGCCGGCGCGGGCUUUGUUGGCCGCUCCUCGGGUGACGGCGAGCCAUGGGGGAGGUGGGAGGGGGCUGGAGUAGCUAGAUCUGGGAUUUCCCCCCUUGGUCGCAAAAACAACAAUGGGAAUCACAAAAACGGUAACAAACGCAAAAAUGGUGAAGGAAGCCCAGCCUUGGUCGCCAAUGCCAAUGCAGGUUACAAGAACUAAUGCCAGAAUAACACCUAUAAUUCUCAGACGCAGUCUCAAGGAUUCCACCCUACAAAUUAUGAGCAUGCAUUGAAGGCGCCAUGUCCCAAGCACAUCAGGCCAAAUUCCAAGUCAACCCACUUUUGGGAAGAUUGUUAUGUCAUGCAGGAAUUCAAGAACAUGGUUUUCUAAGGUCAUAAUAACGACGCCCCCCCCCCCGGGGGGGGGGGGUUGACCCAGAUAACCCAAGUGAUAACAUGGUGGCUGGGAAUUAGGGGCAUAUAAACCAUAGAGCUGGUCUAGGACAGCAGAACAACAAUGUAUCUGCUAGUUUCCAGAGUAACCCCAAGCAAUUAAAUACCAAACAGUAUCACGUCUUCACCACGUCGACUAGUAAGUGCGACCACAAGCUGUAGCGCCGCGUCAUCAACACGACUGUAUCCUCUGUCCCUCAACGGUUGCAUUGGUGUGAGCAACUAUGACUUGGAAUAGGGCAGACCAUCCCCCGUACAUGGAGAACCCAGGAGCUUUUGCAUUGGUCGUAGCUCCAUAAUUGGGAGGUUAUACAUUGACCAAAGUACUAAUGGAUGGCGAAAGCAGUAUUAACAUACUGUAUUACGACACUUUUCAGCGGAUGACUCUCCUGGACUCUCAGCUAUAACCUUCCUCUGCAAUGUUUCAUGGAAUAGUCCUAGAAAGUUUGCUCUGCCGGUUGACAAGACCUAUUUGGAAGUGGUUUUUGACACUGAGAAAAAAUUCAGGUCUGAAAUCUUGGCCUUUGAGGUAGUCAAAUUCCAGAACCCAUAUAAUGCCCUCUUCGGCAGGCCGGCUUAUGCUCGGUUUAUGGCUCGCCCCUGUUACAUUUACCUCAAACUCAAGAUGUCUGGUCCAAGGGAAACCAUUACUGUGGAAGACUACCGCGCCCAUGGCCGUCUCCAGGAAUUCAGGGCCCCGCUGUAAAAUUUGGCAUGAGGACCAAAAGUCUGCAAAAAUGUGUAUAACUAAUAUAAUUAUACAUAUUUUUCACUUAAUUAUAUAGCUUAAAAUAUGUGUUAUUUUGUAGACAUAUACUUCCUUCCCAUGGAAGUACUUGUCGAAGCAAUGGAUGUAUCUAGACGUAUUUUAGUUCUACAUCCAUUUUUAUUAAUUUUUAUGAUAAAUAUAUUUGGACGAAGGGGCUAUCAUAUAGUAAUGCCAAAGAGUAAACUAUGUUCUAGAGAGGCAUCAAUUAUCUAGUAUUUCUGAAACGAGAAUCUUCAAAUCCAUCGAGUCUAUUCUCGCAAAAGAAAAAUCCACUGAAUCUUUCUUGUUAUAAAAUAUGCUAAUAGUGUAGUAGAAGAGCACACAACGAAGAAUUGAUACUAGAAUUAAAAAGUAGAUUACAUGUAGUGUGUUAAUACUACUAAUUUGGAUCUAAAUUAGGUACAUACCUAAUCGAGUAGCAUAGCACUACUCUACUACUAGGGAUUGCAUUCCAUACGAUAUGAAAACAUCAAAAGAACCAGAAUUGUAUCAGAAAGUGAUAACCCUAACUAGUUUUUUGUCCGCCUAUUUUCUUUCCGGGCUUAUGGCCUAUGAAUUAGUACCUUAGAAUAUACUUGCAGAUGACUAGAUGAGACUCUUGUAGCAGGAAAAAGGUAUCGACGGUCAGCCGUAUAGCACACGUGUUGUGGCCAUCAGCCAUUUAUCGGUGACGGCUCGCUAGCAAAGUCAAUUUUUUGGAGAGAGAGAUCUAUUUGAUCUUGUACAUUCGGUUGGGGGGUUGUUUGCUGUGAUUGGUGGAACGAUGAUACUGACUAUGGGACUCACCUGUAAAAAGGCUAUGUGCCUCACCCAUAACGAGGUUCCACUUUUGGUGCAUCCGUCUGCACUUUUCUUGCGAUAGGAUCGGGCGAGCCAGCUAAAAAACCAGCCAUCCAGCACAUGAAAGAGAUCAUAUCAUGGUUUUUCUCUCCGAUCGGGGCCCUACGAUUUUGGGGCCCUGUGCGCGGCCUGAGAGCGCCAUCACAUGGGAACGUGAGAAAGGUAACACCAUAUGCGGAAACAGCUGCUGCUGCACAAUAAUUAAAACUUUAUACUUCACAAGUCGAUCGAGAGGACAUGACUUCCUUGAAGAAGCCCCCCAUAGAUUCUCAGCUGAAAUUCGAGUCUGCUCAGGACACUAAGCAAGUUGACUUCCCUGGAUGAUUCUUCCAAGACGUUCACCAUUGGGGCGUGAUAGAGUUGUAUUUUCUAUAUAUACGUGUACGUGUUGUAUACCCCCUUGUAUUCCUUGUUGUAUAAGUUGAUCUAAUCAAUAUAAAGAGAUGUCAGCCAGUUGGGGCUAACCACAGUAAAUAUUUCCUUUUGACUUGGUAUCAGAGCGGGUCGAUCCUACCUAGGGUUUCGCUCACGCGUUUUCGCCGCCGCCGUCUCUUUUCACCGUUGCCGCCGCCUACGCGCCGCCGCUGCAGCACUUCGACGCGAUGGGCUCCACUGCCGCAUUGCAGCUUGCCCUCUCCACUUCGAGCACCUCGUCCCAGUCCACCGCACCAUCCAUCCCCGCCGGCGCUAUCAUCUCCGCGCCUACCGGCCAGAACCUCAACACCAUCACGGUGCGUCUAGAUCGCACCAAUUAUCUUCUCUGGAAGAUACAGGUCGUCCCCAACAUCACCGGCCAAGGCUGGUACGGCUUCCUCGACGGCUCCUACGGAGCCCCUCCGGCCACUAUCACCGAAGGAGACGGUGCCAAGGCUGUGACCAACCCCAAUCCGGAGUACGCAUUAUGGUUCUACACGGAUCAGCGUGUCCUCAGCAUCCUCAUCGGCUCCAUGACGGAGGAGAUCCUCUGCCAUGUCAUCGGCCGUACCACCGCGUCCUCUGUGUGGACGUGCCUCGAGUCCAUGUUCUUGGCACAGAACAGGGACGGGGUGCGUCAGAUGCAGCGUCAACUCUCGAAGCUGAAGAAAAACGACCUCACCGUCGCCGCCUACUUUCACAAGAUGAAGGAUUUCGCGGACGAUAUGGCCCAGGCGGGGUCGCCUCUCUCCGAUCCUGAGGUGAUCGACUACAUCGUCGUCGGUCUCGGGCCUUAGUACGAGUCCCUCCAGCACUCGCUCACGGUGUUGGCAGCCGUCUGCGCUGACAACCUCAGCAUGUCGGACUUCUACUCCAUGCUCCUCUCGUGCGAAUUCCUCAAGGAGCAGAACGCCUUCGCCACCGAGUUCUCCACCUCCGCUAAUGCCGUGGCGCGGCAAGGCGAUGGCCGUGGAGGGGGCGCAUCUUCGCCGACACCACCAACGACGGUUGCGGCGGGGGUCGUCCUACUGGCUCGCAAGGAGGCGACCAGCAGGCCUCCCGCGGCAACAACCGCCCCAACCAGGGGGAUGGUGGUGGUGGCAACUACGGAGGAGGAAAAGGCAACGGCGGUGGCAGGCGCAACAACCGUGCGAGUGGCCCCGCUAUCAAGUUUGCCGGUUCUGGGGGCAUGAGGCUCUCCAGUGCAAACAACGCUACAACCACGCAUUUCAGUAUGAUGAAAAUCGUGCUGGCAACUCUGCCUCUCUCCAACCUGCCCCAGUCAACCUUGGCUCUUCGACACCGGCGCCACGGAUCAUCUCACAAACGACAUGAGCCGGUUGAACAACCAGGAGCGCUGCAACGACAUAGUGUUGCCACCACCACCAAGUGCAAGUCGCCAACGGUGUAGGUCUGUCUAAUACGCAUGUUGGCCACUCUCGUUUACCUGGUUCCUCCGCCCCCAUUAAACUCAAAAAUAUUCUUCUUGUUCCUGAGCUUAGCACUAAUUUGUUCUCCGUUUAUCGUCUUGUUUCUGACAAUAAAAUCUUUGUUGAAUUUCAUAAAUUCUUUUUCUAUGUCAAGGACAAGUUCACAAAGAAAAUUCUUCUUCGCGGAAGGAGUCGUGGCGGCCUCUACCCUCUUCCAUUCAGUCACACCGUCACCUCUGGAUGUCGUGCGUCUUCUGGCGUUAGGAUCACUACUGAGCAGUGGCAUCGGCAUCUUGAUCAUCCUUCAAAUAAAGUAGUUCAUACCAUUGUUAGCUCCAAUAAAUUGUUGUGCUCUCCAAACAAUGAUUCCUCUGUGUGUGAUGCUUGUCAGCGUGAUAAGAGUCACCGGUUACCAUAUAAUUAUUCUAUUCGUGUUUCUACAUCACCCCUUGAGCUUAUUCAUACUGAUGUUUGGGGGCCUGCUUUGCCAUCUUCCGGGGGUUUUAAGUACUAUGUCAGCUUCAUUGAUGACUACAGUCGUUACUGCUGGAUAUACUUGAUCAAGCAUAAAUCUGAUGUUGAGAGCAUUUUCUACAUUUUUGAAAACCAUGUUGAGCGUCUCUUGAAUGCUAAGGUUCGUUCUAUUCAGUCAGACUAGGGGGGGUGAGUAUCACCGUCUUCAUGCUUACUUUCAGCGCACCCGCAUUGCUCAUCGUGUGUCUUGUCCACAUACCUCCCAACAAAAUGGUAUAGCUUAACACAAGCACCGUCAUAUCGUUGAGACGGGUCUAGCCCUCCUCGCACACUCCUCCCUGCCUCUUCGGUUUUGGGACGAGGCGCUCCUUACUACUUGCUAUCUCAUCAAUAGAAUGCCUACGCCUGUUAUCAACAAUGCUAUACCCGUGUUUCGCCUCCUCAACAUGCUUCCUGAGUAUUCUUUUCUCCGCACUUUUGGUUGUGCGUGUUGGCCUAGUUUACGUAAGUACAAUUCACCUAAACUCGAGUUCCUCUCUAGGAUGUGUGUGUUUCUUGGUUAUAGUCCCAUGCAUAAAGGCUACAAGUGCCUUGAUCGCUCCAGUGGUUCUAUUUACAUCUCCCGUGACGUCGUUUUCGACGAGACGGUGUUUCCCUAUGCCACUCCCGGUGCCACUGUUGAUGUAUCUCAACUCCUUUCCGUGUUGUUUCUGUCAGAUGAGCCAGUUACUCAGAGUACCCACACGCGUAAUUAUGACAUUACAUUGUUACCAGCUAAUGCACCUCGUGUUGUUGUUAGUUCUCCUGUGCAGGUCCCGGCGCUGUCAACUUUGCCGCUCGACAUCCCUGCUCCAUCAUCGGCAUCGCCUCUGCAUGUCUUGGGCGGCACGCCUGGGCCUGGCUCUCCUCUGCAUUCCUCGGGCGGCAAACCAGGGGCUUGCUUGCACGGAGGCACGCAGGCCUCUCCCGGAUUGGCACCGCUUUUGCAUGCUUCGGCUGACACGCCUCGGCCCGACUCGCAUGCAGGCUCGCCCGGGUUGGCCUCUCGUGCCGCUUCUGGUGCCGACCCCACCCAGGCCGGUGCGUCGGUCCCGGUCGUCGACCAUGGCCUGCGGUCUCGCUCUCCGUCGCCAGCGCUGUCAUCUGCCUCACCGGCUCCUGACGGGGCUUCUUCGCCUGGCCCGUCUCCGGCCUGUGACGAGUCCGCUUCAUCGCCCUCGUCGAUGUCCUCUACACCACCAGCAUUGCCGCCUCCAGUGCCUCCUGCUGCUAAACCGGCACGGGUCGUCGUCACGCGAUGGCGCAAUAAUAUCACUCGUCCCAAGGUGUAUCGGGAUGCAUGGUUCGAUAUGAUCCCUAUCAUCGUCGGGCGUUUAUGGUGGAGCUUGCCUCUCAUCGUACUGCUCUCUCUGAGCCAGCUUGGCGUGCUUCUUUGGAGGCUGAGUUCGAGGCACUUCAGGCUAACAAAACGUGGAUUUUGGUACCCCAUCCACCUCGCACUAACAUUGUUGGUAGCAAAUGGAUUUUCAAAAUGAAGUUUCGUCCCGAUAGUUUUGUCGAUAAAUACAAGGCGAGGCUUGUGGCUCGAGGCUUCACACAGCAGUACGGUAUAGAUUAUCAUGAUACUUUCAGUCCUGUGGUUAAACCAGUCACCGUUCGCCUGGUGCUUUCUCUUGCUGUCUCUCGUGGUUGGUGUCUUCGUCAGAUUGAUGUGAGUAAUGCCUUCCUUCAUGGUUUUCUGUCUGAGGAAGUGUAUAUGCAGCAGCCCCCCGGUUUUGAGGAUUCACGGUACCCUCGACAUGUCUGCAAGCUACAGCGUGCUCUUUGUGGUCUCAAAGAGUCGCCUCGUGCCUGGUAUGCUCGUUUGAGUGACAAGCUUCAUCAGCUCGGUUUUGUUGCUAGCAAGGACGAUUUCUCUCUGUUCAUCUUUGAUCAUCAUGGGAUGGUUAUAUAUAUGCUUUUCUAUGUUGACAACAUUGUUUUGGCUGGGUCCUCUUCAUCUGCCAUUCAGAAACUGGUUACCACUCUUUUUAGUUCUUUUCCUAUCAAGGACCUUGGGUGCUUGGAGUAUUUUCAUGGAAUUGAGGCCACUUAUAAUUUUGAGGGUCUGCUCUUGUCACAGCACAAAUAUGCUCUUGAUCUCUUGCACCGGGCCAACAUGGAGCAAUGUCGGUCUAUUACUACUCCCAUGUCUACUUCCGACAAACUGUCUCGAGAUCAAGGCCAACUGUUGAGCUUCGAGGAUACUUUCAAGUACAGGAGUCUUGUUGGGGGUAUCCAGUACCUAACUCUGACACGUCCUGACUUGUCCUUUUUUGUUAACAAGGUGUGCCAAUACUUGUCGCAGCCUACUACCACUCACUAUGAGGCAGUGAAGUGAAUUUUUUGCUAUAUCCGAGGUACUGUGUCUACUGGCUUGCGUUUUCGGCGCUCCGCUUCUAUGGGACUGAGUAUUUUCACUCAUGCCGAUUGGGCGGGCUGUCCUGAUGAUCGUCGGUCUAUGAGCGGGUUUUGCCAUUUUUCUUGGCUCCAACCUCGUCUCUUGGAGUUCUCGCAAGCAACCCACAGUUUCUCGUUCUAGUACUGAGGCAGAAUACAAGGCUUUGGCCAAUGGCACCGCUGAGGCUAUAUGGAUACAGUCGGUGUUGAAGGAGCUUGGUGUGUUUCUUUCUUGACCUCCGGUGUUGUGGUGUGACAAUGUUGGGGCCACAUACUUAUCUGCCAAUCCAGUUUUUCAUGCCCGCACUAAGCAUAUCGAGGUUGAUUUUCACUUUGUGCGUGAGCGGGUUGCUUUGGGUUCUCUUGAUGUUCGGUUCAACUCCACUGGCGAUCAAUUGGCUGACGUAUUCACGGAGCCUACUUCUCAGCUCACACUUCGUCGUUUUAGUUCCAAUCUCAACCUUGUUCACGACAGUUUAGAUUGAGGUGGCAUGUUAGAGUUGUAUUUUCUAUAUAUACGUGUACGUGUUGUAUACCCCCUUGUAUUCCUUGUUGUACAAGUUGAUCUAAUCAAUAUAAAGAGAUGCCAGCCGGCUGGGGCUAACCACGACCAAUAAUUCCUUUUGACUGGGCGCAUCUCACUCACAAAUAGGAAAGCGUACUCAUCGAGUUCAUCCAUGAGAAUCAAAACAUCUUCGCAUGUAAAUCUACUGACAUGCCUUGUGUAUCAAGAGAACUCGCUGAGCAUAGUUUAAAUGUUGAUCCCAAUAUGAAACAUACCCUACAAUUUCCCCGUCGCUUCAAUGACAAAAGAUGCAAGGGCAUUAAAGAGGAUGUAGCCUGGAUAUUGGCCGCUGGCCUUAUUGUUGAAGUCUUCCAGCUAGAGUGGUUAGCCAACGCAGUCCUUGUACUGAAGAAGAAUGGGACUUGGAGAAUGUGUGUACAUUACACAGACCUGAACAAGGCUUGUCUCAAGGAUCUGUUCGCCUUGCCAAGCAUUGACUAGAUCAUUGACUCCACUGCCGGUUCUGAGACUCUAUGUUUUCUGGAUGCUUAUUCCGGCUAUCACUAAAUAAGAAUUUUGUUACUCAUCAAUGCCCUUUGGUCUAAAGAGUUCCAACGCAACCUAUCAACAUUGCAUUCAAAACUUCCUCAAGCCACAGACUGGCCACAAUGUGCACGCUUAUGUCGAUGAUGCUGUGGUCAAGUCUCAAAAAAGUGACCAUCAUUAUAGACCUAAAGGAAACGUUCACUAAUAUCCGGGAUAUCAUAUGAAGCUAAAUCCGGCAAAUGUAUUUUUGGGGUCCCUACUGGCAAACAACUUAGUUUCUUUAUUUCUAAGUGUGUCACUGAAGCUAACCCACACAAGAUUCAAGCCAUCUGUAACCUGCGGAAGCCGCCAGCCUUAAGGAAGUCCAGAAGCAGACAUGGUGUGUUGCCCCUCUAAGCCGCUUCAUAAUCCCGCUCGGUGAGAAGGACAUACCCCUCUACCUCCUUUUGAAGAAAACUGAUACUUUUGACUGGACACAUGAGGAUACUGAAGCUUUUGAGGCUCUCAAGGGACAACUCUCCCAAGCAUCUAUCUUAGCAGCUCCUACAUUGAAAGAGCCCGUGCUAUUGUACAUCGCUGCAAACAAUAAAGCAAUAAGUGCAGCAUUAGUGGUGGAGCACAAGGAAGAAGGCAAGGAGUAUCAUGUCCAAUGACAUGUUUAUUAUGUAAGUGAAGUCCUCACCACGUCCAAACAACGUUACCCACACUAGCAGAAGCUGGUGUUUGGUGUGUUCAUGGCUAGUCGGAAGCUUAAACACUACUUUUAGGAGCAUCCUUUUAUAGUCGUUAGCUCCACACCAUUCGUCGAUAUUAUUCAUAACAAGGAUGCAACUAGUUGUAUUGCUAAGUGGGAUAUUAAGCUGGGUGACUACCACAUCAAGUAUGUACCCAGGAGUGCGAUCAAGUGACACGCUCUGGUGGACUUCAUCAACGACUGGACUGAGUAGCAAGCACCUCCAGACGAACCAGAUACCAAGUAUUGGACCUUAGUCUUUGAUGGUUCUCGUCAGUGGGAGGGAUCGGGGGCUGGAGUUGUUCUCACCUGCCCUCAUGAAGAUAAGUUCCGUUAUGUUCUAUAGCUAUUGCUUCCAUGCACCAACAACGUUGCAGAAUAUGAAGCUUUGCUUCAUGCGCUACGUGUUGCCAAGGAGAUGAGUAUGAGCCGCAUCAGAUGUUUGGGUGAUUUUGACCUUGUUUCUCAACAAGUGUCCAAAACUUGGGACUCCAAAGAUCUAGUCAUGGCGGCAUAUCAUUGAGCAGUCACACCUAUUGCCGGCCACUUCAAUGGUUACCAGGUUGACCAUAUUGAUCAACAACUCAAUGAGUCGGUAGAUGCUUUGGCUUGUCUCAGUUCACAGAAUAAGCCAGUACCUUCAAAUGUUUUUUUGGAUGAGCUUCACAGUCCAUCUGUGAGGCUACCUACAUAGGAGGACCUUCCCAAUCUAGAUCCUGGGUCCGAACUAGUGGCGAUGUUCAUGACACUCGAGCAUGGACUGGGCCUUAUCUGGCGUAUAAACUAUGCGAUGAGUUACCUGAUGAUGAGCUUUUCUCUAAAUAGGUACAUCGACGUUCCAAGACAUACACAAUUAUCAAUGGUGAGUUACAUAAACUAAGCACCACAGGCGUUUUCAAUGUUGUGUGUCUCCCAAAGAAGGCCAAUGGAUACUUCAUGAAAUUCACUCACGCGAUUGUGGUCAUCAUGCAAGUUCUCACUCCUUGGUCGCCAAGGCUUUUCAUUAUAGUUUUUUCUGGUUGACCGCACACGUCAAUGUAGAACAAAUUGUUCAUGUGUACAAUGGAUGCCAGCGAUAUGCUAAGCAAGAUCACAUACCGACACAAGCCCCUUGGAUGAUUCCUAUCACUUGGCCGUUUGUAGUCUGCGGGGCUCGACAUGGUUGGUCCUUUCAAGAUGUCUAAGUGCAAGAAGACCAACCUCUUGGUCGCAGUUGACAAAUUCACCAAGUGGGUGGAGGUCGAGCCUGUCCGUAGUUGUGAUGCUGAAAAUGCAAUCAAAAUCUUGACAAAUAUCAUUUUUGGUUUCAGUUAUCCUCACAGCAUAAUCACGAACAAUGGUAGUAACCUAUCUGAGGGAGCUAUGGAAAAAUUCUUUGGUAAGAAACACAUCUGUUUGGAUCUUGCAUCAGUGGCCCAUCCUCAGUCCAAUGGAUAGAUGAGCGUGCGAAUCAGGAGUUCCUCCGAGGUAUCAAGCCCAGACCCACGGUGCCUUUGGAAUGCACACCAUGAUGUUGGGUUGAAGAAAUCCUAGUUGUUUUAUGGUGUAUACGGACCACCCCAACCGGUCGACUGGAUUUACUCCUUUCUUAAUGGUUUAUUGUUGAGAAGUCGUAUUACCAAGUGGUGUAUAUGAUGACUCACCAAGGGUAGCCGCUUACGUUGAGACUAGUAAUGAAGCAUCUUGAAAUGACUCCCUUUAUGCCCUAAAAGAGGCACACGAUCUUGCGGCAUCAAGAUCAGCUAUAUAUCAAGAAGACCUAAAUCACUAUCAUAGUCAUAGAGUUUGUAGUUGUACUUUCCAGGAGGGUGACUUAGUGCUCCAUUUGAUCCAGAAAAAUACUGGAAUGCACAAGCUCUCCCCUCCAUGGGAAGGACCUUUUGUUGUAAGCAAGAAUCUGGGCAACGAGUCUUACUAUCUCAUCGACGUAUGUGAUCACAUAAAAUCACAUACCUCCGAGGAAGAAACACCUCGACCGUGGAACAUAGCUUUGCUACAUCCUUAUUAUACAUAGUUUGCUUUUUAUUAAAAAAUUCAAACAGUUGUAUUUUGAAAGACCUAUUAUGCCUAAAUGAAUAAAAAUAGUUUCCAUUCAUACUUGUGUUUCUUUGCAUCAUGCAUCAGUACUUUACCAUCUUUUUGGUUGCUUGGGGGCUACAAACUUACAAAGUUCAGUUGAUACCCUUGUAACCCGACACAUCUACACCGACUCAUAGUUUUAUCUUCCUUCUAAGCUUGAACCUACUCGCAUCUAUACGACCAGGCUAUGCGCCUUUUCAUUCAAUCACCUAUGAUUCCUUUGAAUAAGUACUUAGUGUGACCCUGGAACUACUUGAGUAUGAUCACAGCGGUUACAUCAUGCGAACGCUGGCUUAUAAAAAUGUGCAACGGAUAGAACUAGCAAGGGAUAAACUGGCUCUUCGAGAAUCUCACAUGCUAGCUCUUAGUUUUGCAUAAGUUUGCAACAUAACACAAAAGAAAAGAUCGUUCAUCUAAGCUAUUACAAGCCCAUAUGGGCCAAAUGAUAAUUGUUUUGCAGAUAGCACUCCUUCUUUUUCUAUAACUAUGAUCGCGCCAUGAGCCAGUCGGUCUACUGUGGCUUGUCUUAGGAUGUCUCCUGAGUCUUCUCUUGAAGGAUAGUAGAAGCACUAGUGCAGUUGCGGGCUACACAAACGGUUUUUACCCCCUUUCCAUGACAAAUAUUUAAACCAUCGCAUUGCAUGUGUGGGUGAUAGGGGGCCUAUCCCACACGACACGGAUAAAUAAUUGGUCAUGGUUCCAUUGGGUCACACACGCCACGCAAAAAUAGAGCGUGCAUGAUUGGUAGGACCAUCACAAACAUACAUAUUGAAGAAGUCAUGUGAAAUGUGCUUCCCAUCCCGCACAGGGAAUCCCAAAGAUACGUCUCUGUUCAUACUUCACAUCUCACACAAUUUUCUGCAUCACAUUAUUUCUGAUAGGGCUGUCCAUCACACACAAUAGUCAUAGUUAUGUCGAUUGUGUUAUUCAAUACAUCACUCAUGGUGCCUAGAAGAAACUAUUUGGCAUUGGGCUGUCCAUCACACACACUUGUUGUGUGAAAACAUUUGUGAUAGGGUGGCCUAACACACACAAUUGUCGACAGGAAAUCGUCUGUGAUUGUUCACUGAUCCAACAUGCUAACUUUCUAGAAACCACGUGGGUUUGUUGAGGUCAUCACCCACAACGUUGCCUUAGAAACCGUCUCCAAUAGGAACCACAAUUAUCAACCAAAUCUCUCUAUUAUUAUAAUCCAUUUAGUAAUCAAAUUAACAUUUCAUAUCAAGCACACAGUAUAUUUCUUAUUCGUAUUAAAACAACCAGGAUUUCAUAAUUGAAUUACAUCAGGGUACAACAUCAUAUAGGCAUAUACUACCUAGCUACCCAAUUGCACAACAGGACAAAGUUUUAAAUGCAACAUCUAUAACCUUUGGAAAUUAAGUAUCAUCAUAGAUGGUAAAUGGACAAAUGAGUCUCAUCUAGAAAACUAUUGAGGUGGAAGGCAGAUAUUGAGCCUUUAGUGUUGUUGAGGGUCGUCGCAACUUUAGUCCAGUGCAUGUGAAUGAUUGCCGCCCAUCCUUUGUCCUCUUGAGGAAGACUUCAAGAUUAUAGUGUGGGUCUUGUAUGAAUACCUUCCUCGUCUCUUGACCAUACACGUGAUUUGAGAUGUAAUCAUUGAUGAACUUCCUUGAAGAGGACUAAAAACAAACAUAUGCAUAAAUAUCUUUUCUAAAAUUUGAAAUGGCGCAAAGGGAAAAGGACAAGGUGAAAGAGAUGGUACCAUCAUGUAGUUGACCGAUGUCUUCUUCAUUGUGUAGACAAACAUCUUGUUGUUUUUCGUAGCUAGUUUCUUUAUCUUAACAAUCUCUGUGAGUUUCUGGAUUUGACUGAUAUUGAAGGAAACCUCAUUUCCCCCACAUGCAAAAAGGGUCGAACAGUGGGUCAAAACCUCUUACAACAGGACCUACAUGUGCAAGAACAAAUUAUUAGAAACUUUAAUACUAGAAUGGUUCUGCAAUUGCACUAUAAUGUGCUAUUAGCCAAAGGACCACGAAUGUGCAAACCUCGAUGGUAAAGCUUUAUUGUCUCCCAUUGUUUCCCCCUGCAACAUAUUUAGGGUAGAUAUUGAUUAGGAUAUAAGUGAUAUUUGGCAUACUAUGAGUGAAAUAUGUUAAUGAAAAAUGAACACAUUAUGGAUCCAACAAAUUAAUUCGAGCCACAUGGAAAAGCCAAUUAUCUAAACCAUGUGUGCUAAGAACUAGGAAAUGUAGAAAUUGUAUAUGUUUCACAUGUAUUUAGUAUAUCUAAAUUUGAUUUAUUUCUUACAUGCAUAACAAUACAAAAUUCUACCAACAACAAUCAAACAUCACAUUUCAGAAUUGAACUAAAUAGUUAAAUGACACCACAACAAAUGAACGAAACAGAUAAAUAAGAACCACAUUGCACAAUAGAACAUUUACUAGAAAGUCAGAUUGCAAGUAGCAUAACUUUGGGCAUUUUACUAGAAUUUCUAAAUGCAAGGCAGGAGGAGCACAUGCAAAAGGUAAACCAAGCAUUCUUAACCGGCAUAGCUAGCUGAACAUAGGUCCUUACAGAUAAAGCUAAGAACAACAAGCUAUUCCUUGUCGUAAGAGAUAUCAAUGAUGAUGGGCUCCUUCAACAUGGAAGAUGGCGAGGCCUCCACACGGUGGGUGCUCCCAUCGUAGUAGUGAGUGGAAUGAUCUUUCCCUGGCACCAACAUGUUGGCUCUAGAACUGAGGUAAGCACGGGCACACUAAUAAAACACAUCCUAGUCUUCGUCGAAUGCACCGGCAGAGCCCUCAAAAAAAGACCACGAGGUAUUGUUUAUAGCAGCCAAGCACAUGGCGACGUCGGCGCGCGAGGCGUCGAUGGUGGCCUCGACGGUGAGGUGCUCCUCCAAGAUCUGGGGGUUUGCACACAUGGCAACCAUCACUGCCUCAUCCGCGCGUGUAGCCGAUGUUUGCUUCUCUGCUGCCAAAUGCUUCGUGAGAUCCUGGAUAUAUUGCAUGCACCAUGGAUUUUGGCGGCGAUUAUUUGGAGGAUGGAGCGGUGAUUUGGGUGAAAGUUGUCACGCCAGCGGUCGAUCCAUGUGGGAUGGAGGAGGGGUGGGAGAGAGGGGGUAUUGGGGAGGUGUCGAUUGCCUGACUAGAUGGACAAGGCCGAGCAGCAUGACGGAGCAUCGCCGGCGAGGAGGCGGUACUGUAAGCAAGCAUUGAAGGUCUGAACUAGCAAAGGAACGAGAAAAAUGGGGAAAUGUGGCUUUUGAUUGGUACCGGGGGGUGAAGGGGGUAGAUAUUUGUGCGGUAGCCCAGAAAUUUCAUUCGAUACAGCAAAAAACUAUCGCUGGAAGUAUCAUCGUACACAGUCCCUUAUUCAGAACUGUGUACGAUAUCUAAACAUCACAAAUGAAACAUGUACUUUACCCCGUGUGUGAUGAGCUUGAACGUGCAAAUUAUUCAGAACAGAUUGCGAUAUUUAUACAUCACAAAUGAAGCAUGUGCUAUACCCCGUGUGUGAAGAGCUUGAACGUGUAAAUUUUUGUCUCCAAGCUUUCGAUGUAAGAUUUGAUAAUACAUUGCACAAGGUUUGUGCCAACAAAUUGUGUCUAAAGAACUUGAACUUAAUUUUCAAUUGGAAGACGUAAUGGGCAUAUGGCGGAUACUUUUGGUCCGAAUUUCCAUGGUUACAGUGGUCAUCCACAUUGUCACAUAAUUUAACAUCAACUGCUAAUUCGGAUACUACACAAAAGAGCCUACACAAGUGCCCGCACUUACUUAAUCAAGCAAUUAAGCAGAGCUCGUUGACCUUAACAUUACUCUAACAAAAGAACAUCGCUCUACACAAAGACUAAUAUUCCGCCUGGCGCUCGUCGAUCUCUGUAGCUUCCUCCAUGGCCCGGUCGCGCUCGAUGACUGAUACGUCUCCAAUGUAUCUAAUUUUCCAAACACUUAUGCUCCGGUUUUGACCUCUAAUUUGCAUGAUUUGAAUGAAACUAACCCGGGCUGACGUUGUUUUCAACAUAACUACCUUGUUGUUAUUUUUGGGCAGAAACAAGAGUUCUCGAAAUUGGACGAAACUUUUUGUGAAUUAUUUGUGGCAUUUAUAAGGAAUUAUGGAGCAAAGACAUACCGGAGGAACGCUACCAGGGGGCCACAAGCCAACAGGGCGCCCCCCAGGCCGCGCCCUGAUUGCUAGUGGGGCCCACAUGUCUCCUACGAUCCUAUUUUGAGUCCUAUAAAAUCACAUCUUCAGAGAAAAAAUCAGAGAGAAGUUUUCAUCGUGUUCCACGAGAUGGAGCCGCCAUCACCUCAUGUUCUUCCUGUGGAGGGCUGACCUCGAGUCCGUUUGGGGCUCUGAAGAGGGGGAUUCAUCGUUGUCGUCAUCACGAAUCCUUCUUGAUCAACACCGCCAUGAUGCUCACCAUCGGGAGUGAGUAAUUUCUUUGCAGGCUUGCUAGAUGGUGGUGGGUUUGGACGAGAUUCAUCAAGUAAUCGAGUUAAGUUUGACAGGGCUUGAUCCCUCGUAUCUACUAUGUUUUGAGAUUGAUGUUAUUAUGACUUUGUUAUGCUUAAUGAUUUUCACUAGGGCCCGAGUGUUGGAAAUAUGCCCUAGAGGCAUUGAUAAGAUAGUUAUUAUUAUAUUUCCUGUUCCAAGAUAAUCGUUUAUUAUCCAUGUUAUAAUUGUAUCGAAUAAAAGCAUAGAUACAUGUGUGGAUAUAUAGACAAAACAAUGUCCCUAGUAAGCCUCUAGUUGACUAGCCAGUUCAUCAAGGAUGGUUAAGGUUUUCUGACCAUAUGCAAAGUGUUGUCACUUGAUAAUUGGAUCACAUCAUUAGGAGAAUGAUGUGAUGGACAAGACCCAAACUAUGAACGUAGCAUGUGAUCGUGUCAUUUUGUUGCUAUUGUUUUCUACGUGUCAAGUAUUCACUCCUAUGACCAUGAGAUCAUGUAAGUCACUGACACCGGAGGAAUACCUUGUGUGUAUCAAACGUCACAACGUUACUGGGUGACUAUAAAGGUGCUCUACACGUAUCUCCGAAGGUGUCCAUUGAGUUAGCAUGGAUCAAGACUGGGAUUUGUCACUCCGUGUGACGGAGAGGUAUCUCGAGGCCCACUCGGUAAUACAACAUCACACACAAGCCUUGCAAGCAAUGUGACUAAGUGUAAGUCACGGGAUCUUGUAUUACAUAACGAGUAAAGAGACUUGCUGGUAACGAGAUUGAAAUAGGUAUGCGGAUACCGACGAUCAAAUCUCGGGCAAGUAACAUACCAAGGACAAAGGGAAUGACAUACGUGAUUAUAUAAAUCCUUGACACUGAGGUUCAACCGAUAAGAUCUUCGGAGAUUAUGUAGGAUCCAAUAUGGGCAUCCAGGUCCCACUAUUGGCUAUUGACCGAGGAGUACCUCGGGGCAUGUCUACAUAGUUCUCGAACCUGCAGGGUUUGCACACUUAAGGUUCGAUGAUGUUUUAGUAUAGUUGAGUUAUAUGUGUGGUUACCGAAUGUUGUUUGGAGUCCCGGAUGAUAUCACGGACUUCACGAGGGUUUUCGGAAUGGUCCGGAAACGAAGAUUGAUAUAUAGGAUGGCUUCAUUUGGUUACCUGAAGGUUUUCGGGCAUUACCGGGAAUGUAUCAGGAGUGACGAAUGGGUUCCGGGAGUUCACCGGGAGGGGCCCACCCACCCGGGAGUGAGCCCAAGGGCAUAGGGUGACGCCACAAGUCCCUAGUGGGCAAUGGCGCUAGAAGAAGAAAACCAAAAAAAAGAAGAAAAAAAAGAGGGAGGUGGGAAGGGACAGGAGGACUCCUCCUUCCCCAAACUGAAGUGGAGUUGGAGUCCUCCUCUCCACUUAGGCCGGCGCCCUAGUGGCUCCCUUGAGCCCCAAGGCUAGCCCCUCCCCUCCUCCUAUAUAUACUAGAGGUUUUAGGGCUAUUGAGACACAACUUUUCCAUGUGCAACUCAAACCUAUACCUCGUAGUUCUUCCUCUAGAUCGGAUUUCUGUGGAGCUCGAGCGGAGCCCUACAGGAAUAGAUCAUCACCAUCACCGACGUGCCGUCACGCUGCCGGAGAAUGCAUCUACCUCCCCGUCUCUCUUGCUGGAUCAAGAAGGCGGAGAUUGUCAUCGAGCUGUACGUGUGUGGAACGCGAAGGUGCCGUCCGUUCGGCACUUGAUCGGGAUGGAUCGUGGGACGGUUCAUGGGACGGUUCGUGGGACGGAUCGUGAAGACGUACCACUACAUGAACCGCGUUUAUUAAUGCUUCUGCUUAGCGAUCUACAAGGGUAUGUGGAUCCGAUGUCCCUCUCGUAGAUGAUCAUCACCAUGAUAGGUCUUCGUGUGCGUAGGAAAAAAUUUGUUUCCCAUGCAACGUUCUCCAAUAGUGGCAUCAUGAGCUAGGUUCAUACGUAGAUGUAAUCUCGAGUAGAACACAAAAGUUUUUGUGGGCCUUGAUAUUUGAUUUGCUUCCCUCCUUAGUCUUUCAUCGAUUCGACGGUAUUGUUGGAUUGAAGCGGCCCGGACCAACAUUACUCGUACGCUUACGAGAGACCGGUUUCAUCGACCAACAUGCAACUCAUUGCAUAAAGAUGACUGGCGUGUGUCGGCUUCUUCAACUUUAGUUGAAUUGGAUUUGACCGAGGCGGUCCUUGGAGAGAGGUUAAAUAGCAAUUUGCACAUCUCCGUUGUGGUUUUUGCGUAAGUAAGAUGCGAUCAUACUAGAUACCCAUAGCAGCCACGUAAAACAUGCAACAACAAAUUACACGACGUCCAACUUGUUUUUGCAGGGUAUGCUUGUGAUAUGAUAUGUCCAAAGACAUGAUGCGAUAUAUUGGAUGUGUGAGAUGAUCAUGUUGUAAUAGUUAAUUUCGACUUGCACGUCGAUGCUACGGCAACCGGCAGGAUCCAUAGGGUUGUGUUUAAACUAAUGUUUGUGUUUGCAGAUGCGUUUACUAUAUUGCUAGGUUAUAGCUUUAGUAGUAAUAGCAUAGAUAGAACGACAACCUCGAUGUCGUCACGAUGAUGGAGAUCAUGGUGUGGCGCUGGUGACGAUGAAGAUCAUGCCGGUGCUUUGGUGAUGGAGAUCAACAAGCACAAGAUCAUGGCCGUAUCAUGUCACUUAUGAAUUGCAUGUGAUGUUAAUCCUUUUAUGCACCUUAUCUUCCUUAGAACGACGGUAGCAUUAUAAGGUGAUCCCUCACUAAAAUUUCAAGAUUAAAUUGUGUUCUCCCCGACUGUGCACCGCUAAGACAGUUCGUCUUUUCGAGACACCACGUAAUGAUCGGGUGUGAUAGACUCAACGUUCACAUACAACGGGUGCAAAACAGUUGCACACGCGGAACACUUAGGUUAAACUUGAUGAGCCUAGCAUGUACAGACAUGGCCUCGGAACACAAGAGACCGAAAGGUAGAGCAUGGAUCAUAUAGUUGAUAUGAUCAACGUGGAGAUGUUCACCACUGAAACUAUACUCAACUCACGUGAUGAUCGGAUUUGAGUUAGUGGAUUUGGAUUAUGUUCCACUUGAAUAACUAGACAGAUGUCUAUUUGAGUGGGAGUUCUUAAGUAAUCUGAUUAAUUGAACUAAUUAUCAUGAACAUAGUCAAAAGGUCUUUGCGAAUUAUGUUGUAGCUUGCGCUGUAGCUCUGCUGUUUUUAAUAUGUUCCUAGAGAAAAUUUAGUUGAUAGAUGAUAGUAGCAAUUUUGCGGACUGGGUCAGUAAACUGAGGAUUGUCCUCAUUGCUGCGCAGAAGGCUUAUGUCCUUAAUGCCCCACUCGGUGUGCUACCCCUCGAGCAUCAUCUGUGGAUGUUGCGAACAUCUGACAUACACGUUUUUAUGACUACGUGAUAGUUCAGUGUGUAAUGCUUAACGACUUAGAAUUGAGGCACCGAAGACGUUUUGAAAAUGCCACGGAACAUAUGAGAUGUUCCAAGAGAUGAAAUUGGGAAUUCAUGCUCAUGCCCUUGUUAAGAGGUAUGGAACCUCCGACAAGAUUCUCUGUCUACAAAGUAAUGGAGAAAAACUCAAUCGUUGAGCAUUUGCUCAGAUUGUCUGAGUACAAUAGUCGCUUGAAUCAAGUGGGAGUUAAUCUUCUAGAUGAGAUAGUGAUGGUUCUCCAAAGUCACUGCCACCAAGCUAGUAGAGUGUCGUGAUGAACUAUAACAUAUCAAGGAUAGAUAUGAUGAUCCUUGAGCGAUUCACAAUGUUUGACACUGCAAAAGUAGAAAUCAAGUAGGAGCAUCAAUUGUUGAUGGUUAGUAAAACCACUAGUUUCAAGAAGGGCAAGGGCUAGAAAGGAUACUUCAUGAAAUGGCAAACCAGUUGCUGCUCUAUUGAAGAAACCCAAGGUUAAACCCAAACUCGAGACUAAGUGCUUUUGUUAUGAGGGGAACGGUCACCGAGGCGGAGCUACUCUAGAUACAUGGUAGAUGAGAAGGCUGGCAAAGUCGACAAAAGUAUAUUAGAUUUACAUGAUAUUGAUGUGUACUUUAUCAGUAAUCCUAGUAGCACGAGGGUAUUAGAUAUCGGUUCAUUUUCUAAGUAUUAGUAACUCGAAAUAAAAGCUAUGGAAUAAACGGAAACUAGCUAAAGGCAAGGUGACGAUAUGUGUUGGAAGUGUUUCCAAGGUUGAUGUGAUCAAACAUCGCACGCUCCCUCUACCAUCGAGAUUGGUGUUAAAACCUAAAUAAUUGUUAUUUGGUGUUUGCAUUCAGCAUGAACAUGAUCGGAUCGUGUUUAUUGCAAUACAUUAUUCAUUUAAAGAAAAUAAUGGUUAUUCUAUUUGCUUGAAUAAUUACCUUCAAUGGUUUAUUGAAUCUCGAUCGUAGUGAUACACAUGUUCAUAAUAUUGAUGCCAAAAGAUACAAAGUAGUAAUGAUAGUACCACUUACUUGCGGCACUGCCACUUGAGUCAUGUUGGUGUAAAAUGCAUGAAGAAGCUCCAUGUUGAUGGAUCUUUGUACUCACUCAUUUUUGAAACGUUUGAGACAUGGAAACCAUACCUAUUGGUAUAAACGCAUGAAGAAACUCCAUGCAGAUGGAUCAUUUGGACUCACUUGAUUUUGAAUCACUUGAGACAUGCAAAUCAUACCACAUGGGCAAGAUGACUGAAGGCCUCGUUUUCCAGUGAUAUGGAACAAGAAAGUAACUUGUUGGAAGUAAUACAUUUUGAUGUGUGCAGUCCAAUGAGUGCUAAGGCACGCAGUGGAUAUCGUUGUGUUCUUACUUCACUUACGAUUUGAGUAGAUACAGGAGUACUUACCUGAUGAAUCACAAGUCUGAAAUAUUGAAAAGUUCAAAGCUAUUUCAGAGUGAAGAUCGUCGUGACAAGAGGAUAAACUGUCUAUGAUAUGAUCAUAGAGAUGAAUAUCUGAGUUCCGAGUUUUGGUACAUAGUUAAGACAAUGUGGAAAUUGUUUCGUAGUUCAUGCCACCUAGAACACCAUAGUGUGAUGGUGUGUCCGAACGUCAUAGCCGCCCCCUCUUUGAUAUGGUGCAUACUAUGAUGUCUCUUAUCGAAUUACCACUAUCGUUUAUGGGUUAUGCAUUAGAGACAACCGCAUUCACUUUAAAUAGGGUACCGCGUAUUUCCGUUGAGAUGACACAGUAUGAACUAUGGUUUGGAGAAACCUGAGCUGUCGUUUCUUGAAAGUUUGGGGCUACGACGCUUAUGUGAAAAAGUUUCAGUCUGAUAAUCUCGAACCCAAAGCGGAUAAAUGCAUCUUCAUAGGAUAUCCAAAAUAGUUGGGUACAUCUCCUAUCUCAGAUCCGGAAGCAAAGCGUUUGUUUCUAGAAACGGGUCGUUUCUCGAGGAAAGGUUUGAGUGGGAGGGUGGUGGAACUUGAUGAGAUUAUUGAACAGUCACUUCAACCAGUGUGUAGCAGGGCGUAGGAAGUUGUUCCUAUGGCACCUACACCAAUUGAAGUGGAAACUGAUGAUGGUGAUCAUUAAGCUUCGGAUCAAGUUACUACAAACCUCAUAGGACGACAAGGUCGUGUACUACUACAGAGUGGUAUGGUAACCCUGUCUUGGAGGUCAUGUUAUUGAACAAACAAUGAACCUAUGAGCUAUGGAGAAGUGAUGGUGGGCCCUGGAUUCCGACAAAUGGCUCGAGGCCAUCAAAAUCCGAGAGAGGAUCCAUGUAUAAAACAAAGUGUAGACUUUGGAAGAACUACUUAAUGGUCGUAAGACUAUUAAGUAUAUAUGGAUCUUUAAAAGGAAGACAGACGAUGAUGGUGAAAAGUCACUAUUAAGAAAAGCUCGAUUUAUCGCAAAGAUGUUUCCCACAAGUUCAAAGAGUUGACUAUGAUGAGAUUUUCUCACUCGUAGCGAUGCUAAAAGUCUGUUGGAAUUAUGUUAGCAGUUGCUGCAUUAUUUAUGAAAUAUUGCACAUCGGAUGUCAAAACAUUGUUUCCUCGAUGGUUUCCUUGAGGAAAGGAUGUAUGUGAUACAACCAGAAGGUUUUGUCGAUCCUAAGGAUGCUAACAGGUAUGCAAGCUCCAGCGAUCCUUCUAUGGACUGGUGCAAGCAUCUCGUAGUUGGAAUAUACGCUUUGAUGAGAUGAUCAAAGCUUUUGGGUUUAUACAAGAUUUAUGAGAAACUUGUAUUUCCAAGGAAGUGAGUGGGAACACUAUAGAAUUUCUGAUAAGUAUAUGUGGUUGACAUAUUGUUGAUCGGAAGUAAUGUAGAAUUUCUGGAAAGCAUAAAGGGUUGUUUGAAAGGAGUUUUUCAAUGGAAAACCUGGAUAGAGCUACUUGAACAUUGAGCAUCAAGAUCUAUAGAGAUAGAUCAACACGCUAAAUAGAAUUUUCAAUGAAAUGAAUGCAUUGACAAGUUUUUGAAGGAGUUCAAAAUAGAUCAGCAAAGAAAGAGUUCUUGGAUGUAUUGUAAGGUGUGAAUUUGAGUAAGACUCAAAGCCCGACCAUGGCAGAAGAAAGAGAAAGGACAAAGGUCAUCCCCUAUGACUUAGCCGUAGGCUCUAAAGUAUGCCAAACUGUGUACCUCACCUGACCUGUGUGCCUUGCCAUGAGUUUGUCAAGGGGUACAAAAGGUGAUCCAGGAUUGAAUCACUAAACAACAGUCAAAGUUAUCCUUGGUAACUAGAGGACUGAGGAAUUUUUCUCGAUUAUGGAGGUGAUUAAAGAGUUAGUCGUAAAGGGUUACGUCGAUGCAAGCUUUGAUGCUAAUCCGAAUAAAUCUGAGUAGUAAAACGGAUUCGUAUAGUAGAGCAGUCAUUUGGAAUAUUUACAAAUAGCACGUAGAAGCAGCAUCUACAGGAUAACAUAGAGAUUUGUAAAGCACACACAAAUCUAAAAGGUUCACACUUGUUGUCUAAAAUCUCUCUCACAAGCAAGACGUGAUCAAACCCCAGAACUGUGUGGGUGUUGGAUUCGUUAAAAACACAUAGUCAUAUGAACUAGAUUAUUGACUCUAGUGCAAGUGGGAGACUAAUGGAAAUAUUCCCUAGAGGCAAUGAUAAGAUAGUUAUUAUUAUAUUUCCUGUUUCAAGAUAAUCGUUUAUUAUCCAUGCUAUAAUUGUAUUGAAUGAAAGCAUAGAUACAUGUGUGGAUAUAUAGACAAAACAAUGUCCCUAGUAAGCCUCUAGUUGACUAGCCAGUUCAUCAAAGAUGGUUAAGGUUUUCUGACCAUAUGCAAAGUGUUGUCACUUGAUAACUGGAUCACAUCAUUUGGAGAAUGAUGUGAUGGACAAGACCCAAACUAUGAACGUAGCAUUUGAUCGUGUCAUUUUGUUGCUAUUGUUUUCUGUGUGUCAAGUAUUCAUUCCUAUGACCAUGAGAUCCUCUCCCNNNNNNNNNNNNNNNNNNNNNNNNNNNNNNNNNNNNNNNNNNNNNNNNNNNNNNNNNNNNNNNNNNNNNNNNNNNNNNNNNNNNNNNNNNNNNNNNNNNNGUGUGUAUCAAACGUCGCAACGUAACUGGGUGACUAUAAAGAUGCUCUACAGGUAUCUCCGAAGGUGUUCGUUGAGUUAGUAUAGAUCGAGACUGGGAUUUGUCACUCCGUGUGACGGAGAGGUAUCUCGGGGCCCACUCGGUAAUACAACAUCACACACAAGCCUUGCAUGCAAUGUAACUGAAUGUAAGUUGCGGGAUCUUGUAUUACGGAACGAGUAAAGAGACUUGACGGUAAACGAGAUUGAAAUAGGUAUGCGGAUACUAACGAUCGAAUCUCUGGCAAGUAACAUACCGUAGGACAAAGGGAAUGACAUACGGGAUUAUAUGAAUCCUUGGCACUGAGGUUCAAACGAUAAGAUCUUCGUAGAAUAUGUAGGAUCCAAUAUGGGCAUCCAGAUCCCGCUAUUGGAUAUUGACCGNNNNNNNNNNNNNNNNNNNNNNNNNNNNNNNNNNNNNNNNNNNNNNNNNNNNNNNNNNNNNNNNNNNNNNNNNNNNNNNNNNNNNNNNNNNNNNNNNNNNNNNNNNNNNNNNNNNNNNNNNNNNNNNNNNNNNNNNNNNNNNNNNNNNNNNNNNNNNNNNNNNNNNNNNNGCUAUUGGAUAUUGACCGAGGAGUCUCUCGGGUCAUGUCUACAUAGUUCUCGAACCCGCAGGGUCUGCACACUUAAGGUUCGACGUUGUUUUAUGCGUAUUUGAGUUAUAUGGUUGGUUANNNNNNNNNNNNNNNNNNNNNNNNNNNNNNNNNNNNNNNNNNNNNNNNNNNNNNNNNNNNNNNNNNNNNNNNNNNNNNNNNNNNNNNNNNNNNNNNNNNNNNNNNNNNNNNNNNNNNNNNNNNNNNNNNNNNNNNNNNNNNNNNNNNNNNNNNNNNNNNNNNNNNNNNNNNNNNNNNNNNNNNNNNNNNNNNNNNNNNNNNNNNNNNNNNNNNNNNNNNNNNNNNNNNNNNNNNNNNNNNNNNNNNNNNNNNNNNNNNNNNNNNNNNNNNNNNNNNNNNNNNNNNNNNNNNNNNNNNNNNNNNNNNNNNNNNNNNNNNNNNNNNNNNNNNNNNNNNNNNNNNNNNNNNNNNNNNNNNNNNNNNNNNNNNNNNNNNNNNNNNNNNNNNNGGGAGGGGUGCCGGGGACCAUCGGGAGGGGUGUCACGCCCCAAGGGGUCUCAUGGGCUAUGGGAAGAGAUAAACCAGCCCCUAGUGGGCUGGAAUAAGUUCCCACUCAGGCCCAUAAGGUUUGAGAAGGAAAAAACACAAGGUGGAAAGAGUUUCCAAGUGGGAAGGUGGAAUCCUACUCCAAGUAGGAUUGGAGUAGGACUCCUCCACCUCCAAUUUCGGCCAAACCUUUAGGUUUUGAGGCUGCCUCCUCCCCUCCCUCCCACCUAUAUAUACAGAGGUUUUAGGGCUGAUUUGAGACGACUUUUCCACGGCAGCCCGACCACAUACCUCCACGGUUUUUCCUCUAGAUCGCGUUUCUGCGGAGCUCGGGCGGAGCCCUGCUGAGACAAGGUCAUCACCAACCUCCGGAGCGNNNNNNNNNNNNNNNNNNNNNNNNNNNNNNNNNNNNNNNNNNNNNNNNNNNNNNNNNNNNNNNNNNNNNNNNNNNNNNNNNNNNNNNNNNNNNNNNNNNNGUAUAACCAUCCGUGGUCUUUAUUCCUUGCAAUUUAACAUCCGUACAUGACACUUAGUCCACCCAAAAAUAUUCGUAGCUAUGCUUGCUACUAACUGGCAGGGUCACUCGUUCGUCAUCGUCCCCGAACAACGGUUUAUUCGAACGGACUGUCUAUUCGAGUCAGACGCGUCAUCAUCACUCGGUCGCCUUGCAUGCCGUCGCUCAGUCGAAAGCAUCAUCAUCACUCGGCCGCUCUGCUCGUCGUCGCUCGGUCGGACGCGCGUCGUCAUCACUCGGCCGCCCUGCACAUCGUCGCUGAGUUAGACGUACGCCGUCAUCACUCGGCAGCUCCACGCAUCGCCACUCGUCCGGACGCUCCAUCGUCACUCGGCCACUCCGCGCGCCGUCACUCUACUGGACACGUCGUCAUCACUCGGCAGCUCCGCGCAUCGCCACUCAGCCAGACGCUCCAUCAUCACUCGGCCACUCCGCGCGCCAUCACUCUACUGGAUGCGUCGCCAUCACUCGGCUACUCCGCGCAUCGCCACUCAGCCAGACGCUCCAUCAUCACUCGGCCACUCCGCGCGCCAUCACUCUACUCGACGCGUCGUCAUCACUCGGCAACUCCGCGCAUCGCCACUCAGUCGGACGCUACAUCCUCACUUGGCCGCUCCACGCGUCGUCAAUCUACUGGACGCGCCGUCAUCACUCGACCACUCGGCGCGUCGGCGCUCGGUCGAACACGCGUCAUCAUCACUCGGCCACCCUGCAUGCUGUCACUCAGUCGGACGCGUCGUCAGCGCUCGGCCGCCCUGCGCGCCGUCCCUCACUCGGAUCCAUCGUCAGCACUCGGUAGCUUCGCGCAUCGCCAGUUAGCAAGACAAGCCAUCCUCACUCGGUUGGAGACUCCUUCGUCACUCCGCAGCUUCGCGUGUCGUCACUCAGCUGGAGGCUCCUUUGUCACCUGGUUGCUCUGCGCGUCGUCACUCGGCCGCCCCGUGUGUCGCCACUCAGCUAGACGCGUCUUCAUCGCUUGACCGCCCAACACGUCGCCACUCAGCCGGACGUGUCUACUUCGCUCGACCGCCCCGCGCAUCGUCAGGCAGCUAAGUCAUUUUUACACAGACUGCAUUCUAUUAAAUAAUCAUUUCUACAUUACCGAGUGUCGGGGAAGUCGCACAUGACAUUCACUCGGAGGCCACGCCACUGAGUGUACCUGUGCACUCGGUUGUUUAUUUUUAUGUGGGAACACUUCACUUUCGCUUCGUUUGGGUCCAGUACUCAAACGAGUUCAGCCGGAUCCUUCACUCUUUUAGACUCUUGCUGGUUCCAAACCAGCAAUCAUGUGGCACACCCAGUGGGUGUCUAUGGGUGCAAUUUACAUGAACUAUUUCAGAAAAGAUCAUAUUACUUUGAUAAUUUUUUAUGCUGGCUUGUGCUAUUUUUCAUACACAGGUUACUCGACGCAUCUGUGCGCCAUCCUCGUCGCUGCUCAGGCUCAGUCGCCGCAACGAUCAUUCAUGCGUUUUCACGUGUUCGGAAGCCCCCGCAAUGACGUAGUGGACACGGCGCCCCGUGUGCCGUCAGUCGUUCGGACGCCUGCNGGUCCAGUACUCAAACGAGUUCAGCCGGAUCCUUCACUCUUUUAGACUCUUGCUGGUUCCAAACCAGCAAUCAUGUGGCACACCCAGUGGGUGUCUAUGGGUGCAAUUUACAUGAACUAUUUCAGAAAAGAUCAUAUUACUUUGAUAAUUUUUUAUGCUGGCUUGUGCUAUUUUUCAUACACAGGUUACUCGACGCAUCUGUGCGCCAUCCUCGUCGCUGCUCAGGCUCAGUCGCCGCAACGAUCAUUCAUGCGUUUUCACGUGUUCGGAAGCCCCCGCAAUGACGUAGUGGACACGGCGCCCCGUGUGCCGUCAGUCGUUCGGACGCCUGCUCGACAUACAUCACUUGGCCGCCCCGCGCGUUGCCACUCAGCCAGAAUCGUCUACCUCACUCGGAUGCCAUGCGCAUCGCCACUCCGUGUGGCACGUUUUCAUCAUUCGGCUGCCCCGCGCGCCACCGCUCAGCUUAGCUGCGACUCCAUGUCGCCUAAGUUAAAACUACUCCGAGUGCGGACAUGCUCCACACUCGGGGGCUUAGUUGCGACUCUGUAUCGCCUAAGUUAAAAACAACUCUGAGUGCGGACAUGCUCCACACUCGGGGGCNNNNNNNNNNNNNNNNNNNNNNNNNNNNNNNNNNNNNNNNNNNNNNNNNNNNNNNNNNNNNNNNNNNNNNNNNNNNNNNNNNNNNNNNNNNNNNNNNNNNAAGAUCAAGUCCGCAUUAUUCAUGAGAAUCUGAAGGCUGCUCAGUCUUGUCAGAAAAGUCAGUAUGACCGUCAUCAUCAAGAUAUGGUCUAUCAACCUGGCGAAAAGGCUUAUCUUCGUGUCACACCAAUGAGAGGUGCACACCGUUUCGGAAUCAAGGGCAAGUUAGCUCCUCGUUAUAUUGGUCCUUUCACUGUUCUCGAAAGGCGUGGAAGAGUGGCUUAUCAAUUGGAACUGCCGGCGAACCUUUCUCAGGUUCACGAUGUCUUCCAUGUUUCUCAACUCCGCCGCUGCUUCAAGGAUCCUAUUCGAGCAGUGGAUCACGAUAUGCUAGAGCUACAACAAGACCUCUCUUAUAAAGAGCAUCCGGUCCGCAUUCUCGACCAAGCUGAACGUAAGACUCGUCGCAAGGUCACCAAGUUCCUUAAGGUGCAGUGGUCAAAUCACUCUGAAGAUGAAGCCACUUGGGAACGCGAGGAUCAUCUUCGUGAUGAAUACCCCGGGCUCUUUCCCUCUACCUCUUAAUUCUCGGGACGAGAAUUCUUGUUAGUAGGGGAGAAUUGUGACAUCCUCGACUUUUGCUACAGUAGUGAUUGUAAUUAAGCUACAGUGAUCACCCGCUAAUGAUGCCACGUCACCGCUAACUAUAACAAUGUUCUCGUGAUGAUUGAAACCGAAUCAUAGUUCGAAGCUUCGGGAUUAAGUCAAACAUGAAAAGAUCUUCGUGUUGUUGAGAUAACAACGUCGGGGAGUUGUAAAGAUUCCCUAACAAAUUAUAAUAUCAAGUCGGGUACUUUUGGAAUCGUUGAUGAUCCCGAUAUAUUAAGAAAGGGGCUUCAACAAAAUAAGUAAAGAGAUAUAGUAAAUGAAGAUAAAUAAACAAAAGAAAGGACUAAGAGUAUAAAUAAUAAACGAUGAAAGAAAAGUAAAUAAGAAUAGAAUAAAGANNNNNNNNNNNNNNNNNNNNNNNNNNNNNNNNNNNNNNNNNNNNNNNNNNNNNNNNNNNNNNNNNNNNNNNNNNNNNNNNNNNNNNNNNNNNNNNNNNNNGGUCUGAUCGUGGGGGUGAAUAUCUGAGUUUCGAGUUUGGUGCUCACUUAAGACAAUGUGGAAUUGUUUCACAGUUGACACCGCCUGGAACACCACAGCGUAAUGGUGUGUCCGAACGUCGUAAUCGUACUUUAUUAGAGAUGGUGCGAUCUAUGAUGUCUCUUACCGAUUUGCCGUUAUCGUUUUGGGGUUAUGCAUUAGAAACAGCUGCAUUCACUUUAAAUAGGGCACCAUCAAAAUCCGUUGAGACGACACCAUACGAACUGUGGUAUAGCAAAAGGCCAAAGUUGUCGUUUCUUAAAGUUUGGGGAUGUGAUGCUUAUGUCAAAAAGCUUGAGCCUGAAAAGCUGGAACCCAAAGCGGAAAAGUGCAUCUUCAUAGGUUACCCAAAAGAGACAGUUGGGUACACCUUCUAUCUCAAAUCCGAGGGCAAAGUGUUUGUUGCUAAAAACGGAGCUUUUCUCGAGAAGGAAUUUCUCUCGAGAGAAUUGAGUGGGAGGAAGAUAGAACUUGACGAGGUUGUCGAACCUCUCAUCCCUUUGGAUGGUGGCGCAGGGCAAGGGGAAACCUCUGUCGUUGCGACGCCGGUUGAGGAGGAAGUUAAUGAUGAUGAUCAUGAAACUCCGGUUCAACUUUCUGUCGAACCACGCAGGUCGACGAGACCACGUGCUGCUCCAGAGUGGUACGGUAAUCCCGUCUUGUCAAUCAUGUUGUUGGACAACAAUGAACCUGCAAAUUAUGAAGAAGCAAUGGUGGGCCCAGAUUCCAACAAAUGGCUGGAAGCCAUGAAGUCCGAGAUAGGAUCCAUGUAUGAGAACAAAGUGUUGACUUUGGAGGUACUGCCUGAGGGCCGCAAGGCUAUUCAGAACAAAUGGAUCUUUAAGAGGAAGACGGACGCUGAAGGCAAUGUGACCGUUUAUAAAGCUCGACUUGUGGCAAAGGGUUUUUCACAAGUUCAAGGAGUUGACUACGAUGAGACAUUCUCACCCGUAGCGAUGCUUAAGUCCGUCAGAAUCAUGUUAGCAAUAGCUGCAUUUUUCGAUUAUGAAAUCUGGCAGAUGGAUGUCAAAACGGCGUUCCUUAACGGUUUCCUUAAGGAAGAAUUUUAUAUGAUGCAACCCGAAGGUUUUGUCGAUCCUAAGAAUGCUAACAAGGUGUGCAAGCUCCAGCGAUCCAUUUAUGGACUGGUGCAAGCAUCUCGGAGUUGGAACAANNNNNNNNNNNNNNNNNNNNNNNNNNNNNNNNNNNNNNNNNNNNNNNNNNNNNNNNNNNNNNNNNNNNNNNNNNNNNNNNNNNNNNNNNNNNNNNNNNNNAUAUAUAGGACGGAUGGUUUCGGACACCGGAAGUGUUUCGGGCGUCACCGGUAACGUACCGGGACCACCGAAAGGGGCCCAUGACUUCGGGAGGCUAGAUGGGCCAAGUGCGGGAGGGAACCAGCCCAUGGCGCAAGAAGAGGGGAGAAGGGGGAAACCCCACCAGAAGGGUGCGCCACCCCUCCUCCCCCUCCUGGCCGCCGCACCUCCCCCCAUCUAGCGCUGCCGCCCCUCCCAUGAGAGGGAAACCCUCAAGGGGGCGCAGCCCCUCCCCCCCCUAUAUAUAGUGGGCACUUUGGGCUGUUGGAGANCCUCAAGGGGGCGCAGCCCCUCCCCCCCCUAUAUAUAGUGGGCACUUUGGGCUGUUGGAGACACCAAUCUUCCUCUCCCUCGGCACAGCCCUGCUCUUCUUUCUCCUCCUCUGUGCCGGUGCUUGGCGAAGCCCUGCCGGGAGACCUCGUCUCUCCAUCGACACCAUGCCGUCAUGCUGCCGGAGAUCUUCCCCAACCUCUCCCUCCUCCUUGCUGGAUCAAGGUGCGGGAGACGUCACCGGGCUGCACGUGUGUUGAACCCGGAGGUGCCGUAGUUCGGCACUAAAUCGGAAUCACACCGCGAUCUGAAUCGCCGUGAGUACGACUCCAUCAACCGCGUUCUAGUAAUGCUUCCGCUUAGCAAUCUUCAAAGGUAUGAAGAUGCACUCACCCCUCUCUCGUUGCUGGUCUCUCCAUNNNNNNNNNNNNNNNNNNNNNNNNNNNNNNNNNNNNNNNNNNNNNNNNNNNNNNNNNNNNNNNNNNNNNNNNNNNNNNNNNNNNNNNNNNNNNNNNNNNNACUGUGCGGAAAAAGAGGUAGCUAUCGCCUGCCUUGGCCGUGUCCCGGAAAGCCAGGGCACAUGUGUGGGUGCCGCACCAGGCCGUGUUCGCGGGAGCACCAUGCCAUGCUCUGCUGCAGUGCUGCUCGCUUUGUAUCCCAGCACUGCUGGCCAUCAUAUAAGCUUUGAGAGACAAGUGGUUAAUUAGUUACGAUCUUUUCCUUUCCCUGGCCGGCCAUCAUAAGCUCUCGGUUCAUUCCGGGGGACGGACGAGAGAGAGACGGCGAUCGGGUGCUCAAAGUGGAAUUGUGCACCGAUUCUCCGACGGUGACGGAUGGAGGCGACGAUGAUAAGAUGAGGCCCGUAUCACGUCAUCGCAGCAGCCAGCCAGCUAGCAGGAGCAGCAACAUUGACUCACACGUACGUCCGGUCCAUUCUCGGACCAGAAAACGAACGGCUAACAGAAUCUACGGCAGAACCCUUUAAAUCCGGUCACUCAAACGGUUGUGGACGCGUUCCGGACGCAUUCGAAUGAUCCAUUAUAUUUUAUACCGUGCACUCAUAUGUCUUAUAUUUGAACUUUUAAAGUCAUAUAAGGUCAUGCACGUUAAUCAUUCAAUACAAAUUGUUCAAAUUCAUCAGUUNNNNNNNNNNNNNNNNNNNNNNNNNNNNNNNNNNNNNNNNNNNNNNNNNNNNNNNNNNNNNNNNNNNNNNNNNNNNNNNNNNNNNNNNNNNNNNNNNNNNGUGUAGGGGCAGUGACGGACGGACACGCCGUACAUGGUGGCCUCACAGGAUGGGAUGGGCCCGGCGCGGGCCCAGGUGGACAAUUUUAUGGCUAUGGUUGGAGUGGCCCUUUCGGUACUGACAUCUAGGCCCGCGUGCUGCUGACGGACGUGUCGAGGUUUUUGCUGUGACGGGCGCUGAGAUCUCGCCAGAUGCAGCGGCGGGUCGUGUACAGCUGUUGUNUUCUGUUAAGAUCGAAAUCUGUAACAGAUGUACCUUAUCUAUAGUAACACUAUAACACUGCCAAAAAUAAUCGAGGGGAUAUUUUUGUUUGCAUGCUUUCAGUCUUUUAUGUACAUGCGGUGACCGGUGAGGGAAAGAAACUUAGAUUGUGUCAAAUGCAUUUCUUAAUUCGUUGAGAGGAGCUAACUGGAUGUCGUUUAGUGGCGCAAAUAUUCAAAUCUGUGGCUCCAGAUUUCAGGAAUCUGAUCCGGCGUCUCCACUUUUUUGGUUUAAAGCUUUGAUGAUGGACCCUGAAAUAUUAGAUUAGUGUGUGGUUUGUUGCCAUGUGAAUGGUCGGUUUGCCAAGUGCUCGAGUGGAUCCUUUUUGGCAAAGGCAGGGGAGGAAAUCAUCUGCUUCUCUCGUCUCGUGCCAGAGGGGCCCAAGGGUUGUUCGGUUGCUUUCGGCCUUUUUCUCCCGUGUGUUCACUCCAUUGCAGCAGCUAGAGUGUUGUGAAUCAUGUUGUCGUCAAAUGUUCGCUUUGUGCAGGCGGCUUACUACAAAUCAGAGGAUGACAGACAUGUGUUGGCAUCGUGAGCUUUGGUUAGUGUUUGACUGUUGGUAUAUCAAGUUUACUAUAGGCUAACGUCUAUUUUGCCGUGCCGUUUUACAUACGUGGGAUCAACUCCUUUUCUCUAGCAGGUUAUUGUUGUCGAUUGUUUCGUUCUGGUUUUUUCUGCAUUGGCAUGGAUUUUAGUUAUCGUAUAUGACGGUGUUUUCUUAUACAUAUAUCGGGUUGCGCUGUUAUUGAAGACGGAGCAUAUUGGAUUUGUUGGAUGCAUGGCUAUGGAGUUUUUUUUUCUUUGCGAAAAAAACUUCCGACCUAUUAAUCUUCAAUCAUGGUAGUACAAUGAAUACUAGAAAUAAUAAAAAUUACAUUCAGAUCCGUAAAUCACCUAGCGACGACUAUAACACUGAAGCAAGCUACGCGUCGCUGUCAUCGCCCCUCCCUCGCUGAAUCCACACAAAACAUGUUGUAGUAGACAGUCGUGAUGUUGUCGUGCUAAGGCCCCAUAAAACCAACACAUCAGAAGAGCAACCAUCACCGAUGACGAGUAGUGUAGAUUAGAAGGAUCCAACCUGAAGAUAGACGAACAUAGAUGAACGGCGACCAGAUCCGAGCAAAUCCACCAAAGACAAUCCUCCUCGAGAGCCAGAUUAGCUUACCUGUCAUGAACUCUCUCUUGGGGAUUAUUGUGCUGCUCCCCAGCAAGACUUCAUAUUUUCGUUUGUACCUUGGCCAUGGCUGUAUGCCAGUUGGCGGCGUGUGCGUGGGUGUGUUGAACCUUGUGGUGUCUUGUAUGCUUUGGUCGAGGCUUUAUAAUAUAAAGCGGGGGGAAACCCUUUUUCGUCAAAUCCACCAAAGACAGACCCGCCAGAGACACACCUCCACACGUCCAUCNNNNNNNNNNNNNNNNNNNNNNNNNNNNNNNNNNNNNNNNNNNNNNNNNNNNNNNNNNNNNNNNNNNNNNNNNNNNNNNNNNNNNNNNNNNNNNNNNNNNCCCUGGACCCCCGACGCCACUGACCCCCCACAACCAACGCCACUAACCCCCCGACCCCCGAUGCCACCGACCCUCGACGGCACUGACUCCCGACGCCACUAAGCCCCAACCCCCGACACCUCUUCUGCCUUCUUUUGAACGAGAAGGUGCUUUUCGGCCUUCCAGAGGCCCACGGGGUCAUAGUUUUGAAAAUUAUGAGUUAGGUCACAUAUUUUCCGAUCAUGUUAAUUAUAAAAACAUCGUAUUUGUGUUGAUCGGGUGAAUUUCAAUGUGCAGUUGUUCGACGACCUCCACGUGUGUUGGACGAGCUCCGCCCUUGCGUUUGUUGGUGAGCACAAAUGACUUCUCCUCCUACCCCCUUAAUUUGCUCUGUCCCGGUCUUCGUGCCGAUGAAACUUGCUAGCUAUAGGUUUCUUCAAUCAUGAGUAUGCGUGACCAGUAUGCGUCUCCCGUUCGAAAGGGAGACAUCUAUAAAUAUGCAUUUCUUUGCAUAUUUAUAAUCGCCAUCCUUUCGAAUUGUCCAACAUUAUCCAUGGACAGCCCGAGUAUGUGUAGAUUGGGUUUGUUUUCCCGUAUGCUGUGCUCCGGAUCCGAUGCGGAAUUUCGUCAGUGCCUCCCCUUUUGUUCUCCGGGUACACAUCCUCUCUGCUUAUUGCCGAGACGUGUAUCAGGAGAACAGUGGGGAGGUGCUGCCGAAAUUGUGCGUCGCAUCUGGAGCAGAGCAUGGGAAAACGAACCCAGUCUACACAUACUCGGGUGGGAUUAGGACCUAUCUUUACCUAUUAGCGUGUAGGUUGCAUGGACGUAAUAAAACUGACAAACUUGAUUAGCGUAUGAAUAUAGAUGAUGAAUUAUGUAUUUAUUUCUUGUGCCCCCAUAGGUAGCUAGGCAACAUGAGUGAUCGUGCUUGGAUGUACACUGGUCACCCUAGUCAGAAAGACAUGACCCAUGAAUGGUUAACAAAAACCAGGGGGUUUGUGAGAGCCGCAUUUGCAAAUGGCCAGCAAAAAACAUGGUGCCCCUGUCCCAACUGCGACAACUGGAAAAAGCAGACAGAGUUUGAAAUGGGUAAACACUUGCAGAAGUCGGGUUUUACUCCUAAUUAUACGGUGUGGACUUUUCAUGGUGAGUCUGACCAACGUGCCAGAGUUGAGGUGAUUCGUCGUCGAACCGACGAGCAUGGUACCGGGAUUGAAGACAUGGUGCAAGGCUUUGAUGAUGCUCGGGAUUCGGAGAUGAGAUGGAGGAAUCUGCAAAGGCCUUCUAUGAAAUGCUGGAGUCUUCAAAACGUCCUCUCCACGAGCAGACUGAGCUUUGUCAGCUGGAUGCCAUCGCGCAAGUAAUGGCUCUGAAGGCUCAAUUCAACCUAGGCAGAGAAUGCUACGACGCGAUGAUGACGAUAUUUGGACGCUUUCUACCCAAAGGCCAUGUACUGCCUCCAAACCUGUACCAGUCAGAGAAAAUCCUCCGUGUACUAAAGAUGCCCUAUGAGAAGAUACAUGCCUGUGAGAAUGGAUGUGCCUUAUUUAGGCUUGAGUAUGCGGCCUUGAACUAUUGCCCCAUUUGCAAUUCUUCCAGGUAUAUUGUGGUAGACAACGGCAUGGGUGAGAAGAAUCAGACCAAAAUCCCCAUUAGUGUUCUUCGAUAUCUGCCAAUCGUACCAAGACUUCAACGUCUUUUCAUGGUCGAAGAGACGGCCAGACAGAUGACAUGGCACAAAUUGGGCAAAAGAACCGAACUAGAUGCGGAUGGGAACAAGAUGCUGGUACACACUUCAGAUGGUUUUGCGUGGAGGCACUUCGAUGCAUUACAUAAGGAUAAAUCGGAAGAUCCAAGGCAACCUAGAGUUGCCAUCAGCACGGAUGGGUUCAAUGUGUAUGGUAUGAUGGCAGCACAAUACAGUUGUUGGCCUGUAUUUGUCAUUCCACUAAAUUUGCCACCCGGAGAGAUUAUGAAAAGAAAGAACAUUUUCCUGACGUUGAUAAUUCCAGGGCCCAACUAUCCGGGGAAGAAUAUGAAUGUGUACAUGCAGCCGCUUAAGGAUGAGUUGCAAGAAGCCUGGGAUAACGGGAUCAAGACCUACGACGCGGCUACCAAAACAAAUUUCAAAAUGCAUGUGUGGUACAUGUACUCGACGCAUGAUUAUCCGGCGUUUGCGCUAUUCGCUGGCUGGUGUGUGCAUGGAAGGUUCCCGUGCACCACAUGCAAGGCAGCUCUUCAGUUCCGUUGGCUGCAGGCUGGUCGCAAGUAUUCUUGCUUCGACAUGCAUAGACAAUUCCUGGAUCCUGACCAUAAGUUCAGAAAAGACAAGAAGAAUUUCAUCAAAGGUAGAGUUGUCAAAAACACUGCACCAGCUGCGUUGACAGGCCAACAGACCCUUGAUCAGUUAAACGCUCUCGAGCCCGAUCCUUUGCGUCCAGGAUACUUCAAAGGGUAUAAUACGGAACACGCCUGGACUCACAAGUCAUGCUUAUGGGAUCUCCCUUACUUCAAAGACCUCCUUUGCCCACACAACAUUGACGUGAUGCACACUGAAAAGAAUAUUGCGGAGGCCAUUUUUGGUACAUUGUUCGGCAUAGAGAGGAAGUCAAAAGAUAAUCCUAAGGCUAGAAUCGACCUGGAGGCUCUAUGUGAUAGACCGUUGCAAAACUUGCGACAACGGAAAGGAAAGCAAAGCAUAGCGAAGCCAAAGGCAUGGUUCAAUCUUGAAAGGCCAGCUAUCAGGGAAAUGCUAUUGUGGGUGAAAAUGCGGUUGAUGUUCCCCGAUGGGUAUGCUGCGAAUCUAAAGAGGGGAGCGAGUCUUGAGAAAUUGAAAAUAUUUGGGCUCAAGAGUCAUGAUUGCCACAUAUGGAUUGAGCGGGUAAUGCCGGUGAUGUUGCGUGGCUUUAUCCCUGAGGAUGAAUGGCUAGUACUGGCAGAGCUGAGCUAUUUCUUCCGUUCUCUUUGUGCGAAAGAACUAUCGCCUGGCGUGCUAGAUGAAAUGGAAGAGUUGGCGCCGGAGUUGGUCUGCAAAUUAGAAAAGAUCUUUCCACCGGGCUUCUUUAAUCCAAUGCAGCAUUUGAUUUUGCAUCUCCCGACCGAGGCAAGAAUGGGGGGGCCCGUUCAAAAUCGAUGGUGCUACUCAACUGAGAGGAUGCAGAAGACGCUUCGAGCUAAGUGUAAAAAUAAACGUAGAAUUGAAGCAUCGAUGGCCGAGGCAUUCAUUACUGAGGAGGCGGCAAACUUCAUGACAGCACACUACGAAGCCAAAAAUUAUCAUUUGCAUAACCCGAAGCCUCGGCACAAUGAUGGCGAUCGAGAAAAAGUUCGAUCCAACCUCAGCCUAUUCAAAGGUAAGCUCGCACCAUCCGGUGCUUCGAAAGGGAAAUCGUUGGAUGUCGAAGAAUGGCGGACCAUUUCAUUGUAUAUCUUCACCAACCUAACAGAAGUGCGGCCGUACAUCGAGUAAGUUCUCCGUAAUUUAUUGUUCCGCAACUUCUAAUUGCUUUGAACCACUCUUAUUCCCGCAUAUUUGAUAUAGUCGAUACGUCGCCGAAUUCUCGGAUGGAGCGGUCAUCGAAAAGGAUUCCGUCGAAGAGUAUGAGCUUCUCGCAAAGCAUGGAGGCGACUAUCCUGGUUUCAUCUCUUGGUUCAAACAAAGGGUAAUUAAUUACCAUUAAGGGCCCAUUUGACUUAUUGGUCUAAUUUGCGGCUAAUGCAUCCAUUCUUUCGUAUUAAACUUGUAGGCUGAUGCAGAGUCUAUGGACGCCGAGUUGAGACUAGUCGCUAAUGGUUUUGAAUAUAAGGUCCGUUCAUUUGACAAAUACAACAUCAACGGGUAUCACUUUCGUACCUUUGGCAAAGAGCUAUCUAUGCCCGACCUAAAGACUACAAAUUGUUCUGUCUCUGCUAUCGGCGAAGGAGACACCGAGUAUUAUGGAAGGGUUGAAGCAAUUUAUGAACUUCUAUUCUAUUGUGAAAACCCACCGACCGUCGUAGUCUUCAAAUGUUAUUGGUUUGAGCCGAGGGAGACUAGAAGGACUCAUGAACAUAUAGGACUAGUCGAAAUCAACCAAAACACCCACUUAGAUGUUCCCGAUGUCUAUAUUACGGCUCAACAGGCGACACAAGUUUUCUAUCUACCGUGGGCCUGCCAAACUGAUCCAAAUCUCAAAGGUUGGGAUGUCGUUUAUGAAGUGCCACCACAUUUUAGACCACCUACCCUCAAUGAAGAGGAUUACGAACCUCACAUUAACCCAGACACAUAUGAAGGAGAAUUCUUCCAAGAAACACGUAUGUCCAAGAAGCGUUUCAAGAACCGCUCUACUUCACCCCAGAACAUUGAAGUAGACAGCGACAGUGAAUCCGUCUUAACCCCUGAGCCCGAACAGGAAGAGCUGGAAGAAGAAGAGGUUACUGCUGCGGAUGACCUGUCACUUCUUGACCGAUUGCAUAAUGGUGGCCUUCCACAUGUUCUUCUAGAUAGUGAUGAUGAUGAUGCAUUUAUUGAUGAUAGUGAUGAUCAUGAUGCAUUUAUUGACCCCGAAGCAUAUAUAGACGAGGACGAUUGUUAUUAGUUCAUGUCAGGUAUUCAACUAUUAUACUAUAUAUAAAUUUUGAGUUCAUGUUAGGUAUUCAAUUUUUAUUAGUCAUGUUGGUAUUUAUGUUGUACUAAUUUCAUUUACUCUUUGUCAUGACAGGUGUUGAAAGAUGGUGGGAAAGGGUCGAAAGCAUGCCGCGGCUGCUUCUUCGUCGGCGGGUGAUGGGAUGGGUACUUCCAUUCCUGCCUCGCCUCUUCGGAGAGUGUUGCUCUCUACUAUGCAAGGAGCGGCCCCCGUGAGAGGAGGUCGACCACCCGCGAAGCCGAGAGGCACUAAAGGUACACGUUGUAUUCAUGUUGGUAUUUAUGUUGUACUCAUGUUGUAUGCAUAUUGGUAUUUUAUUACUCAUGUUGGUAUUUAUGUUGUACUAAAGGUACACGUGGCCGCGGGAGAGGUAGGGCUACACGGUCUCCGCCACCACCCCAAGCUGAUUCACCUGAGCACAGGAGGACUUCUAGGGUGGAUUCGUCUGAGGUGGAGGCUACACGGUCUCCGGUUCACGAGCCUCGGGUCGACGAGCCUCAGGUCGACGAGCCUUUGACCCACGAGACUCGUGUCCCAGAGGCUUCCUUCCACACGACUGCGGAGCACAGCAGGGAUGAGGGUACGUCCCAAGAGACCCAGUGGGAUACCUGGCCUGAGCCAACUGGCCAUGCUGGUAGCGAUGAGGAGCUGGGUGAGGGGGAUACCCAGUGGGAUACCGUCUACCAGGGAGGAGAAGAAGGAGGAGAAGGAGGAGAGGGNNNNNNNNNNNNNNNNNNNNNNNNNNNNNNNNNNNNNNNNNNNNNNNNNNNNNNNNNNNNNNNNNNNNNNNNNNNNNNNNNNNNNNNNNNNNNNNNNNNNNNNNNNNNNNNNNNNNNNNNNNNNNNNNNNNNNNNNNNNNNNNNNNNNNNNNNNNNNNNNNNNNNNNNNNNNNNNNNNNNNNNNNNNNNNNNNNNNNNNNNNNNNNNNNNNNNCUUCCUUCUCCUCCUCCUUCUUUUACUUCUUCUUCUCUUUCUCUUCUCAUAUAGUUAGCUAGGGUUCCACCUAAAUGACAUAAUUAGCUUAGUUAGCUCCAAAAUGGCCUAUUUAAUAAAAAAUGACCUAUACUUAGCUAAUUAUCCUCGAAAUGACAUAAUUAGCUCCAAAAAGGCAUUCUUAGCCAAUUUAGCCCGAAGAAGGGGACAAGAAGAGAAAAAGAGGAAAAUGAAAGCAAGGAAGAGGAAAAAGGAGAAGAAGGAGGAGAGGGAGGAGGAGAAGAAGAAGGGGACAAAAGGAUAAGAAGAAGGAAGAGGAGAAGGAGNNNNNNNNNNNNNNNNNNNNNNNNNNNNNNNNNNNNNNNNNNNNNNNNNNNNNNNNNNNNNNNNNNNNNNNNNNNNNNNNNNNNNNNNNNNNNNNNNNNNNNNNNNNNNNNNNNNNNNNNNNNNNNNNNNNNNNNNNNNNNNNNNNNNNNNNNNNNNNNNNNNNNNNNNNNNNNNNNNNNNNNNNNNNNNNNNNNNNNNNNNNNNNNNNNNNNNNNNNNNNNNNNNNNNNNNNNNNNNNNNNNNNNNNNNNNNNNNNNNNNNNNNNNNNNNNNNNNNNNNNNNNNNNNNNNNNNNNNNNNNNNNNNNNNNNNNNNNNNNNNNNNNNNNNNNNNNNNNNNNNNNNNNNNNNNNNNNNNNNNNNNNNNNNNNNNNNNNNNNNNNNNNNNNNNNNNNNNNNNNNNNNNNNNNNNNNNNNNNNNNNNNNNNNNNNNNNNNNNNNNNNNNNNNNNNNNNNNNNNNNNNNNNNNNNNNNNNNNNNNNNNNNNNNNNNNNNNNNNNNNNNNNNNNNNNNNNNNNNNNNNNNNNNNNNNNNNNNNNNNNNNNNNNNNNNNNNNNNNNNNNNNNNNNNNNNNNNNNNNNNNNNNNNNNNNNNNNNNNNNNNNNNNNNNNNNNNNNNNNNNNNNNNNNNNNNNNNNNNNNNNNNNNNNNNNNNNNNNNNNNNNNNNNNNNNNNNNNNNNNNNNNNNNNNNNNNNNNNNNNNNNNNNNNNNNNNNNNNNNNNNNNNNNNNNNNNNNNNNNNNNNNNNNNNNNNNNNNNNNNNNNNNNNNNNNNNNNNNNNNNNNNNNNNNNNNNNNNNNNNNNNNNNNNNNNNNNNNNNNNNNNNNNNNNNNNNNNNNNNNNNNNNNNNNNNNNNNNNNNNNNNNNNNNNNNNNNNNNNNNNNNNNNNNNNNNNNNNNNNNNNNNNNNNNNNNNNNNNNNNNNNNNNNNNNNNNNNNNNNNNNNNNNNNNNNNNNNNNNNNNNNNNNNNNNNNNNNNNNNNNNNNNNNNNNNNNNNNNNNNNNNNNNNNNNNNNNNNNNNNNNNNNNNNNNNNNNNNNNNNNNNNNNNNNNNNNNNNNNNNNNNNNNNNNNNNNNNNNNNNNNNNNNNNNNNNNNNNNNNNNNNNNNNNNNNNNNNNNNNNNNNNNNNNNNNNNNNNNNNNNNNNNNNNNNNNNNNNNNNNNNNNNNNNNNNNNNNNNNNNNNNNNNNNNNNNNNNNNNNNNNNNNNNNNNNNNNNNNNNNNNNNNNNNNNNNNNNNNNNNNNNNNNNNNNNNNNNNNNNNNNNNNNNNNNNNNNNNNNNNNNNNNNNNNNNNNNNNNNNNNNNNNNNNNNNNNNNNNNNNNNNNNNNNNNNNNNNNNNNNNNNNNNNNNNNNNNNNNNNNNNNNNNNNNNNNNNNNNNNNNNNNNNNNNNNNNNNNNNNNNNNNNNNNNNNNNNNNNNNNNNNNNNNNNNNNNNNNNNNNNNNNNNNNNNNNNNNNNNNNNNNNNNNNNNNNNNNNNNNNNNNNNNNNNNNNNNNNNNNNNNNNNNNNNNNNNNNNNNNNNNNNNNNNNNNNNNNNNNNNNNNNNNNNNNNNNNNNNNNNNNNNNNNNNNNNNNNNNNNNNNNNNNNNNNNNNNNNNNNNNNNNNNNNNNNNNNNNNNNNNNNNNNNNNNNNNNNNNNNNNNNNNNNNNNNNNNNNNNNNNNNNNNNNNNNNNNNNNNNNNNNNNNNNNNNNNNNNNNNNNNNNNNNNNNNNNNNNNNNNNNNNNNNNNNNNNNNNNNNNNNNNNNNNNNNNNNNNNNNNNNNNNNNNNNNNNNNNNNNNNNNNNNNNNNNNNNNNNNNNNNNNNNNNNNNNNNNNNNNNUCCUCCUCCUUUUACUUCUUCUUCUCUUUCUCUUCUCCUAUAGUUAGCUAGGGUUCCACCUAAAUGACAUAAUUAGCUUAGUUAGCUCCUAAAUGGUCUAUACUUAGCUAAUUUCUCUCCGAAAUAACCUAUAUAUACACUACUUCAUCUAGUAUUAUUUUUCUAACUUUCUUAUUUGUCAUUUUGCAGAUUACCUUCACUUCACGGGAAGCUUGGUUGAUGGAAUGCUUGAAGAUGAUUUCUUGUACCAUGUGUUGUAUUGAAACUACUGUAGUAUAUGAAUAUAUGAAACUUUGUAUGCACGUGGAUGAAACUAGUGUAAUAUAUGGUUUGGUACGGAUGUAACUUCCAUAAUAUGUAUGCACUAUGGAUGAGAGUUAUUUUAAUAUGGUUAUGAGUACAGAAAGAUAUUUAUUUAUGUCAAAUAUAUAUAUAUAUCCUGAUUAUUGUUAAAAAUGCUGGAUAUAACAAAAAACAAAUAAAAAAGGGGCUGGUUCCCCUCUUUGCCGUCUGCCCCAACAUGGCAAAGGGGGGGAGGCAGACGGCAAAGGGGGGAAUCUGCCCCCCUCUCUCCCCUCUUUGCCAUCUGCCCCCGCAUGGCAAAGGGGGGAGGAAGACGGCAAAGGGGGGAAUCUACCCCCCCUCUCCCCCCUCUUUGCCGUCUGCCCCCACAUGGCAAAGGGGGGGAGGCAAACGGCAAAGGCGGGAAUCUGCCCCCCUCUCUCCCCUCUUUGCCGUCUGCCCCCGCAUGGCAAAGGGGGGGAGGCAGACGGCAAAGGGGGGAAUCUGCCCCCCUCUCUCCCCUCUUUGCCGUCUGCCACCAAAUGGCAAAGGGGGGGAGGCAGACGCAAAGGGGGAGGCCUGCCGUUAACACUUAACGGGGACGUUGCAAUAUAUGCCGUCCCACUUAUUUUGCCGUCUGCCCCCUCAUGGCAAAGAUUCUUUGCCGUCCGCUUUGUGAAAGCAGACGGCAAAGAGCCUCUUCACCGGAUUUUUUUUUACCGUCUACUUUGCCGUCUGCUGACCGACGGCAAAGCCUUUGCCGUCCGUGGUAGCCCCCUUUGCCGUCCGCCUUGGCAGACGGCAAAUUUCUGAAUUUCAGUAGUGUAUGUGGCGCCUCGUCUGCCGAUGCCAAGUGUCCCCCAGGAUAAUCUCAUCAAUCAAGCGUUCAACCGAGACCCCGUCCUAUUUUUGGAUCGUGCUUCAAGUGUAGCAAGCCAGGACACUAUUCAAGGGAUUGUCCUCUGCGUGGUUUUGUUCCACCUCCUUCAGGAAUGGGUGUUGUUCGUUGCAAGGCACCAACCAGGAAGUUCAAGGAAAGGUCAGUUGCUCUGACUCGUGUAUGUGUGCACCAUGUAUCUGCAGAAGAAGCUCAAGAUGAGGAUGAUGUCGUGCUUAAGACGCUCCUUGUUAAUUCCCAUCCAUCUUCAGUUCUUUUUUACUCUGGAGCAUCUCAUUCCUUCAUCUCCGAACGUUAUGCCUCCUUGCAUAACAUUGCUUUCGUAGAUAUGCCCACCCCAUUAGUAAUUCAGGCUCCAGGUUCCAAAUGGCAAACUAAUGCAGUAAGUCAUGGGAACCAAAUCUUUAUUGAUGGUCUAGUAUUCCUUGCUUCCUUGAUACCUCUCAAGACUUCAGACAUCAAUAUCAUUUUGGGGAUGGACUGGUUGAUAGCUCAUCAUGCCAAAAUUGAUUGUUUCUCUAGAUCUGUUCAGCUCACCCAUACCUCUGGCCAGUUAGUAAAUGUCUCAUCUGGGGUUACAAAAUGCCAGAUAUAUGCCCUCAAUGCCAAUCCUCUUCCAGACCUUGAAAACAUCCCUGUAGUCCGUGAAUUUCCGGAUGCCUUUCCAGAGGAACUGCCAGGUGUUCCACCUGACAGAGAAGUAGAGUUUGUCAUAGAACUUGUCCCAGGAACUGCUCCAAUUGCUAGAAGAUCCUAUAAGAUGUCUCCUCAAGAAUUAGCUGAGCUUAAAACCCAACUUGAUGAAUCCUUGAAGAAAGGUUUCAUCCGUCCUAGCUCUUCCCCUUGGGCUUGCCCUGUCCUCUUCGUCAGGAAGAAGGAUGGUACGGAACGGAUGGUUGUAGAUUACCGACCGAUUAAUCUGGUCACGAUAAAGAACAAAUAUCCGCUCCCCAGGAUCAACGAUAUGUAUGAUCACCUCGCUGGAUCUGCAGUCUUUUCAAAGAUGGAUUUGAGAUUAGGUUAUCAUCAAAUCAAAAUUAGGAAUGGGGACAUUCCUAAGACGGCCUUUGUCACUCGUUAUGGCCAAUACGAGUACGCCGUCUUGUCCUUCGGUCUAACCAAUGCCCCAGCCACUUUCUCCCGCUUAAUGAAUUCGAUCUUCAUGGAGUACUUGGAUAAAUUCGUCGUGGUUUACCUCGAUGAUAUUCUAAUUUACUCGAAGAACGAAGAAGAACAUGCUGAGCAUCUUAGGCUGGUAUUGAUGAAACUUCGAGAGCACCGCCUUUACGCCAAAUUCUCCAAGUGUGAAUUCUGGUUACCAGAAGUGACCUAUCUAGGUCACGUAAUCUCGGCAAAAGGUAUUGUUGUCAAUCCCGAGAGAGUUUAGGCCGUUCUUGAUUGGACUCCACCUGAAUCGGUGAAGCAAGUUAGGAGUUUUCUUGGCUUAGCAAGCUAUUGCCGCCGCUUCGUCGAGAAUUUCUCCAAAAUUGCCAAACCUCUAACUGAACUUCUCAAGAAAGAUAAGAAGUUCGAAUGGACCCCACGGUGCCAGGAAAGUUUUCAGGAGUUGAAAAGACGACUGACUACUGCCCCGGUACUUGUGCCCCCAGAUUUCUCAAAGGACUUUAUUAUCUACUGUGAUGCCUCGUGACAAGGACUUGGAUGCAUUCUUAUGCAAGAUCGCCAUGUGAUUGCAUACGCAUCUCGACAGUUGCGUCCACAUGAGGAGAAUUAUCCAACACAGAUCUGGAACUUGCCGCUGUAGUCUACGCACUGUUAACCUGGCGACAUUACCUCCUGGGUAAUCGUUGCAAAAUAUACACUGAUCACCAGAGUCUCAAGUAUAUAUUCACCCAACCGGAUUUGAAUCUCAGGCAAAGACGGUGGGUUGAGUUGAUUACGGAUUACAAUUUAGGAAUAUCUUAUACCCCAGGAAAAGCCAAUGUCAUGGCUGAUGCACUAAGUCGUAAAUCCUAUUGUAACAACCUCAUGUUGCUGCAAAAUCAACCACUUAUCCAUGAGGAAUUUUGUAAGCUUAAUCUUCACCUUGUUCCUCAAGUAUUCCUUUCUACCUUGGUGUCGAAACCGACUCUUGAGGAUCAAAACAUAGCAGCCCAGAAACAUGAUACGGGAAUUUCCCGGAUCAAGAGCAUCAUCGCCAAAGGAGUUGCUAGUCGUUUCUUGGUAAAUGAAAAAGGUGUUGUAUUCUUUGAUAAUCGUUUGGUGGUUCCUAAGAAGCAACAACUUCGUGAUUUGAUUCUUAAGGAAGCUCAUGAAUCGCCUCUCACGAUUCAUCCCGGUAGCACUAAAAUGUAUCAGGACCUACGCCAGAGGUUCUGGUGGACCCGGAUGAAGAGAGAAAUCGCUCAAUUCAUUGCUAACUGUGACGUUUGUCGUCACGUUAAGGCAGAACAUCAAAGGCCUGCUGGCACCCUUCAACCCCUGGCUAUUCCCGAGUGGAAGUGGGACAAGGUUACUAUGGAUUUUAUCACUGGUUUUCCAAAGACCAAGAAAGGGAAUGAUGCCAUCUUUGUCGUCAUUGAUCGCUUUUCGAAAGUUGUUCACUUCCUUCCACUCCGAGAAAGUAUAACUUCUAGCCAGCUAGCAGACCUAUAUAUUUCUCGAAUAGUUUCUCUUCAUGGUGUUCCUCUCGAAAUCAAUUCAGAUCGUGGAAGUCUUUUUACUUCUUGAUUUUGGGAAAGUUUCCAAAAAGCUAUGGGAACUCAUAUUUCGUUUAGCACUGCUUAUCACCCUCAGUCAAGUGGUCAAGUAGAAAGAGUCAACCAAAUUCUUGAAGAUAUGCUCAGAGCCUGUGUUAUCUCAUUCGGAAUGAAUUGGGAGAAGUGUCUUCCAUUCACCGAAUUCGCUUAUAACAACAGUUUCCAGUAUAGUCUGGGCAAAGCUCCUUUCGAAGUUCUGUAUGGACGAAGAUGUCGAACACCAUUAAACUGGUCAGAAACCGGUGAAAGACAGUUCUUUGGACCGGAUAUGAUCCAGGAUGCAGAAGAGCAAGUUCGCAUUAUUCGUGAGAAUUUUAAAACUGCCCAAUCUCGUCAAAAGAGUUUGUAUGACCGCCGUCAUAAGGAAGUAAGUUAUGAAGUUGACGAGAAGGCUUACCUUCGGGUUUCACCUCUCAAAGGUACCCAUCUUUUCGGUAUCAAAGGCAAAUUGGCUCCUCGUUACAUUGGUCCUUUCCGUAUUCUCGCUAAACGAGGAGAGCUUGCCUACCAGUUAGAGCUGCCUCCUCAGCUUUCCAAAGUUCAUGAUGUGUUCCGCGUUUCUCAACUCAGGUGUUGCUUCAAGGACCCUGUCCGCGAAGUAGACCACGAAACGCUUGAUCUCCAAGAUGAUCUGUCAUAUCGAGAAUAUCCUGUUCGUAUUCUUGACGAAACCGAGCGUAGAACCCGACAUCGCAACAUCAAGUUUCUCAAGGUUCAGUGGUCUCAUCAUUCCGAGAAUGAAGCAACAUGGGAGCGCGAAGAUCGCCUUCGGCUUGAAUACCCCGAACUCUUCCCAACUACGCCUAAAUCUCGGGACGAGAUUCUUGUUUAGUGGGGGUGAGUUGUCAUAGCCCUAGCUUUCAUUUGUUUCCCAAGCAUUCAUGCAUGCAUUAUAAAAACUUUGAUGUUUAAAUAGGAAGUGAUCAAAGCUCCAAAUGUUUUGAUCAAUUGACAAGAAGGCAAUAAAAUUUAAUACCUUAAUUGGAACCAGAAAAAUGUUCCAAAAACUUGGCAAAAUAGUGACAUAAGGUAAAAUUGUCAAACCAAAAUUCUAGCACACAGGAACUUUUUAAAAAGGAUUUUUGAGUUGACUAAAUAGCUAUUUGGAAUGGAAUUAUUUUGGUUCCUUCUNCACUCCGAGAAAGUAUAACUUCUAGCCAGCUAGCAGACCUAUAUAUUUCUCGAAUAGUUUCUCUUCAUGGUGUUCCUCUCGAAAUCAAUUCAGAUCGUGGAAGUCUUUUUACUUCUUGAUUUUGGGAAAGUUUCCAAAAAGCUAUGGGAACUCAUAUUUCGUUUAGCACUGCUUAUCACCCUCAGUCAAGUGGUCAAGUAGAAAGAGUCAACCAAAUUCUUGAAGAUAUGCUCAGAGCCUGUGUUAUCUCAUUCGGAAUGAAUUGGGAGAAGUGUCUUCCAUUCACCGAAUUCGCUUAUAACAACAGUUUCCAGUAUAGUCUGGGCAAAGCUCCUUUCGAAGUUCUGUAUGGACGAAGAUGUCGAACACCAUUAAACUGGUCAGAAACCGGUGAAAGACAGUUCUUUGGACCGGAUAUGAUCCAGGAUGCAGAAGAGCAAGUUCGCAUUAUUCGUGAGAAUUUUAAAACUGCCCAAUCUCGUCAAAAGAGUUUGUAUGACCGCCGUCAUAAGGAAGUAAGUUAUGAAGUUGACGAGAAGGCUUACCUUCGGGUUUCACCUCUCAAAGGUACCCAUCUUUUCGGUAUCAAAGGCAAAUUGGCUCCUCGUUACAUUGGUCCUUUCCGUAUUCUCGCUAAACGAGGAGAGCUUGCCUACCAGUUAGAGCUGCCUCCUCAGCUUUCCAAAGUUCAUGAUGUGUUCCGCGUUUCUCAACUCAGGUGUUGCUUCAAGGACCCUGUCCGCGAAGUAGACCACGAAACGCUUGAUCUCCAAGAUGAUCUGUCAUAUCGAGAAUAUCCUGUUCGUAUUCUUGACGAAACCGAGCGUAGAACCCGACAUCGCAACAUCAAGUUUCUCAAGGUUCAGUGGUCUCAUCAUUCCGAGAAUGAAGCAACAUGGGAGCGCGAAGAUCGCCUUCGGCUUGAAUACCCCGAACUCUUCCCAACUACGCCUAAAUCUCGGGACGAGAUUCUUGUUUAGUGGGGGUGAGUUGUCAUAGCCCUAGCUUUCAUUUGUUUCCCAAGCAUUCAUGCAUGCAUUAUAAAAACUUUGAUGUUUAAAUAGGAAGUGAUCAAAGCUCCAAAUGUUUUGAUCAAUUGACAAGAAGGCAAUAAAAUUUAAUACCUUAAUUGGAACCAGAAAAAUGUUCCAAAAACUUGGCAAAAUAGUGACAUAAGGUAAAAUUGUCAAACCAAAAUUCUAGCACACAGGAACUUUUUAAAAAGGAUUUUUGAGUUGACUAAAUAGCUAUUUGGAAUGGAAUUAUUUUGGUUCCUUCUAUUUUAAAGUUUCAAAAAUGUUGAAACUUUUAUGUGGCAUUGGAUAUUAUUGUCUCUGUCACAUAAUAACAUUUUUGGGUUUUAUAUUUGGUCAAACUAUAUAUUUUAAAUCCUAAAAGUAAAUGCCAGAAAUAAAUAAAAGAGAAAUGGAAAAAACAACAGAAAAACUUACCUAUCGCCACCCUCCUGGCCCAUCCCACCAGAGGAGGGCCUCACCCUGUCGUCUUCCUCUUCUUGCCAAAAGGCAGGGGAUAAGGUGAGCACGGCAGCUCACCUCGCCACCUCCUGCUCGCGUGGAGCCUCCUCCUGCCUCCACCGCGCCAGCACGAGCCGUCUCUCCUUUAUCUUCUCCUUCCCCUGCUCUCUUUCUCUCCUCUCGCUCUCUGUCUCUCUCUCGCGCCACCAUUGCCGAUCUGCUCAAGCUCGUCUCUAGCUCGUCUCCGGCCACCUCUCGCCACCCCGACCGUCUCGUUAGCUCCGCCUCGGCAAGAAGCUCCUCACCGUCAACAAGCCCGAGCACCAGAGCCCCUGCAGCCUCGCAUCGACGUCUUCCUCCUUCUCCGGCAACCGGAAGCCGCCACCGUCGAUUCGGUCGGACCAUCGCCCCUUCUUCGCCACCGAUGCCAGAAACGGAAUCACUGUGAGCCCUCGAGUCUUUCCCCUCUUUCUCGCGCGCGAAUGAACCUCUAGAGCUACCUCCCCGUCGAGCUCCACUUUCGGCCACCGCUGGAGCUCGUCGCCGGCUCUUUCUCCGGCGAUUCCAGCCCCUCCUGCUACCCCUGCUCGAUCGGCCGUUUCACCUGCAUCCCGUAGCCGCAAACCGCAUGCCAAAUAGGGCCCUGUAGCCUCGGUUAGGGCAUCUCCAGCGAGCCUCUCCGCGGAUCUGGUCGCCGGCGACCACCCUCCGGUGGGCGCCAACGUGGCCGACCAUUAACACGCUAAUUAACCCCCCAUAGACGCUGACAGAGGGCCCCACAUAGAGUCAAACCUCACUUAGUGCGGGUCAGCGUGGGUUUAGUCUAUGGGUCACUGACCAGUGGACCCCACUGGUCAGGUUCACCUGGACCCGGCUGGUUGACCUGCUGACGCAGGGAUGACAUCAGCCUGACGCAGUAAUAGUUUCUGAUUUAAUUUAAUUCCAAAAAAUUAUUGAAACUUGUAAAAAUCAUAGAAAUUAAAAUAUAACUCUGAUGGAAAUAAUUUAUAUAUGAAAAAGUAUCAGAAACACGCAAGGAAUCCAUUGGUGGCAUUUAUACACAUGUUUGGACAUCUUAACCUUGCUGAAUAUGACCAAUUCAAAAUAGGCUUAUAAAUGAUAUAAUUGGAUUUUGAAAAUGACUUAUAUAGAUCAAAUAAACUUCUUUCAACCUAUGAUCACUUGUAUUAGAUGAAAUCAGCAUCAUGAUAACUUGCCAUGCUCAUGCAUCAUUGUGAAGCAUUUUCCGUGAUUAAUUUCUUUCGUUUGAUCUGUCCAUAGACCUUGCGAUAUGUAGUUAUCACCGGCAUCGAAGAAUAGCUGAGUUCUUCCGAUCAACAGGCAAGCAAAACCCCUUUGAACAUUCCGAAAAAAUCCUAUUCUCUCGCUCCUGCUCUCAUUUCUAUGCAUUAGGACAAAAUGAUUCAAUUGAUAGUUGUAUUACGAUAGCUGCACCUAUUCCUUUGCAUGACCUGAUUUUGAUUACAGUAAAUAGCUAAACCAAUGCAACCUAGCAUACCUGGUAGAUGCUUGAGCCAUAUGUGCUUUACCCUGUUACGCUUGCUACGCUUAGGUUGAGUUUGGUCCGAGCAUCGGAAUGAUGUAAUGGAAUGAUCAUGUCCUAUUGAUGAGAGUUAAAGAUGUGAAACUAUUCUGGUAAAGGUAGCGAUGAGAGGCCAUGUAGGAGUACAUGGUGGGUUGUCUCAUUACCGCCGCAUUUAGGACCCGAGAUCUUGUCUUGGUGUUCCAAGACUAGCUACUACCGCACAUUGGGUUCCGGUAACUCGUCCCCUCUCGGCCUAUUAACUACUCUGUUCUCAAUCGAGAAGUUGCAGUAGUUCGAAACGUUCAUAGGUUGUGGCACGACCUGCUAAGUGGAUGAACGGCCCAGUCGGGACCGGCUUGGGGCCCUGCUCACAUCGUUUGAGGCCAUGUUGGAAACCUCGGCCGGACUUCCAUUAUGGGUUCCAAUUCAGAUAGGUGACUGUCUUGGGCGUGAGUCUUAGUAGGUUAACGUCCGUGGCCAACUCCCUCGCUGGGCUUCCGCUUGAAGGUUGCCGAGGUGCUGGUUUUUAUGUGCACUUGGCGAUAAGUGGCGGAAACAUGUGUGACGAAGUACACCCUUGCAGGGUAUCUAUCUAUUCGAAUAGUCGCGUCCUCGGUUAUGGACUCCUUGGAUACUUACAUGGUUCAUAGAUAACUUUAAUGGUUACUCUAAAAUGGUCCAGAUAAGUGUGAGUGCUAUGGAUGGCUUUCUCGUAGGAUUACGAGAGAGGAUUCAUGGUGGUGUAUUGAUGUGGUGGUUAUGUGGACUCAUGUGCGCUCUCUCGUAAGGAGACGAGAGAGAUAAUAAAACUUUGUUGUAGAAUAGGUUAGCCAAAGGUCAAAGCUGGCUUCUCUGCAAUAAACCCCACAAAUUCCGUUCAUUGAUACUUGAUGCAUAUGUAGCUAUCAUUGAUGUAAGACUUGCUGAGUACCUUCGUACUCACUGUUGCUUAUUCACAUUUUUGCAGAAUAGACGCCGCUCUCUCUACGUUAUCUCUUGACGUUCACAUCGAUGGUUUAGUUUGGGAACCCAGACAAUGAUCUGGCUCCUAUGGUAGGGUCGUUGUAGCUUUUAGGUUCUUCCAGCCGCUUUUAGUAGAUGUCUGUACCCAGACAUGUAACUUCCACUUGAUGCUUGUAUGCUCUGAAUAUUGGGUCAUGUGACCCCUUUGGUUUGUAACACUAAACUAUGUUGGCUCUUCAGAGUCUAUUAAUUAAAUGAUGUGUUGUAGAGUUAUGUUGUGAUGCCAUGUUGUAUCUACACAUAUCGUGCAUAUUGUGUGUAUGUUCGCAAGGCAUUAGUAUGUGUGAGAUUAGACACCUAGUUGUGUGCCUUGAGUAGUACUCCAUACCGGGAAAUGCCUCUUUGUGCUUCCACCGAGCCUUGGUAGCUUGCUACUGCUCCGGACACAUUGAUUGACCGGCAUGUAUCCUUCUUGGUUGCUGUGUUUGUCCCCACGGGGAAAUGUCACGCGGUGUAAUGGAGUCCCUGUAGCUUGCUAUGACUCGUCUACAGUCGCUGAUUACCGACACCUGCCUUGCUGGGUUAUGUAUGCCUGUCCCUGUACGGAUGUGCCACUUGGGUUCAUAACUAGCCAUGUCAACCCAGGUUCUUUGACAUAUGAUUGCUGGCAACAUAGUCAUAUACGUGAGCCAAAAGACGCAAACGGUCCCGGCCUAGGUAAGGUGGCAACCGGGGUGAUUCCCGUGCGUGAGGCCACAAAGUGAUAUGAUGUGUACAUGCUGGAGUUGUAUGGCUUAGGAUCGGGGUCCCGACAGGUACUAGCCAUGGAAAAGUAAGAAUACAGUAAUCUAACACCAAUAUAAAUAGAAAUAAGGAUUGCUAUAGUACCUCAAGAGGUGGUAGUUUGUUUUCUUGUGCUAAUGAUAUCAAGAGUUUUUGUUUAAGUUUUGUGUUGUGAAGUUUUCAAGUUUUGGGUGAUGUUCUCAUGGACAAAGGGAUAAAGAGUGGAAAGAGAUCAAGCUUGGGGAUUCCCAAGGCAUCCCAAGACAAAUUCAAGGACACCAAAAAGCCUAAGCUUGGGGAUACCCCGGGAAGGCAUCCCCUCUUUCGUCUUCAAUCCAUUGGUAACCUUACUUGGAGCUAUAUUUUUAUUCACCACAUGAUAUGUGUUUUGCUUGGAGCGUCUUGUAUCGUAGGAGUCUUUUCUUUUUGUUGUGUCACAAUAAUCCUUGCUGCACACCUUUUGAGAGAGACAAGCACUCAUCGUGAAUUUGCUAGAAUACUCAUUGUGCUUCACUUAUAUCUUUUGAGCUAGACAAUUUUGCUCUAUGUGCUUCACUUAGAUCUUUUAGAGCACGGCGGUGCGUAACUUGGUAGUUGGCUUGUGCUAUGAAAGUAGUCCCAAAGGUGAUAGGUACCCAAAGAGGAUACAAUAAAACUUCCACCUUCAUGUGCAUUGAUUAGAAAGAGAAGUUUGAUUCCUCUCAAUUAGUUUUGAUACGUGGAUUCGGUAAUAUUAAGAGUUAUGUUAGUAGGGUGUUGUGAAUCUAGAAAUACUUGUGUUGAAGUUAGUGAUUCCCGUAACAUGCACGUAUGGUGAACCGCUAUGUUAGGAAGUCGGAUCAUAAUUGAUCUAUUGAUUGUCAUCCUUUGUGUUGCGGUCGCGAUCGCGCGAUGGUUAACACCUACCAACCCUUCCCCUAGGAGUAUGCGUUUAGCACUUUGUUUCAAUUACUAACAAAACUUUCGCAAUAAGUAUGUGAGUUCUUCAUGACUAAUGUGAGUCCAUGGUAUAGAUGCACUUUCCCUUUUCACCAUUGCUAGCCUCUCUAGUACCGCACAAUUUUCACCGGUGCACAAACCCAACAUAUGCCUUCCUCAAAACAGCCACCAUACCUACCUACUAUGGCAUUUUUAUAGCCAUUCUGAGAUAUAUUGCCAUGCAACUCCCACCGUUAUGUCUCAUGACAUGUGCUGUCACUCUCAUAUUUCCAUUGCAUGAUCGUAAGAUAGCUAGCGAGAUGUUUCAAUGUCAUACGCCAAGCUAGAUCGUUGCACAUCCCGGUAGACUGCCGGAGGCAUUUCCUAUAGAGUCAUCAUCGUUCUAAGUUUUGAGCUAUGAGUAAAUAAAAGUGUGAUUAUCAUUAUUAUUAGAGCAUUGUACCCUGUGAGGAAAUAAAACAAAAGGAGGCCAAAGUUGCCCACUGAUACGUCCAUUUUGCAUCAUUCUUUCAUGUUGAUAUUUAUCGCUUUUUGGGCUGUUAUUACACUUCACGGUACAAUCCUUAUGCAUUUUCUCUCCUAUUUUGCCAGGUUUAAAUGAAGAGGGAGAAUGUCGGCAGCUGGAAUUCUGGCCUGAAAAAGGAGCAAGUUUGAGAUGCCUAUUCUGCGCAACUCCAAAAGCCGUGAAAAUCAACGUGGAUUUUUUUCGAGAUUUACAAAAAAUACUGGACGAAGAAGUGCCAGAGGGGAGCCAGCAGGUGGCCACAAGCCUGCUAGGCGCGGCCACCCCCUGGUCGCGCCUAGGGGGCUUGUGAGCUCCCUGCUGGCCCAUUGGCUCCCCUAUUUUCCUACAAGAAGGGUUUCAGUCUGGAAAAAAUCAGGAGGAGGCCUUUCGGAGGAUUCGCCGCUGCCACGAGGCCGAACUUGAGCAGAACCAAUCUAGAGAUCCGGCAGGACGAUCCUGCCGGGGAAACUUCCCUCCCGGAGGGGGAAAUCAUCGCCAUCGUCAUCACCAACACUCCUCUCGUCGGAGGGGACUCAUCACCAUCAACAUCUUCAUCAGCACCAUCUCANACUGAUACGUCCAUUUUGCAUCAUUCUUUCAUGUUGAUAUUUAUCGCUUUUUGGGCUGUUAUUACACUUCACGGUACAAUCCUUAUGCAUUUUCUCUCCUAUUUUGCCAGGUUUAAAUGAAGAGGGAGAAUGUCGGCAGCUGGAAUUCUGGCCUGAAAAAGGAGCAAGUUUGAGAUGCCUAUUCUGCGCAACUCCAAAAGCCGUGAAAAUCAACGUGGAUUUUUUUCGAGAUUUACAAAAAAUACUGGACGAAGAAGUGCCAGAGGGGAGCCAGCAGGUGGCCACAAGCCUGCUAGGCGCGGCCACCCCCUGGUCGCGCCUAGGGGGCUUGUGAGCUCCCUGCUGGCCCAUUGGCUCCCCUAUUUUCCUACAAGAAGGGUUUCAGUCUGGAAAAAAUCAGGAGGAGGCCUUUCGGAGGAUUCGCCGCUGCCACGAGGCCGAACUUGAGCAGAACCAAUCUAGAGAUCCGGCAGGACGAUCCUGCCGGGGAAACUUCCCUCCCGGAGGGGGAAAUCAUCGCCAUCGUCAUCACCAACACUCCUCUCGUCGGAGGGGACUCAUCACCAUCAACAUCUUCAUCAGCACCAUCUCAUCUCCAAACCCUAGUUCAUCUCUUGUAACCAAUCUCCGUCUCGCGACUCCGAUUGGUACUUGUAAGGUUGCUAGUAGUGUUAAUUACUCUUUGUAGUUGAUGCUAGUUGGAUUACUUGGUGGAAGAAUUUAUGUUCAGAUCUUUGAUGCUACUCAUUACCUCUCUGGUCAUAAAUAUGAUUAUGCUUUGUGAGUAGUUACUUUUGUUCCUGAGGACAUGGGAUAAGUCAUGCUAUAAGUAGCCAUGUGAAUUUGGUAUUCGUUCGGUAAUUUGAUGUUUGUAUGUUGUUUUUCCUCUAGUGGUGUUAUGUGAACGUCGACUACAUAACACUUCACCAUUAUUUGGGCCUAGAGGAAUGCAUUAGGAAGUAGUAAGUAUAUGAUGGGUUGCUAGAGUGACAGAAGCUUAAACCCUAGUUUAUGCGUUGCUUCGUAAGGGGCUGAUUUGGAUCCACUAGUUUAAUGUUAUGGUUAGACUUUGCCUUAAUUCUUCUUUCGUAGUUGCGGAUGCUUGCGAGAGGGGUUAAUCAUAAGUGGGAUGCUUGUCCAAGUAAGGGCAGUACCCAAGCGUCGGUCCAGCCACAUAUCAAGCUAUCAAAGUAACGAACGUGAAUCAUAUGAACAUGAUGAGAACUAGCAUGACAGAAAUUCUCGUGUGUCCUCGGGAGCGUUUUACCUCCUAUAAGAGUUUGUCUAGGGUUGCCCUUGCUACAAAAGGGAUUGGGACACUUUGCUGCACCGUUGCUACUUUUUUUUACUUUCUACGAAUCAUCUCACCACACAACUACUUGUUACCGAUAAUUUCAGUGCUUGCAGAUAUUACCUUGCUGAAAACCACUUGUCAGAUCCUUCUGCUUAGGGAUGGCAAUGGGUACCGUUUACCCAAAACCCGAUGGGGUUUUCUUCCAUUAUGGGAUGGGGAUGAUAUAUAGCCAGCCCACAUGGGGAUAUUUAUGGAAGAAAUUCCUCCCCAUCGGGUGCAACGGGGGCGGGGCUGUUUCUAUAGUCCCCAGACCAGAACCCCACUAAGCCCGAUAAGCAUCAGACAUGUGGCCCAGUGAUUUGCCUAUAUAAUACAACCCUAGGUCAAACACUUGUAUUACCUCAGCCCGUCAGCCGCCGUCAAUUUCUAACCCUGUUUUACCUCCCCUACUGCCAUGAACUUUUUCAUCUACAUGUGGCACCGCCGCCUCGCGAUUGAGUGCCAUCUGCCCCUUGUAUGUUCCACAUAGGAAUAGGAUGGACUCCUCCACUCCUACCAACGACCAUUCACCACAGGUCAGAGACAAGGCUAUUGCGGACGGCUCGAAACUCCCCCUCCGGCAUCCAGGGAGCGGCCAACUUCCUGGGCGAAUCCAGGCUGGACACCAGCAGCUCCGUCGUUCAACUACUUCGAGUGUAGCCAACCCCAAGAAGAACAGGAACACAUGAGUAUCAUCUUUCUCUUGAUUUAUGCUGAUUUGGGAGGAUGAACAAACUGAUGUGAUUGCUAGAUUAUAGGCAUGCGUAGUUGUGUGAUUUUUAGAUCAGAGGCAAGCGGGGUUUCUUCAUCUUGUUAUAUUAAUAGCAUAUACGUACAUGUGAGUCUCAGAUUAAACAUGCGUACAUGUGAUUGCUAGGUUGGACUUAUGGGUAUAUUUUUUAUGUGUGAAUCGGUGAUGAACAUAUCUGUUUGUCUGGAUACUUGUCAAUUAUAUUUCUCAUAAAUUCCUUCUGUAUGUACCUAGUCCAAUUAAUUUGUGCAAAAGGGGAUUGUAAUUAGACCAUCCUGCAGGAAUGUAUAUGAACAACAACUUGUUUAUUUAGUACUCCCGCCGUCUCAAAAUUAAUGUAUCUAAUUAGCAUGCACUAAUCUGUAUGAAAGGUAAUAAAUAGGCCAUUUUGUAUGAACGCGUGUAAGCAGCAACCUGCUUACUUACUGUUAUUUAAAAUUAUCUAACAAGAUAUAUGCUUAUGUGUGUUUGUCAUAUAAGAUAAUAUCUUCAUGUGCAUAUAAGAUAUAAGUUUCAUUGCUUAAUUUCAAUUCUGAGUACCAACAAAUUUUAUUCCUUAAAUUUAUUUAUCAUAUACUAAUGUGAUGGCCCUUUUUUCUUGUCCAGUCCAACUUUUUUCAGCUGUAACAGGCACAUCACUGUCAGAGUCACAAGCAUCUGAGUCCGUCCAUGAACCUGCUGCGGAAGACGUUGAAGGUGACAAUGGUCCUGUAGAAAUUUCCGAUGAGGACGAGGGAGAAGACGAACAAGAUGUUUAGGUUGUUGGUUCAAAGAGAAGGAAGCUUACCUCACCUUUUUGGAGGCACUUUGAGAGAGUGAAAAUAAAGGGGAACUGGAAAGCCAAGUGUGCUUAUUGUAAAAAGAAGCUUGGAGGAGAAACAAAAAAUGGGACUAAGCAUCUCCAUGAUCAUCUGAGGAGUUGUGUUUAUGUGAAGAUCAAGAACAGGGGCAACACACUGGCUCAGACUUAUUUGACGUUUAACUCCCAAGAUGAAGGCAAAAUUUCACUUGAGAACUAUACUUUCGAUCAGGAUUUUGCUAGGAAGGAGCUUGCAGACAUGAUUGUUUUACAUGAGUAUCCAUUAUGUAUUGUUGAUCAUACUAGUUUUCGUAGAUUUGUUAGUGCAUUGCAGCCUCUGUUCAAAAAUGGUGACAAGGAACACUAUUAGGUAUGCAUUCAAUAUACCUCUCCAUCAUGGUUGUACUGUAUAUUAUUUAUUUUGAUAUUUAAGUGUUGAUUUUUAUUUUAUAGGAAUGACAUCAAGGCUCAUUAUGAAGAAGAAAGAAAAAGGGCAAUUGAGUACAUGGCUACCACUAAAUCUAGAGUGGCCAUCACAACUGCUAUGUGGACAUCCGAUCAUCAAAAGAAGGGCUACAUGGCCAUCACAACCCACUUUAUUGAUGAUAAUUGGAACCUUAGGAGUGUUAUUAUGAGGUAUUGAAAUUAGCAAUGUUGUUGUCUUGAGAUUAUCAAUACUUCUAUGUUGAACAUAUGAAUGUUGUUGUCUAAUAACUUGUCAAUAUUUAUUGUAUUUUGUCCAGGUUCAUUUAUGUGCCAGCUCCACAUACUUCAGAGGCUAUAUUAAAUGAACUGUACGAGUCUUUGGUUACUUGGAAUCUUGAUGAGAAGCUUUCCGCCGUGACAGUGGAUACCUGCACCUCAAAUGACAAGGCGGUUGAUCUCUUGCUGAAUAAGAUAGGGAAAUAGAAGCUAAUGCUGAAAGGUAUGAUGCUCCACAUGCGAUGUUGUGCACACAUUCUGAAUUUGAUAGUGAAGGAUGGUUUGGAUGUGUUGAAAGCUGCUACAGAAAAAAUUCGUAAGAGUGUAGCAUUUUGGACAUCCACCCCGAAAAGAGUAGAGAAAUUUGAGGAAAUUGCUAAGUUUCAGAAAGUUAAAAUGGGAAAAAAGUUGGCGCUGGACUGCAAGACUAGAUGGAACUCUACCUUCACCAUGCCCCAUACCGCUUUACCUUAUAAGGCUGUGUUCGAGCAUGCAAAGAAGGUUGAGAAACUAUAUGAUUGCUAUCCCAGUGAUUAUGAAUGGGCUUUUGCUUCUAAUGUGGUGAAGAGGCUAGAGUUAUUCUUUGAAGUAACUGAAGUGUUCUCUGGAACCAAUUAUGUCACUGCCAAUAUUUAUUUCCCCAAGAUUUGUGAAAUCAAAGAGAAAAUGAGACAAUGGUCCACUUCUGAUGAUGAAAUUAUAGCAGACAUGACAGCUAACAUGAAUGAGAAGAUUGAUAAAUAUUGGUCUAGCAUUAAAGGUCUCAUGGGUAUGGCUACUCUCCUUGACCCAAGACACAAAAAUGAAAUGUUGCUUGUUUGCUUCUCUAGCCUACAUUGUGUUAGUCCUGAAGAGUGGCAUGGUCAUGUUUCAGAAGUCAUUGCUUCAUUAUGUAGCUUGCUGGAAGAAUAUCAGGAUGAAAACAAGGAUGAGGAUGGAGAAUCAUCACACUCCUCAUUGACAACAACAAAAGCUACAACUUUAAUGCCAGUUUUCAAUGCACGCAUUGCUCAGAAAAGGCCAGCAACUUAUAGGUCUGAGUUAGACCAGUACUUGAUGGAUGAUUUGGUUCCAUUGAGCAAAGAGAACUUUGAUGUGUUGGACUGGUGGAAAUCAGCUGGUAGACGAUACCCUACUUUGAAAAAAGUAGCAAGAGACAUUUUUGCUAUUCCGGUAACAACUGUUGCAUCAGAAUCUGCUUUUAGCACAAGUGGGAGGGUUCUUAGUGACCAUCGUAGCCGUCUAAGUCCUCCCAUAUUGGAGGCACUAAUGUGUUCACAAAAUUGGCUUAGGAACAAGUACAAAUGUAAGCUGACUUGUUUUCUUUGUUGUUGCACUUCUGUGUUGUGUAAAUAUAGCUCGUUGUUCACUUGUUUAUUUGCACAGAUGCCCCCAAAGGAGAUGUUACACGUUUCUGGUGUUGUCUUGAAGACAUUCAGGAGGGGAUGCAGGUACUCUCGGAAAUACAUUUUGGUAAUAUAGAAGUAUAUUUCAUUUCGCCAUUUAACUAAGUUCACAUUGCCAUGCAGGAUUUGGCACUUUGACUAAUACAAGAAGCUGAAGUUGCUGGUGAAGUUGGUCUUCCAUCAUCGAAUAAGAAUUCAACUAGUGUGCUACUAUUUCUAUCAGUCAGAUGAACUUUCUUUUAAGUUAUGUGUGGUGUGUCGUCAAUAUUGCAUGAUUCAUGUAAUAUUUUAGGCUUCAUAAACGUUUGUCGUCAACCUUUAUCUAUUAUCAUUGUGUCAUGGCAUUUGGCAUGCUCUUGUGCUGCUUCUUGGUAUGAUAUUUAAAUUUUCUUUUUGAGUUGCUCGCAUGAUGUUGAAUGUUGAUGAUCACAUCUUACUACUUCUUAAUAAUGUUUGUUAGAUAAUUAUAUCUUUGUUUCUCUCAAUGUACCACACUCAUGUGUAUACUCUACAAUUUACUAAAAUAUAGUAGUUGAUAUUGUAUGCAGGGAUGGGGAUAUGGGUUGUCCGUAGGUCUGCUACACCCGACAGCGGAUGGGGACGGGGAAAAUUUGUCCCCGAGGAUGUAGAUGGGGAUGGGAAUUGGCUGAUUGUUCUCUCACGGGGACGGGGGAUAAAAUAUACUCCUCGGCCGGGUGCAGACCCGUUUCCAUCCCUACUUCUGCUCCUCGUUGGGUUCGACACUCUUAAGGGCAGUACCCAAGCGCCGAUCCACCCACAUAUCAAACUAUCAAAGUAACGAACGUGAAUCAUAUGAACAUGAUGAGAACUAGCAUGACAGAAAUUCCCGUGUGUCCUCGGGAGCGUUUUACCUCCUAUAAGAGUUUGUCCAGGCUUGUCCCUUGCUACAAAAGGGAUUGGGACACUUUGUUGCACCGUUGCUACUUUUUUUACUUGCUACGAAUCAUCUCACCACACAACUACUUGUUACCGAUAAUUUCAGUGCUUGCACAUAUUACCUUGCUAAAAACCACUUGUCAGAUCCUUCUGCUCCUCGUUGGGUUCGACACUCUUACUUAUCGAAAGGACUAUGAUAGAUCCCCUAUACUUGUGGGUCAUCAAAACUCUUUUCUAGCGCCGUUGCCAGGGAGUGAAGCGCCUUUGGUAAGUGGAACUUGGUAAGGAAACAUUCAUAUAGUGUGCUGAAAUUUAUUGUCACUUGUCACUAUGGAAACCAAUCCUUCGAGGGGCUUGUUCGGGGUAUCUUCACCUCGAACGGAAGCACAAAGAGUUUCUCCUUAACCUACUGCACCUACUGAAAAUAUUUUCUAUGAAUUUCCUUCGGGUAUGCUUGAAAAACUGUUGGCUAAUCCUUUUACAGGAGACAAAACAUCACAUCCAGACUUGCAUCUAAUCUAUGUAGAUGAAGUUUGUGGUUUAUUUAAGCUUGCAGGUUUGCCCGAGGAUGAGGUCAAGAAGAAGUUAUUUCCCUUAUCUUUGAGGGAUAAGGCGUUGACAUGGUAUAGGCUAUGUGGUGAUACUGGAUCAUGGAACUACAAUCGGUUGAAAUUGGAAUUUCAUCAAAAGUUUUAUCCUAUGCAUCUAGUACAUCGUGAUCGGAAUUAUAUUUAUAAUUUUUGUCCUAGUGACAGAGAAAGCAUCGCUCAAUCUUGGGGGAGGCUUAAAUCAAUUUUAUAUUCAUGCCCCAACCAUGAGCUCUCGAGAUAAAUUAUCAUUCGGAACAUCUAUGCUCGGCUUUCUCAUGAUGAUCGCACCAUGCUUGACACUUCUUGUACCGGUUCUUUUAUGAAGAGAGAUAUUGAAUUCAGAUGGAAUUUGUUGGAGAGAAUUAAACGCAACUCUGAAGAUUGGGAUCUUGAUGAAGGUAAGGAGUCAGGUGUGAAUUUCAAGUUUGAUUGCGUUAAAUCCUUUGUUGAAACAAAUACUUUUUCUGAUUUUAGCGCUAAGUAUGGACUUGACUCUGAGAUAGUAGCUUCAUUGUGUGAAUCCUUUGCUGCUCAUAUUGAUCUCCCCAAAGAGAAGUGGUUUAAAUAUCAUCCUCCCUUAGAAGUCAAUGUAGUUAAUCCCAAUCCAGUUGAAGAUAAAGUCAUUGCCUAUAAUGAUCCUAUUGUUCCCAGUGCUUACAUUGAGAAACCACCUUUCCUUGUUGGGAUAAAGGAUCAUUCUAAAGCUUCAAAUGUGAUACGUAGAGGCUACAUUAGAACACCUACACCCCCUGAGCAAAUUAGAGUUGAACCUAGCAUUGCUAUUAUCAAAGAUCUCCUCUCCGACAAUGUUGAUGGCCAUAAUAUUCACUUCUGGGAAGAUGCUGCUAGAAUUGCUAAACCACACGCUAGAGACAAACAUAGGCAUGUUGUUGGCACGCGUGUUAUUUCUGUUAAAAUAGGAGAUCAUUGUUAUCAUGGUUUAUGUGUCGUGGGUGCUAGUGUUAGUGCAAUACCUCUCCUUAUAUGAUGAAACUAAAGACGAGAUUGCACCUGUUGAGAUAGAGCCUAUUGAUGUCACUAUUCAGCUUGCCAAUAGAGAUACUAUCUGCCCUGUGGGAAUUGUUAGGGAUGUUGAAGUCUUGUGUGGUAAAACAAAGUAUCCUCGUUAUUUCCUUGUUCUUGCUACCACCCAAGAUAGCUUUUGUCCCAUCAUAUCUGGCAGACCUUUUCUCAAUACUGUCAAUGCUCAUAUUGACUGUGAGAAGAAAACUGUCAGUGUUGGCUUUGAAGGUGUGUCACACGAGUUCAGUUUCUCCAAGUUUUGUAGAAAACCUCAUGAAAAGGAGUUGCCUAGUAAGGAUGCAAUUAUUGCCCUAGUUUCUAUUGUCGUGCCUCCUACUGAUCCUUUAGAGAAAUACUUGCUUGAGCAUGAAAAUGAUAUGCAUAUGCAUGAAAGGGAUGAGAUAGAUAGAGCUGUCUUAGAACAAUAUUCUAUCCUUAAGAACAAUUUGCCUGUUGAACUGCUUGGGGAUCCACCCCCGCCAAAGGGUGAUCCUGUGUUCGAGCUUAAACAGUUGCCAGAUACUCUUAAGUAUGCUUAUCUUGAUGAAAAAGAGAUACAUCCUCUUUAUUAUUAGUGCUAGCCUCUCAAAGCAUGAAGAAAAGAAGUUACUAAAAACUCUGAGGAAGCACCAUGCUGCUAUUGGAUAUACUCUUGUUGAUCUUAAGGGCAUUAGUCCCACUCUAUGCCAGCACAAGAUUAAAACCAAUCCUGACUUCAAACCAGUUGUUGAUCAUCAACGGAGAUUAAAUCCUAAGAUGAAAGAGGUAGUAAGAAAAUAAAUACUAAAGCUCCUGGAGGCAGGUAUUAUCUAUCGUGUUGCUCAUAGUGAUUGGGUGAGUCCGGUGCAUUGCGUUCCUAGGAAGGGAGGUAUUACUGUUGUCCCUAAUGAUAAGGAUGAAUUGAUCCCACAUAGGAUUAUUAAUGGCUAUAGGAUGGUGAUCAAUUUUAGGAAAUUGAAUAAAGUCACUAGGAAAGAUCAUUACCCUUUGCCUUUUAUCGACCAAAUGCUAGAAAGAUUGUCUAAACACACACACUUCUGCUUUCUAGAUGGUUAUUCUGGUUUCUCCGAAAUACCAGGUGCACAAUCUGAUCAGGAGAAAACCACUUUCACCUGCCCUUUCGGUACCUUUGCUUACAGACGUAUGCCUUUUGGCUUAUGUAAUGCACCUGCCACCUUUCAAAGAUGUAUGAUGGCUAUAUUCUCUGACUUUUGUGAAAACAUUGUUGAGGAUUUCAUGGAUGACUUCUCCGUUUACGGGUCUUCUUUUGAUGAUUGCCUCAGCAACCUUGAUCGAGUCUUGCAGAGAUGUAAACAUACCAAACUUGUCUUGAAUUGGGAGAAGUGCCACUUUAUGGUUAAUGAAGGCAUCGUCUUAGGACAUAAAAUUUCUGAAAGAGGUAUUGAAGUCGAUAAGGCUAAGGUUGAUGCAAUCAAGAAAAUGCCAUACCCCACAAAUAUCAAAGGUAUAAGAAGUUUCCUUGGUCAUGCUGGUUUCUAUUGAAGGUUCAUUAAAGACUUCUCUAAGAUUUCUAGGCCUCUUACCAAUCUCUUGCAAAAGGAUAUUCCUUUUGUUUUUGAUGAUGAUUGUGAGGAAGCCUUCGAAAUACUUAAGAAGGCUUUGAUAACUGACCCUAUUGUUCAACCACUUGAUUGGAACUUACCUUUUGAAAUCAUGUGUGAUGCUAGUGAUUAUGUUGUUGGUGUUGUCGUAGGGAAAAGAUUUGAUAAGAAGUUGAAUGUUAUUCACUAUGCUAGUAAAACUCUAGAUAGUGCCCAAAGAAACUAUGCUACUAUGGAAAAGGAAUUUUUAGUAGUCGUGUUUGCAAGUGAAAAGUUCAGAUCUUACAUAGUUGAUUCCAAAGUCACUAUUCACACUGAUCAUGCUGCUAUUAAGUACCUCAUGGAGAAGAAAGACGCUAAACCUAGACUUAUCAGAUGGGUUCUCUUGCUACAAGAAUUUGAUUUGCACGUUGUCGACAGGAAGGGUGAUGAUAACCCCAUAGCAGAUAGCUUGUCUAGGUUGGAGAACGUUCUUGAUGACCCACGACCUAUUGAUGAUAGCUUUCCUGAUCAGUAAUUGAAUGUCAUCAAUACUUCACGUAGUGCACUGUGGUAUGCUGAUUAUGCAAACUAUAUAGUUGCAAAAUAUAUACCACCUAGUUUCACAUACCAGCAAAAGAAGAAAUUCUUCUUUGACUUGAGACAUUACUUUUGGGAUGAUCCUCACCUUUAUAAGUAAGGAGUAGAUGGUCUUAUUAGACGUUGUGUACCUGAACAUGAACAGGGACAUAUCCUACAGAAGUGUCACUCUGAGGCCUACGGAGGACACCAUGCGGGAGAUAGAACUGCACACAAGGUACUGCAAUCAGGUUUCUAUUGGCCCACUCUCUUCAAGGAUGCCCGUAAGUUUAUCUUGUCUUGUGACGAAUGUCAAAGAAUAGGUAAUAUCGGUAAACGUCAAGAAAUGCCUAUGAAUUAUUCACUUUUCAUUGAACCAUUUGAUGUCUGGGGCUUUGAUUAUAUGGGACCUUUUCCAAAAUCCAAAGGGUAUACUCAUAUCCUAGUUGUUGUUGAUUACGUCACUAAGUGGGUAGAAGCUAUCCCAACUAGUAGUUCUGAUCACAACACCUCUAUCAGGAUGCUUAAAGAAGUUAUUUUACCAAGAUUUGGAGUCCGUAGAUAUCUAAUGACCGACGGUGGUUCACAUUUCAUUCAUGGUGCUUUCCGUAAAACGCUUGCUAAGUACGAUGUCAACCAUAGAAUUGCGUCUCCAUAUCACCCUCAGUCCAGUGGUCAAGUAGAGCUAAGCAAUAGAGAGAUUAAAUUGAUUCUGCAAAAGACUGUCAAUAGGUCUAGAAAGAAUUGGUCUAAGAAGCUCGAUGAUGCACUAUGGGAUUAUAGAACUGNNNNNNNNNNNNNNNNNNNNNNNNNNNNNNNNNNNNNNNNNNNNNNNNNNNNNNNNNNNNNNNNNNNNNNNNNNNNNNNNNNNNNNNNNNNNNNNNNNNNUCGAAAAUCCCAGCAAGAAGAGCAAGAAUACGGUUUGAGCUGCAGAACGAUUUUUUCUGGAGGUAGGGGAAGCAGAUGGGAGCUAGAAUGAGUGGAGGCGAUGCACAUGGGCCCCACAAGCCAGGUAGGCGCGCCCAGGGGGGUGCCCGUGCCUCCACGGCUUGUGGCCCACUGGUGCAGCCCCCAGACUAGCUCUUCGUCUCAGUAUUUUUAAAAAAUUCCAGAAAAAAUCAUACUUGAUUUUCAGGACGUUUGGAGAAUUUUUAUUUUCAGGGUACUUUUCCACGGGACGCUAAAACAGAAAACAGGGAAAACUAAACUAAACCUAUCAUUUUUAUUNCAAAGGUGAAAGCUUGGAUAGAGGUUUGUGACUCUUCGAUUCAUCCAUAUCAUGGUCAUCAAAAGGAAUCCGUCAAUGAGGUUGAUCAAGUCAACUUGACAAACCUUUUCGAAUCGCAAAAAGAGAACGAAGAAUUUUCGAAUAGUCACUAGGUUACCUCAAUGGGGAUGUGUAUCUCCCCAACAAGCAAAUCAUACUUCAUCUUAACAGGAGGAAUAGGGCAUUCAAAGCUCCCAAUAAGAGUCGAUGAAGUUUUUUCGAUAGCAUUGAUGCAAUGUACUCGAUAUUGUUUCUUCGGAAAGUGCACCGUAUGCUCAUUACCGUUGACAUGGAAAGUGACAUUGCCUUUGUUGCAUUCUAUAACAGCCACUGCAGUGUUUAAAAAGGGUCUUCCGAGGAUGACCGCCAUGGCAUCGUCCUCGGGAAUAUCCAGAAUAGCAGAGUCCGUUAAGAUAGUAAUGUUAGCAACCACAACAGGCACAUCCUCGCAAAUGCCGAUAGGGAAAGCAGUUGAUUUGUCGGCCAUUUGCAGAGAGAUUUCAGUGGGUGUCAACUUAUCCAGUUCAAGUCUACGAUAAAGAGAGAGAGGCAUAACACUAACACCGGCUCCAAGGUCGCAUAAAGCAGUCCUAACGUAGUUGCCUUUAAUGGAGCAAGGUAUAGUGGGCACACCGGGAUUACCUAGUUUCUUAGGAGUUACACCCUUGAAGGUGUAAUUAGCAACCAUGGUGGAAAUCUCAACCUCAGGUACCCUCCUCUUAUUAGUCACAAUAUCCUUCAUGUACNNNNNNNNNNNNNNNNNNNNNNNNNNNNNNNNNNNNNNNNNNNNNNNNNNNNNNNNNNNNNNNNNNNNNNNNNNNNNNNNNNNNNNNNNNNNNNNNNNNNUUGAUUGAAGUCUUCAUCGUUCGCCCUGAUCGAUUCCGCUGAGUAGUACGUCCGAGUGAACUUAAGAAUUGAAGUAGAUCCGAGUGACCAACAGGAUCUUGAGACUCUGACUGACUGCUGGUAGUCGGUUGGAAUCUGUUGGAUCUGUUGAACUUGGAUGUUGUAGGUGAACCUGACCAAGCAGAAUGUUUCUUUUUGUAUUUCUCUUCCUGUGGGGGCACGCUCAGUGCACCCACUGGGUGUAGUCCCCGAGCCUUAGUCGGACUAGAUGAGUCUGGCAGAGGGUUUAAGACUUCCAGUGCUUGUCAUGUUGAAUGUUUGUUGAAUCUGCAUUAUAUGAUUUCUGGAUCAAAGUCAAGUCUCCGAGUGUAUUUUUUAACUUAGGCGAUACGGGGUCGCAGCUAAGUUCUCGAGUGUGGAGCGUGUCUGUACUCGGAGUAGUUUUAACUUAGGCGAUACAGAGUCGCAGUGAAGCCCCCGAGUGCGGAGCAUGUCCGCACUCAGAGUUGUUUUUAACUUAGGCGAUACGGAGUCGCAGCUAAGCCCCCGAGUGUGGAGCAUGUCCGCACUCGGAGUUGUUUUGAACUUAGGCGAUACGGAGUCGCAGCUAAGCCCCCGAGUGUGGAGCAUGUCCGCACUCAGAGUUGUUUUUAACUUAGGCGAUACAGAGUCGNNNNNNNNNNNNNNNNNNNNNNNNNNNNNNNNNNNNNNNNNNNNNNNNNNNNNNNNNNNNNNNNNNNNNNNNNNNNNNNNNNNNNNNNNNNNNNNNNNNNCCUGGACUCACGUUGUUUUCAGCAAAAUUGCCUUGGUGUUAUUUUUGUGCAGAAAUCAAAGUUCUCCAAACGUCCUAAAAAUUUACGGGGAGCAGUUUUGGAAAAUAUCAAAAAUAUUUGCGCCAAGUUCCACCUCAGGGGGAUGGGCCAGUGGGCCACAAGCCCCUGCUCCGCCACCACCCCCCUGGUGGCGGUGGGCAGGCUUGUGGGGCCCACAGGCACCUGCCCCCCCAACUCCAGCUCUAUAAGUUGUCUUUCGUCCCAGAAAAAAUAAAAAGAGAAGUUUUCGUCGCGUUUUCGAUACAGAGGCGCCGCCACCACCUGUUCUUCAUCUGGAGGGCAGAUCUGGACUCCGUCUUGGGCUCCGGAGAGGGGAAAUCGUCGCCAUNUUCUUCAUCUGGAGGGCAGAUCUGGACUCCGUCUUGGGCUCCGGAGAGGGGAAAUCGUCGCCAUCGUCAUCAUCAACCUUCUUCCCUCUCCAAUUCCAUGAAAUUCUUCGUCGUUCGUGAGUAAUCUAUUCGUAGGCUCGCUGGGCGGUGAUGAGUAGGAUGAGAUCUAUCAUGUAAUCGAGUUAGUUUUGAUGGGGAUUGAUCCCUAGUAUCCACUAUGUUCUGAGAUUGAUGUUGCUACUACUUUGCCAUGCUUAAUGCUUGUCACUAGGGUCCGAGUGCCAUGAUUUCAUAUCUGAACCUAUUAUGUUGUCGCCAAUAUAUGUGUGUUCUUGAUCCUAUCUUGCAAGUUGUAGUCACCUANNNNNNNNNNNNNNNNNNNNNNNNNNNNNNNNNNNNNNNNNNNNNNNNNNNNNNNNNNNNNNNNNNNNNNNNNNNNNNNNNNNNNNNNNNNNNNNNNNNNGUAGUAAAAGACUCGUAGGUAGUGGAUCGGUGAUGUAUGAGUGUGACGGAUGUGAUUCAUCAUGUAAUAGCUAUAAUACGGAGAGAGACGUGGCUAGCUCCCGUUCAUGAAUCUAAUGUAGGCAUGUAUUUCGUACGUAGUCAUACGUGCUUAGGGAAAAGAACUUGCAUGCACAUCUAUUGUCCAUCCCUCCUGUGGCAGCGGGGUCCUAAUGGAAACUACGGGAUAUUAAGGUUCUCCUUUUAAUAAAGAACCGGACUAACGCAUUAACAUGCGGUGAAUACAUGAACUCCUCAUACUAUGGUCAUCUCCGGGAGUGGUUCCGGCUAUUGUCACUCCAGGGUUGCCGGGUCAUAACACAUAGUAGGUGACUACAACUUGCAAGAUAGGAUCUAAAACACACAUAUAUUGGCGACAACAUAAUAGGUUCAGAUCUGGAAUCAUGGCACUCGGCCCCUAGUGACAAGCACUAAGCGUAGCCAAGUAGUAGCAACAUCAAUAUAGAACAUAGUGGAUACUAGGGAUCAAUCCCCGUCAAGAACUAACUCGAUUACAUGAUAGAUCUCAUCACACUCAUCACCGUCUAGCAAGCCUACGAUGAGAUUACUCACGAACGAUGAAGAGCAUCAUGGAAUUGUCGAUGGAGGAAGGUUGAUGAUGACGAUGGCGAUUAUUUCCCUCUCCGGAGCCACGAACGGACUCCAGAUCUGCCCUCCAAAUGAAGAACAGGAGGUGGCGGCGCCUCCGUAUCGUAAAACGCGAUGAAACCUUCUCUCUGAUUAUUUUCUAGGCGAAAGGGAAGAUAUAGAACUGAGAUUGGGGGCGGUGGUGCCACGUGGGCCCCACAAGCCUGCAUGGCGAGGCCAUAGGGGGUGGCCACCGCCUGUGGGCUUGUGGCCCACUGGCACGCCCCCUCAUGUGGAACUUUGCGCAGGUAUUUUUCUUUUAUUCCAGAAAAAAUCUCCGUAAAUUUUCAGGACGUUCCGAGAACUUUUGUUUGUGCACAAAAACAACACCAUNNNNNNNNNNNNNNNNNNNNNNNNNNNNNNNNNNNNNNNNNNNNNNNNNNNNNNNNNNNNNNNNNNNNNNNNNNNNNNNNNNNNNNNNNNNNNNNNNNNNGCACAGGAAAAUAUAUGCUAGCAGCUCUGGUGCAAGACACUCCUCUCUCCUCUCCUACAGCAAUAGUAUCGAUGAAAGCCUCCAAGUCCCGUGGACAAGGUUCAUGAAUAUCCCCAACAAAACGCAAUUUGCAAACAUUGCGAAAAUCCUGGAGUGACAUGCGCUGCGGGAUAUCAUAAAGUUCGAACUCAACCAUAGGAGGAUUCUUCCUCGGAUAGAAGUUAAAGCUUUGUACGAAGAUAUUAGUGAGGAGGAGGUAUUGCGGACACUUAUCUUCAAUGAAGGCAGUAAGGCCUGCGUUCUCCACCAAGUGAUAAAAGUCCUCAUAAAGUCCGGCGGCGCGUAAGAACACAUCGCUUGGCCACUCGCACGCUCGAACUUCUGCGACUCGAGGGACCAGAUACUUGGGCUUCUUCUCACUUCCAUCAUCCUUGGGGUCACGGCUUGAAGAGCCUCUUAAGAACCUCCUCAUCUUUUCCCUUUUCUAUCUCUGAAAAUUUCUGAAAUUUUAGUGACUCAAGGAAAAGUGAACAAGGCUCAACAAAACUCAUAGCAAAUACUCCCACAAGUGCCUAGAGGCCAUAUUACGCAUCAAAACUUCUUGGGACCAGCUAAAAUUAGCAUGCAAAGCUCAAGAGCAGGGUCACCAAGGCAGCAAAAAUACGCGAAGUAUAAGGCACUAUAGCAAAAACUAAUUGGACCAAUGGAGGAGUCACUUACCAAGGAGUAAUUUCCCCAAAACAGUUCGGAGAACGGUGCUUUGAGUAAAGAGAUCAAAAAUCCCAGCAAGAGGAGCAAGAACACGGGUUUGAGCUGCGAAACGAUUUUUUUCUGGAGGUAGGAGAACCAGAUGAGAGCAAGAAUGAGUGGAGGGGGUGCUUGUGGGCCCCCACAAGCCUGGGUGGCGCAGCCAGGGGGUGCCCGCGCCCCAAGGGCUUGUGGCCCACUGGUGUAGCCCCCAGACAAGCUCUUUGUCUCAGAAUUUUUCCAAAAUUCCAGAAACAAUCAUACUUGAUUUUUAGGACUUUCGGAGAACUUUUAUUUUCGGGGUACUUUUCUAGGAGACACUAAAACAGAAAACAUGGAAAAUUAAACUAAAUCUAUCAUUUUUCUCCUAAGCAACCUAAAGUGAAAGCUUGGAACAGAGGUUUGUGACUCCUCGAUUCAUCCAUCACAUGGUCAUCGAAAGAAAAUCCGUCACUGAGGUUGAUCAAGCCUCUUGGACAAACCUUUUCGAAUUGCAAAAGAGAACGGAGAAUUUUCGAAUAGUCACUAGGUCACCUCAAUGGGGAUGUGUAUCUCCCCAACAAGCAAAUCAUACUUCAUCUUGACACGAGGAAUAGGGCAUUCAAAGCUCCCAAUAAGAAUCGAUGAAGUUUUUUCGAUAGCAUUGAUGCAAUGUACUCGAUAUUGUUUCUUCGGAAAGUGCAUGCUCAUUACCGUUGACAUGGAAAGUGACGUUGCCUUUGUUGCAAUCUAUAACAGCCCCUGCAGUGUUUAAAAAGGGUCUUCCGAGGAUGACAGCCACGACAUCGUCCUCGGGAAUAUCCAAGAUAACAAAGUCUGUUAAGAUAGUGACGUUAGCAACCACAACAGGCACAUCCUCGCAAAUGCCGAUAGGGAAAGCAGUUGAUUUGUCGGCCAUUUGCNNNNNNNNNNNNNNNNNNNNNNNNNNNNNNNNNNNNNNNNNNNNNNNNNNNNNNNNNNNNNNNNNNNNNNNNNNNNNNNNNNNNNNNNNNNNNNNNNNNNAAGCCACUACUGUUAAACUAUAUUCAUAAAUUGUCGGAUAAAACACAAACUAAUCAUAGACAGUAAUCUCAACAGUAUAAUAUAAUUAGAAAACUAUUACUUUACCGAUUAUAGCUGUAAGUGGGACCUUCGGAACCCUCGCAUAAAAUCAGCAAAUAAAUCGGUAGACACUAGAACGGUCAUUACAACACAGAUCUGGGACAUUACCGGAAUAACUCAACCUCGGCUCAAGACGUCUGGAAAGCAGCUCGGAGCAUGAGACGGUGUUGAUAAGAAGAAAGUAGCGGUUCCCUAAGACGGCCGAAGCAUAGCUCAGAGCAUAGGAUCACUGCUACAGAAAGAAAUUCAACAGUUGCCCGCGACGGCCGGAAAGCAUCUCAGAACACGGGACAGUUGUUGACAAGAGAAAUAUAACAUUGGCAUCCACCCCGGUCGGCCGGAAAUAGCACAGACUCAGGCAUGGUGCCAGUAUUGAAGAAAAUGCGAGCAAGGGUUCGUCAGCGUCNCCAGUAUUGAAGAAAAUGCGAGCAAGGGUUCGUCAGCGUCACAUACAUCACCUCACUAUGUACUCGGAUAUAUGCAUUAUUAAAUAUGUAAGAGCAACAUAUGAGGGCGUAUGUUGGAUGAAAAGUAGCACUAGGAACUUUUAUUAAUGUCAUCAUAGUUAUAUGCAAAAUGCAGGCUAACAGGUGAUACAGAUAAACACACAACGUUCAAGCAAAAUUAUCACGCAAGUCCAGAGCUCAUAGUAAGAGGUUGGCUUGCCUGGGGGUCGAUGAAUACUCCGAGCAGAAGCGCAAUAACACACCGGAAAUCUUUGUUGGAGAGGGCUUCCCUCUCGGAAGGCUCAAACAAAGGCAAGGGCAAAAUGGUCAUUUCUACUGCACAAACAUCUUAUGAAAAUAAUACUAUCGAAACGGUCUCUACGAUACGAAGACGUGGGCGCUGGUUUUACCUCAAUGAGAGUUACGAGCGCAAAGAUACGCCCGUUAGAGCACCAGGGACCAAUUUGUAAAAAGAAUAUCUGCAAAUAGGUCCCUGGGGAUGAAACAGAACGCGCCUUUNNNNNNNNNNNNNNNNNNNNNNNNNNNNNNNNNNNNNNNNNNNNNNNNNNNNNNNNNNNNNNNNNNNNNNNNNNNNNNNNNNNNNNNNNNNNNNNNNNNNAUAUCAUCCAGAUAUACCACGACAAAUUUGUCGAGGUAGUCCAUGAAUAUAUAAUUCAUCAAUCGAGAGAAAGUUGCCGGUGCAUUGGUUAAGCCGAAGGACAUGACGGUGUACUCGUAUGAUCCAUAUCGAGUAACAAAGGCGGUCUUUGGAAUAUCCUCUUUGCGAACACGGAUCUGGUGGUAUCCCAAUCUCAAGUCGAGCUUAGAGAAAACGGUGGAACCAGCAAGUUGAUCAUACAAAUCAUUUAUCCGCGGGAGAGGAUAUUUGUUUUGAAUGGUGGCCUGGUUGAUAGGACGAUAGUCUUGAACCAAUCGAUUUGUCCCAUCCUUCUUCUUAACAAAGAGAGAAGGUGCUCCCCAAGCAGAGGAACUCGGACGGAUGAAACCCAGACGGAGCGAGUUGUCAAUUUCUUGCUUAAGUUCAAGGAGUUCAUGUGGUGGAAUUUUAUAAGGACGCUUGGCAAUAGGAGUGGUACCGGGUACCAAGUCAAUGACAAACUCGACAGCUCGAGCAGGGGGAAUCCCCGGAAGUUCUUCUGGAAAGACAUCGUGGAACUCUCGGACCACUGGAAUGUUUUCAAUCCCUUCAAGAGGCGACGCAUUUAAUGCAUUCAAGGCAUACAGCCGUGCCUCNNNNNNNNNNNNNNNNNNNNGAAACCCAGACGGAGCGAGUUGUCAAUUUCUUGCUUAAGUUCAAGGAGUUCAUGUGGUGGAAUUUUAUAAGGACGCUUGGCAAUAGGAGUGGUACCGGGUACCAAGUCAAUGACAAACUCGACAGCUCGAGCAGGGGGAAUCCCCGGAAGUUCUUCUGGAAAGACAUCGUGGAACUCUCGGACCACUGGAAUGUUUUCAAUCCCUUCAAGAGGCGACGCAUUUAAUGCAUUCAAGGCAUACAGCCGUGCCUCAGCAUUACGGACGAGAUGAGCAUGGUAGCUUACCAGUUCAUCUGAAGGGUGUAGGAGGUGGACGGUUUUGGUGGCACAAACGAUCGAUGCCGUAUGAGCUUUCAACCAGUCCAUCCCCAAUAUGAGAUCAAUGUUGGAUGACUUUAGUAGGAUGGGGUUGGCAAGGAAUUCUAAUCCUUCAAUUUCAACUGGAACAUGGGGACAAACCACAGAGGUUCGGCAUUCGCCCCCAGGGGUGUUUACCACUAUCGGGAGGUUCAUCUCUUCGCUCCUAAUGUCAUGCAUGUAUGCAAAAUUUUCCGACAUAAAGGAAUGCGAUGCUCCUGUAUCAAACAAUACAGAAGCAGGUACUGAGUUAACGAGAAGUGUACCCAUCACGGUAGCAUGCUGGUCUUGAGCUUGACCCAUAUCAAUGUUGUUGGCCUGACCACGAACAUAAGCAGGCUUAGUGUUGAAGUUGCGGUUCUGGUUGUUGCCACGGCCAGUUGCGGGAAGUGCCAGCUGAUUCUGAUUCUGCCUGCAGUCUCUAGCACGGUGACCUGGACGGCCACACUUGAAGCACAGCCCGUCCUCGGGACGGGAAGGAGGAACUCGAGGCGGUGGAGCUGGAAGCCUCGGCUGCCUAGGUGGUGGAGGAGGCAGGCGAGGUGCAGCAUAGGACGGCCUCGGAGUAGGAGCAGGUGCAUGGUACAUGUUGUUGGGAAUCCAGAUCUUCCGCUUCUGUGCAGAUGAGCCCGAAGAUGAGCCCAUGUCACGGUUGCGCUUGCUGCUAUCUUUGUAUUCCUGCAGACCAGUCUCAACCUGAAUAGCCUUGUUCACGAGGGUGGCGAAAUCAGCAUAGUCCUGAACGAGGAGUGUCAGCUUGAUAUCAGGGUGGAGGCCUUCACGGAACUUCUCCUGCCUGCGUGCAUCAGUCACAAUGUCUUCUUCAGCAUAGCGAGAUAAUUCCAGAAAUUCCCGCUGAUAAGCAUCCACAGUCUUGUUGCCCUGGACUAAGUUGCGGAACUCACGCUUCUUCCGGUCCAUGAUUCCCUGGGGAAUGUAUCGAGCACGGAAAGCAGCCUUGAACUCUGCCCAAGUGAUGAUAGUUCCAUCGGGCUGAGAGCGCCUGUGGCUGUCCCACCAUUGAGCAGCGGGACCCUUCAGAAAGUAGGCGGCAAAGUUGACAUAGCUCGCCAGGGGCACAUUGGCAGACUCUAGCUCAUAAGAAAUGUCACGGAGCCAGUCAUCAGCAUCAAGAGGCUGAGUUGAGCUGCGGUAGAUCGCAGGGUUGAGACGGCAGAAGNNNNNNNNNNNNNNNNNNNNNNNNNNNNNNNNNNNNNNNNNNNNNNNNNNNNNNNNNNNNNNNNNNNNNNNNNNNNNNNNNNNNNNNNNNNNNNNNNNNNGGGGAGGGAGGGAGGACAGGCUGGAAAGAGGGCGACGUGUGGGGUUUCCGCGUGGGUUUUCCGGGGCUUCUCGUUGGGAUUUUUUUCCGGACGUUGGGCUCUUGGUGGUUGGUUACGAUUUCGACGGGGCCUCCACUUUUCGGACCCUCCUCCAUAUUUGCGUGGGCUCUUUUUUCGAUUUAUUAGUUCAGCGUGACGGUGGGCGAAGCUUAGUAAGGCUCGCACGAGACCCAUGCAAGGCCUACUUUUCGAGAUGGAAGUUAAUUGAGCUCAUUCUUAGGCACUGACUACAUUACCUCGGACGGCAUGUUUUUUUUAGCAGGAAAUAUGGGAAUUUAUUUAGCAAAAGCCCCGGCAAAAUCUGCAUGGAGGCAAGUUACAGGAAAGCUAGGUUGCGACUGCAUCCAGCACUCUGUCACCUCUCUAGUGCUAGCUUGCUUUGCACACAAGUGGACAGACGUGUUGGCCGCUCUAUUACAAAGCUGAAUACCAAAAGAAGAAAAGAAAGCNNNNNNNNNNNNNNNNNNNNNNNNNNNNNNNNNNNNNNNNNNNNNNNNNNNNNNNNNNNNNNNNNNNNNNNNNNNNNNNNNNNNNNNNNNNNNNNNNNNNUAUAUAUAUUCAUUAAGCUCUAAAAGAUUUUCUUUAAUGAGAUCAUUUAAGCACUUACAUUGAGGUUAUGUUUCGUGCUUGUCUAGACACCAGUGCAUUAGCCACUACAAAAGACCCUACUCCGAGAUCCAUCUGUUAUGUCGGAAGAGAGAUCAGAUUUCUGAUCUUUCAGAAAUAAAGGCAAACAUGAUCCAAAUUACACGAAGGGAAGCAAAGGUCGAGAAUCUUACAUUAAUAACUAAUAAAUAAUAGAUUGAUGACGAAAAAAUGGAAACAAGAUUUCUAACCAAGAAACUUGUGUCAAUUCCAGAAGAGCAGAAAAUAAGCAAUGAUGAACAGUAGUUGAUGGCCUAAUCAUACAGGGGAAAGGCAUGACAACCAACAAAGAUGACAACAGAUGAGUGAGAUGACUAUUAACUGCUGUGGACAUCAGUAAAUUGCAUUUCACCAGCAGGCCAGCAACCUAGACCAGGGUAGCCAUACUACCGCAGGAGAUUAUCACGUGUUUAGCNNNNNNNNNNNNNNNNNNNNNNNNNNNNNNNNNNNNNNNNNNNNNNNNNNNNNNNNNNNNNNNNNNNNNNNNNNNNNNNNNNNNNNNNNNNNNNNNNNNNGUGACUUGUUGGAGAUCAUACAUACCGAUGUAUGUGGUCCGAUGAGUGUGGAGGCACGCGGCGGAUAUCGUUAUUUUCUCACCUUAACUAAUGAUUUGAGUACAUAUGGAUAUAUUUACUUGAUGAAGCACAAGUCUGAAACGUUUUAGAAGUUCAAGCAAUUUCACAGUGAAGUUGAAAAUCAUCGUAACAAGAAGAUGAAGUUCCUACGUUCUGAUCGUGGGGGUUAGUAUCUGAGUUUCGAGUUUGGUGCUCACUUAAGACAAUGUUGAAUUGUUUCAGAGUUGACACCGCCUGGAACACCACAGCGUAAUGGUGUGUCCGAACAUCGUAAUCGUACUUUUUUAGAAAUGGUGCGAUAUAUGAUGUCUCUUACUGAUUUGCCAUUAUCGUUUUGGGGUUAUGCAUUAGAGACAGCUGCAUUCACUUUAAAUAGGGCACCAUCAAAACCUGUUCAGACGACACCAUACGAGCUGUGGUAUGGCAAGUGGCCAAAGUUGUCGUUUCUUAAAGUNNNNNNNNNNNNNNNNNNNNNNNNNNNNNNNNNNNNNNNNNNNNNNNNNNNNNNNNNNNNNNNNNNNNNNNNNNNNNNNNNNNNNNNNNNNNNNNNNNNNCGCCGCGAUCUCCAGAAAGGACGACCCUGUCAGGUUGCUCACGAAUCUGCGUCAUGAAGAGGGAGAAUACCUAGAAGUUAGCAGAGCAGUACGUGCGAGAAUAAAGUGGUGGCGAACGCAGGCAGGGUUUGAACUUUGCACUCACUGCUCCUUAAGAAGCUUGUUCGGGUUCAGGGGCUUGCCGAGGAGGCCAUCCAUUGUUGGAACGCGAGGUGGUUCGGUUGCCGCGGGCCCCCCUGCGUGCAGGAGAGGGGUUGGCAGCCGCAGGUGGUGGCAGCGGCCAGCGAGCCCACAGGAGGAUGGUUGGAAGCCAAGACUCUGCCCCUAAUGGUGGUGGCUGCAGCGGCUGGCAGGCAGUGGCGAAUCUAGUUUUGAAACAGGGUGGUCCACCCUAUCCACCCUAAAAAAUUACAAUAAAUAUGACAUGGCAAUAGCACAAUAGAAAUUGAUCAAUAUGAUCUUACAAACAUAUGAAAACUGUAAAAUAAGUCUUAAUUUUGCAUUAAAAAGCGCCUACNNNNNNNNNNNNNNNNNNNNNNNNNNNNNNNNNNNNNNNNNNNNNNNNNNNNNNNNNNNNNNNNNNNNNNNNNNNNNNNNNNNNNNNNNNNNNNNNNNNNCGCUCAACUCACUAGCAAUUGGUUCCACAUAAGUGGAUCUCUUAAAGAGAUUAGCAAGUGGAUGAGGAUCCAUAUCACUAGAUUUUCAGCAAGCGAAGAUGCAAGCAUAUUGAAGGCACAUAGCUCACAAGCAAGGGAAAGGCAAGCGAGAGAAAAGGGUAAACGAAAAAAGGCAAACGAAAAAGGCAAACGAAAAAAGGAAAAUCUUUUUGUAAAUUUUUUGUUUUUCAGAAGUGGGGGAGAGGAAAACGAGAGGCAAAAAAGGUCAAUGCAAGAGAUGAGUUUGCGACACCUACUUGGAUGAGUUCUUGACUUGAUCCUCCCAAGCAACGGCGCCAGAAAUUCUUCUGCUACGGCGACAAAGAUCUUUUGUCAUCUCUUGAGCUUGCGUUGGUUUUUCCCUUGAAGAGGAAAGGGCGAUGCAGCACAGGAGCAGUAAGUAUUUCCCUCAGUUUGAGAAGCAAGGUAUCAAUCCAGUAGGAGAAUCUCGUCAAGUCCAGAGUACCUGCACAAACACAAAAGAGCUUGCACCCANNNNNNNNNNNNNNNNNNNNNNNNNNNNNNNNNNNNNNNNNNNNNNNNNNNNNNNNNNNNNNNNNNNNNNNNNNNNNNNNNNNNNNNNNNNNNNNNNNNNAUGCAAUGGCGAGGGCACACAGAGUGCCCAAGUCCUUCUCUCUCAAAUCCCACCACAACAACUAAUGCUAUGGAAUAAAAUGAGAGGAAGAACGAACAAGAAUAUGAAGAACUCCAAGAUCUAGAUCCAAGGGGUUCCCCACACAUAGAGGAGCAAGUGGUUGGUGGAAAUGUGGAUCUAGAUCUCCUCUCUCUUUUCCCUCAAGAACUAGCAAGAAUCAUUGGAGGGAUUGAGAGUUAGCAAGCUCGAAGAGAGAGUCAACAAUGGGGGAAGAACAUGAUCUGAAAGGAUGGGGUUCAAAGGGGAAGAAGAACCCCUUUUAUAGGAAGGGAAAAAAUCCUACCAUUACCCCCUCACCCCGCACAUUAGAGGUACGCUGCGGCUGUGAGUAGCAGAUCAAGAGGGAAGGCAGUAGGGAGGUAGUACAGCCGGAGCAGUACUACCAUUGCGUGGAGCGGUACUACUGCACAUAAGGGGUAGUACCGCCACCUACAUCCGCUCUAGAUCCGUUGAGAUACCAACCAAGAAAACAUGUGAGAAACUAGCGCGGUAGUAAUANNNNNNNNNNNNNNNNNNNNNNNNNNNNNNNNNNNNNNNNNNNNNNNNNNNNNNNNNNNNNNNNNNNNNNNNNNNNNNNNNNNNNNNNNNNNNNNNNNNNGGCCUGUGGAGUUGCCUGAUACGUCUCCAACGUAUCUAUAAUUUUUGAUGGUUUCAUGCUAUUGUCUUGUCAAACUUUGGACGUUUUGUAUGCCUUUUAUAUCUUUUUUGGGACUAACUUAUUAACUCAGUGCCAAGUGCCAGUUCCUGUUUUUUCCGUGUUUUUGACCCUUUUCACAGGAGAAUUUUAAAUGGAGUCCAAACGGAAUAAAAUCUGCGGAAUGAUUUUUUCCAUAACAGAAGACACGCGGGAGACUUAAGAACCAAGGCAGGAGACCUCGGAGGAGGUCACAAGCCCACCAGGCCCGGCCCCUAGGCCGGGCCUAGUAGGCUUGUGAGCUCCUCGUGGCUCCCCUACCCUAGGUUUUCUGCCUAUAUAUUCCCUAAAAUCCCAGAAAAAUUCAGGAGAUCAUCGGAAGUACUUUUCCGCCGCCGCAAGCUUCUGUCUCCACAAGAUCCCAUCUGGGGCACGUUCUGGUGCCCUGGCGGAGUGGGGAUUCGGAUAUGGAGGGCUUCUUCAUCAACACCAUGACCUCUCCGAUGAUGCGUGAGUAGUUCACCAUAGACCUACGGGUCNNNNNNNNNNNNNNNNNNNNNNNNNNNNNNNNNNNNNNNNNNNNNNNNNNNNNNNNNNNNNNNNNNNNNNNNNNNNNNNNNNNNNNNNNNNNNNNNNNNNUUGAGCAUAUCUGCAAAAGCAUUUGCAGAAAGACAGGUCUGAUCAUUUCAACGAAUCGCUCAAAAUCCUCAUCAUCCUUUUUCUUGGAUGGUUUGGGAGGAAAGGGCAUAGGUUUCUGAACCCAUGGUUCCCCUUAUUUACCAUGCUUCCUAGGAGCGAAGUCAUUCUUAUUGUAUCUCUUAUUCUUAGGUUGUGGGUUAUCUAGAUCAACAGGUUCAAUCUCCACAUCCUUUUCGUUGCUAGGUUGAGCAUCUUCAUGAACAUCACUACUGAUAUUAUCAUUAGGCUCAUGUUCAUCACCAGAUUGUGUUUCCGCAUUAGAGACAUAGACAUCGUUUGGACUCUCAGGUGUAGCAGCAACAUGGUUGCUAGCAUGCAGGUUCCUAUCAUCUUUCUUGUUCUUUCUAGGAUGACUAGGUGCAUCAGUGCUAACUCCUUGAGAAUCUUGUUCAAUUCUCUUCGGAUGACCCUCAGGAUACAAAGGUUCCUGGGUCAUUCUACCGCCUAUAGUGACGACUCUGACAUAAUUGUCAUUAAACUCAUUGAGCAAGUCAUUAUGAGCUUUAAGUACUUGUUCNNNNNNNNNNNNNNNNNNNNNNNNNNNNNNNNNNNNNNNNNNNNNNNNNNNNNNNNNNNNNNNNNNNNNNNNNNNNNNNNNNNNNNNNNNNNNNNNNNNNUAGCCGCCCUGGCCGCCUCCAACGCUCUACGGUCGUUGUUUUCCAUCUUCCUGUCCACAAGUCAUUUUUUGGCAUGUUCAUACAAAGUGGAUUCAUCGGUGAGCAGGAUUUUUUGCAUCCUCCGCGUCGCUUGAGAGUUGUAACCUCUUCUUCUCGAGCUCAGUAUCUCCAAAUGUCUUGGUCUUCUGGAGUUUUCAUUUGAUCGCUGCCUCUUGCUUCUCCAACUCGAUCUUCUCCCUCUUAAUUUGAAGCCGUCUCUCUGCCUUUGUCCGCUCCCACUCCAUCCCCUCUCUUUGAAUGUCCAACAAAAGCUUGCACAUCUCCUCUUUCUUGCUCUUCCUUGCCGAAAAAAUACCCGUCCAUGUAGACGACAUUUUUGUAGCCGCGGUGUAACGGGCGAUCUUUGCCUUCUCCCACUUAGUUCCCAUGAGUAGCCGGUUAUCCUUUAGCACUUUAGCCUUUUCUUUGGUGACGACAACAUCGUCGUUAUCAUUGUCCAACCCAAUGGAUUGGUGGGAGCUUGAGCCAUCAUUCUUCUUCUUUCCUGCCUUGAGGUCGGACAGAACUUGUUGCCACUUUGGCNNNNNNNNNNNNNNNNNNNNNNNNNNNNNNNNNNNNNNNNNNNNNNNNNNNNNNNNNNNNNNNNNNNNNNNNNNNNNNNNNNNNNNNNNNNNNNNNNNNNUCGAGGACGAGCAUGAGUUAAGCUUGGGGAUGCUUGAUACGUCUCCAACGUAUCUAUAAUUUUUGAUGGUUUCAUGCUAUUAUCUUGUAAACCUUUGGAUGUUUUGCAUGCCUUUUAUAUAUUUUUUGGACUAACUUAUUAACUCAGUGCCAAGUGCCAGUUCCUGUUUUUUUCCAUGUUUUUGACCCCUUUCAGAGGAUGAUUUUGAACGGAGUCCAAACGGAAUGAAACUGCCAAAAAGUUUUUUUUCCGGAACAGAAAAAGAUCGAAGAGCUGGAGAAUCAGGACAGGGGGCCACCAGGGAUCCCACAAGCCCUCAUGGCGCGACCAAUGGGGGGCCCGCGGCCCCCUGGCUUGUGGGCUCCCUCAGGCCCCUUUGCCCUAGGUUUUGCGCCUAUGUAUUCCCUACAAAUCCCUAAACAGUUAGGAGAUCAUCGAAAGUACUUUUCCGCCGCCGCAAGGUUCUGUCUCCGCAAGAUCCCAUCGGGGGCACGUUCUGGUGCCCUGCCGGAGGGGGAUUCGGAUACGGAGGGCUUCUUCAUCAACACCAUGACCUCUCCGAUGAUGCGUGAGUAGUUCACCAUAGANNNNNNNNNNNNNNNNNNNNNNNNNNNNNNNNNNNNNNNNNNNNNNNNNNNNNNNNNNNNNNNNNNNNNNNNNNNNNNNNNNNNNNNNNNNNNNNNNNNNAAGCGUCGGUAAGUCCAUUAUAGAAGAUAUCAAGUAUUUCAUUCUUCUCGAGAGGGUGAUCAGUCAAAGCAUUCAACAGCUGGACGAGCCUCCCCCAAGCUUGUGGGAGACUCUCUUGUUCAACUUGCGCAAAUUUGUAUAUUUCCUGCAAGGCAGCUUGCUUCUUAUGGGUAGGGAAAUAUUUUUCAGAGAAGUAGUAGACCAUAUCCUGGGGGCUACACAUACAACGAGGAGCAAGAGAAGUGAACGAGGUCUUAGCAUCAUCCCUUAGCGAGAAAGGAAGCAACUUGAGCAUAUAGUAGUGGCAGAUCUUUUCCUCACUAGUGAAUAGGCUGGCUAUAUCGUGCAGUUUGAUAAGAUGGGCUACAACCGUUUCAGACUCAUAACCGUGAAAAGGAUCAGAUUCGACCAGAGUGAUUAACUCAGGGUCAACAGAGAAUUCAUAAUCCUUAUCGGUCACAAAGAUAGGCGAAGUGGCAAACUUCGGGUCGUAUUUCAUCCUAAUGUUCAAUGAUUUUUCUUUCCACUUGCGGAGUAAAUUCUCAACAUCAUAGCUAUCCUUACACGCAAGAAAAUCCUCAGCUAUCUCUCNNNNNNNNNNNNNNNNNNNNNNNNNNNNNNNNNNNNNNNNNNNNNNNNNNNNNNNNNNNNNNNNNNNNNNNNNNNNNNNNNNNNNNNNNNNNNNNNNNNNGUUAGCACAAACGUGCAGUUAUAGGCUGAUGUUUUGCAUAUGCGUCUCGCUAAUGUUGUCUCUUCCUACAUGUGCACCUAUGUGCGUGAUAAGCUUAACAGGGCUCUGCCCAUCGCAAUCACUGGUGCUAUCUUCUCUCCAUCGCCACCGCCUUCUCCUCUCGCUCUUGUCUACCUUCUUCUGUCAUGAGUUCUCUUCUGCCAAAGCUCGCUUUUGCCAACAAUGGCGCUUAGGUUUUCUUGGUUAGGGAUGGCUUCACCGUCCCCGUCCCCCCGUCCCUCCUGGUUGCAAUGGGGUUCUGGGCACCGGCAGGUCUGGCUAGGUGGCACGAGGAGGAGAGUGUUAGAUUUGCCAGGAUCGCAACGGCAAUGCGUCGAUACGUUUGAUGGUAUGACGAGGCACAACAGGAGAUGGCAGGCUGGCAGCAGAAGCCAUGGUUAAGGUGGUAGAGGAAGAGUUCACUCUCUUUCUAUCAUUCUUUUUUGUUUCGCUGAACUUUAAUAUGGUGAUUAUCUGUUCUGUUACUUAUUAGGUCACUUUUAUAUCUGAGUAUUCAGUAUCAUAGAUUUCCAUGCACCACAUUAUGCGAUAUAAUGANNNNNNNNNNNNNNNNNNNNNNNNNNNNNNNNNNNNNNNNNNNNNNNNNNNNNNNNNNNNNNNNNNNNNNNNNNNNNNNNNNNNNNNNNNNNNNNNNNNNCAGAGAGGUUGGGGAUAUACUGGGUUCACCUGGUCAUUUGCCAAAUUCCAGAGGAAAAAUCCGGGAGAGAAAAGCUAGGAAGGCAUAACAACACAUAAAUCGAUAACCCAAUUUUUGGGGUGUUACAAUAUUGAUAUAUAGGAAAGUUGCAUUUGGCUUCCGGAAAGAUUUCGUACAUUACCGGUAAAGUACCGAGAGUGACGAAUGGGUUCUGAGGUUUUACCGGGAGGGGCCACCCACCCGGGACAGAACCAAAUAGGCCUAAAGGUGGUGCACCAGCCCUUCGUGGGCUGGUGCGUCCAGCCCAAGAGGGCUUAUUUCAUCCAAGGGGCAAAAAAAGGAAAAAGGGAAAAAGGAAGGAGGAGACAAGGUGGAAUCCUACUAGGAGUAGGAUUGAAGGUGGACUCCUCCACCUCCUCUCCACUUCGGCCGAACCCUUUAGGGUUUAGGCUGCCUCCUCCUCUCCUUCCCUCCUAUAUAUACUAGAGGAUUUUGAGGGCAGCCCUAACCCUAAUAAGCCACUUGCUGCCCUCUCUCUCUAGGUCGCUUUCUCCUCUAGAUUAGUUCGGUAGAGCUUGGCGAAGCCCUGCUGUAUUAGUUCANNNNNNNNNNNNNNNNNNNNNNNNNNNNNNNNNNNNNNNNNNNNNNNNNNNNNNNNNNNNNNNNNNNNNNNNNNNNNNNNNNNNNNNNNNNNNNNNNNNNAUUAUAAGGUGAUCCCUCACUAAAAUUUCAAGAUAAAAUUGUGUUCUCCCCGACUAUGCACCAUUGCGACAGUUCGUAGUUUCGAUACACCACGUGAUGGUCGGGUGUGAUAGACUCAACAUUCACAUACAACGGAUGCAAAACAGUUGCACACGCGGAACACUCGGGUUAAACUUGACGAGCCUAGCAUGUACAGACAUGGCCUAGAAACACAAGAAACCGAAAGGUCGAGCAUGAACCACAUAGUUGAUAGGAUCAACAUCGAGAUGUUCACCACUGAAACUGUACUCAACUCACGUGAUCAUCGGACUUGAGUUAGUGGAUUUGGAUCAUGCGCCACUCAAAUGACUAGAGGGAUGUAUAUUUUGAGUGGGAGUUAUUAGUAAUAUGAUUAGCUAAACUCAAUUAUCAUGAACAUAGUCAGAAGGUCUUUGCAAAUAAUGUUGUAGCUUGCGCUGUAGCUCUACUGUUUUUUUGAUAUGUUCCUAGAGAAAACUUAGUUGAAAGAUGAUAGUAGCAAUUAUGCGGACUAGGUCCGUAAACUUAGAAUUGUCCUCAUGGUUGCGCAAAAAGCUUAUGUCCUUAAUGCACCGCUCGGUGUGCUAANNNNNNNNNNNNNNNNNNNNNNNNNNNNNNNNNNNNNNNNNNNNNNNNNNNNNNNNNNNNNNNNNNNNNNNNNNNNNNNNNNNNNNNNNNNNNNNNNNNNCCAUAAAAUAACCGUCAAAAUACGGGUCGGGCGAAAAAUGCUGUAAGACCAGACACCGCAAACGCGUCCAACCCUUAAAAAUAUUUGCAGGGCGCGGUAAAAGUUCGCCCUCAACCUUCAGAUUCACGGGGUGAUAGGCCAACCCGAGCUCGCACCUUAUCCGCAACGAGAUUUGGUGUGAGAGGAAUUUCCGCGCGGCCGUUCCCCGCUCCCCCUCCUCGGCAUCCAUUGCCCCACCCACCACGCGCUCCGGACCUUCUUCGUCGCCAUUCUUCGCAGCCAUGGAAGCCUCCCAGCCGGCGGAUCUCGUCAACGUGAAGGUCGCGCACGCACAAUCCCGUCCGGUAGAUCUCGUCGCCGACCAUGUCGUCCCCGCCGUCGCCCAAGCCACCAAUGUGCCUGCCCGUAAGCGGCAAGGCAAUGUUAGUGAGCAGGGCAGCAUUCCCGCUGGCCUCGUUAGAAGGGAAGGCGCGCUGGGCGCCGCUGUUGCUGCGCGAUCUUCCUGGCUGCCGACGUGGAAGACGAGCAAGGUUUCGGGCAUGAAGCGGAAGAAAGUUCGUACGACAAAACCUUCGUCCACUCCCUCCGCCUCGGCGAGAUGUACCCCGNNNNNNNNNNNNNNNNNNNNNNNNNNNNNNNNNNNNNNNNNNNNNNNNNNNNNNNNNNNNNNNNNNNNNNNNNNNNNNNNNNNNNNNNNNNNNNNNNNNNCUAUGUUGUUCCUUGCCACUGCUAUUGCUCGUUACACUGCUGCUACCUGCUACAUUGUUGGUUUACCUACCGUUGACGGGAAUUGACAACUUCCGUCAAUGCGGCAACGAAGGCGCCAUUGAUACAAUUGUUAGGAAUAGUCUGCCGUCAACAGAUCGUUUCUCACACCGUUGUUAUCAUACUACUUUGAUGUUACUACUGUGCUUGCAGAUACUAAUCUUUCAGGUGUGCUUGAAUCCGACAAAUUCAGCUGCUAAUACUCGAGAGUAUUCUCUCACCUCCUUCAGGCGAUCUACAAAUUUGGGUCGAAUACUCUACCCUCGAAAACUGCUGCGAACCCACGCGCUGGUGGGCCAUCAACAACAUUCUUCCAGUUUCAUUGCCGGGGAGUGCUAUGAGCAUUCUUUUGGUGCCGUUGCAGGAAAGGUUUGUUGUUAUAAGCAUUCGUCUAGUUAACGCCAGAGAUUGCGCGAUCACCUGUGUGCUGUUACUCGUCCUUAGCUGAAUAAGUAGGAUUAAAUGAUAAUAAAAUAUCAUAAGAUAUGUUUGUCUGUCCAUGCAUUCCAACAAUUAACCUAAUAAUUAUGUUUCCUUUGCCUUGCAAAGAUGAGCCNNNNNNNNNNNNNNNNNNNNNNNNNNNNNNNNNNNNNNNNNNNNNNNNNNNNNNNNNNNNNNNNNNNNNNNNNNNNNNNNNNNNNNNNNNNNNNNNNNNNUUAUAUAACUUGGCUUGUAUAUUCCAAUGAUGGUGACGGGGAUAUAGCCCUAGGGUAGGGUCAUAGGUCUGACCAAUACGUCCUACCCAAGGACACCUCAUUAUUAGUUUAAGGACUACAAGGGAAAUUCCUACUGGAUCGUGACAACAUCUAAUCCACUCGGUACAGAUCCACUCAGACAAGUACAUUCCAUCCACUCGGAUGACAGUCAACCACUCGGCCGUAUGACUCACUCAGUCAUGCAAAUACCAACAGUCGGCAAGACAUCUAUAGUGGGCUGAACUUAUGGCAUCAAUGCCCCAUCUUGUAACAUAAGAGGUGAGGGGGUGGCACACUUUAUAUAAGCCACCCCCUCCACAUAGCUAGGGACGGCUUCUUCUUCUUCUCCCCCAGCGGGCUCAUUCCUUCCCUGGAGCUCUGGCUCUCUCUAUACCAUGUAACUCAUGUCCAUGACAGAUAAAACAAAGCCUCUCCGGAGCAUGAGACGUAGGGUUGUUAUCUCCACUGUGAGAGGCCUGAACUCGCUAAAACCACCAUGUCACCCAUGUGCAUCUUGAUAGAUCAUGCUCCGUUAUCCUACCCUCUUUCUAUUGUCGGAAUCGUUACCACGACANNNNNNNNNNNNNNNNNNNNNNNNNNNNNNNNNNNNNNNNNNNNNNNNNNNNNNNNNNNNNNNNNNNNNNNNNNNNNNNNNNNNNNNNNNNNNNNNNNNNUGGAUCAUGAACCACUCAAAUGACUAGAGAGAUGUACUUUUUGAGUGGGAGUUUAGCGAAUAAUUUGAUUAAGUUAAACUCUAAUUAUCUUGAACAUAGUCUAAGUCCACUUUGAAUAUAUUUGUGUUGUAGAUCAUGGCUCACGCGACAGUCACCCUGAAUUUUAAUACGUUCCUAGAGAAAGCUAAGUUGAAAGAUGAUGGAAGCAACUUUGUAGACUGGGCUCGUAAUCUUAAGUUAAUCUUACAAGCUGGGAAGAAGGAUUAUGUCCUUAAUGCUGCGCUAGGAGAUGAACCACCCGCUACGGCUGAUCAGGAUGUUAAGAACGCUUGGUUAGCACGUAAGGAGGACUACUCAGUAGUUCAACGUGCAGUCUUGUAUGGCUUAGAACCGGGACUUCAACGUCGGUUUGAGCGUCAUGGAGCAUUUGAGAUGUUCCAGGAGUUGAAGUUUAUCUUUUAGAAGAACGCUCGGAUCGAGAGGUAUGAGACCUCUGAUAAAUUCUAUGCUUGCAAGAUGGAGGAGAACUCGUCUGUCAGUGAACAUGUGCUCAAAAUGUCUAGGUACUCAAACCGUCUAGCUGAGCUGGGGAUUGAACUCCCGCAAGAGGCUAUCACUAACAGAAUCCUUCAAUCACUACCGCCAAGCUAUAAAGGCUNNNNNNNNNNNNNNNNNNNNNNNNNNNNNNNNNNNNNNNNNNNNNNNNNNNNNNNNNNNNNNNNNNNNNNNNNNNNNNNNNNNNNNNNNNNNNNNNNNNNACAUAUGGUUCAUAUAUCACCGCUUUCCCAAGAUGUUAAAUACAACACUUUGUGAUGUAAAUUUGAAUCACGAGAUAUAUCUGAUGUAAAAACGCGGUCGUCCGCGAAACUAGUAAGCGCCAGUUCAUUUCAUUUCCCGCUCACGCCUGCCCGAGCACCUGCCGCCCCAAAUCGCCGUCGCCCUCGCCCGCGUGCCUUCCCUGCAGGAGGGCAUCUCGCAGCCGCCCCGGCGCCGCCGAUUCGGGAAGCAGCCGCGGCGGAAUUCGCUGACUCCGACGGUCCGACAGCCCGUAUAGCUCCUCUUCGCCGGUCGCCUAGCUUCCUUCUCCUCCGCACCGCCGACCGUAGUCGUCCGCAUGAGUGACUGGCUACCAAUCCAACAGUAGGCCAUCUUCUUCCACCCCGCGCACAAGGUGUUCGACGAAAUUCUCCAAGGUAAAAGAAAAGCAAAACUUGAUGAUUUAUAUUGGGAUGAGCUCGGUUGACGGUGGUUGUCUGCAUUGUAGAGCUCGGUUAACUCGUCAUUCGUGGACGAUUCAUCGUCGGANCCUGCAGGAGGGCAUCUCGCAGCCGCCCCGGCGCCGCCGAUUCGGGAAGCAGCCGCGGCGGAAUUCGCUGACUCCGACGGUCCGACAGCCCGUAUAGCUCCUCUUCGCCGGUCGCCUAGCUUCCUUCUCCUCCGCACCGCCGACCGUAGUCGUCCGCAUGAGUGACUGGCUACCAAUCCAACAGUAGGCCAUCUUCUUCCACCCCGCGCACAAGGUGUUCGACGAAAUUCUCCAAGGUAAAAGAAAAGCAAAACUUGAUGAUUUAUAUUGGGAUNNNNNNNNNNNNNNNNNNNNNNNNNNNNNNNNNNNNNNNNNNNNNNNNNNNNNNNNNNNNNNNNNNNNNNNNNNNNNNNNNNNNNNNNNNNNNNNNNNNNAUGCCAUUAUGCUUGAUGUGUUGCGAUUCAUUAGGUGGCCUCGAUUGCUUCAUAAUUGUGACUUCAGGCACCGUAUCACUUGGAUUUGACCAUUCAAGGAAGCCAUCCCUCGAGUUGCAUCUCGAACAACCCGCGAUAACACGAUCCAUUGUUUUUUAAACCUUUUGCAUCUAUUUUCUUUAUUCCAUGACAACACGCGAACAUUCAACUAGUUGUCAUAACUUUCGCGCCUGAGCACCAUUUUGGACCAUCUUUUUUAUCUAUUUUGAUCUUCUUAGAGAGGGUUAUCCAACGGUUACUUCCAAUCAUAAUUUCAAGUUCAUAUUUGCUAUACCGCCAAGCCACUUUUUAUGAUUAUAUGCCACUUUUGAGUGUCAACAUGAGGUACUUGAGGCGGGCGCUCCUCAAGGUACUCGAGCUAGUCGUCCUUGAAGAAGAGCGUUAUCUUGGUGUCGCAACCGAGCCGCUCGCCGAAGGUGUUGAGGGCGACUUUGAAGGAAUCGCCGGCCUGCGACUCCCACACCGCCACACGUAUUGCUCAUCGUCGUUGUUCUUGGUGCCUGGUGGUGGCCAUCACCUUGUCGGCGACGAGGUGGGCCGAGUAGAAGCCCACCCAAACUGGCCGAUUAUGCUCGAUGGUGCCCAGGUUGUUCAGCAGGUACGUCAAAUCAAUUUGGUUCUCGUCAGAAAUUCAAUCAUGAGAGGUUCAGCAGCGACGACGACACGAAAUUCAGUGUGAACAAGUCCUCCUUAGACACCCAGGUUCCACGGAUUUCAGCAACGAUGUCACAUCAAAAAAUAAACCAGCGACAACGUCGAUGACUAAUUGAGGCGGAACGGGAGGCGCANNNNNNNNNNNNNNNNNNNNNNNNNNNNNNNNNNNNNNNNNNNNNNNNNNNNNNNNNNNNNNNNNNNNNNNNNNNNNNNNNNNNNNNNNNNNNNNNNNNNGGCCUCUCUGAUUAGUCUUAGGUGGGGCUGCGACGUGUCGAUAUUCCGAGGCCGGGCAGGACCCAGAAAAGUAUGUCCGGCCAGAGUGUUAUCGAGCGUGACGGGACAUGUGGUGCACCCCUGCAGGGAUGAAAAUUAACUAUUCGGAUAGCCGUGUCCACGGUUACAGGACGACUUGGAGUUGUGCCCCGAUCUCUUACAACUACAAUUGUUACUUAACUGGAAUUAGUUUGCCUCGGGAUUGCUUCCUCGCAGGGAGUCGAGGGAGGAUCCUUAGGCGUGACCUCACUUUAAUAUUGCUGUAACAAUAUGACUAUUAAUGUUUUACCCGUGUUCUACUCUCGUCUAUUGCUGCAAGCCCCUGAAGAUGCUAGUCUUCGAUAGGACUAGGCCUUCUCUCUCUAUUCUCGCAUUGCUGCAGUCAGUCCACAUAUAACCCCCUUCUUUGAUACUGAUGCAUAAUUAGACUAGUGCUGAUGUAAGACUUGCGAGUACUUUGGAUGAGUACUCACCGCUGCUUUGCUCCCCCCUUGUUCCCUUGAUCCGCUUGCUGCGACCAGAUGAUGAAGCCCAGGAGAUGGAGGUCCCCGCCACCGACGACUGCUACCCCGACGGUGCCUACUACUACGUGGAGGCCGCUGAUGAUCAGGAGUAGUUAGGAGGUUCCCAGGCAGGAGGCCUCGCCUCGUUCGAUCGUUGUAUCUUUUGUGCUAGCCUUCUCUAAGGCACCCCAUGUUUUAUGUCUGUACUCAGAUAUUUGUUGCUUCCGCUGACUCGUGUGUUUAUCGAGCUUUCGUAUUCUAGCCCUCGAGGCCCCUGGCUUGUAAUAUGAAGCUGAUGUUAUUUUAUUUGUGUCUAGAGUUGUGUUGUGAUAUCUCCCCGUGAGUCCUUGGGUUUGAUCGUACGCAUUUGCGUGUAUGAUUAGCGUACGAUUAAGCCGAGGACGUCACANNNNNNNNNNNNNNNNNNNNNNNNNNNNNNNNNNNNNNNNNNNNNNNNNNNNNNNNNNNNNNNNNNNNNNNNNNNNNNNNNNNNNNNNNNNNNNNNNNNNAUCAGAGAUCGAGAUUUGAAAACAAGCGGGGCAACUAAUCUACGGGGUCAGAGGGGAUGACUGCUCCACCUAUACUAAGCAUAUUAAAGGUACAGGACUGAAAGUAACAGUUCAUCAAAAACAAGCUAUGCAUCAGAUAUAGGAGCUAACUACAACAGUAGCAAAAUACUAAUGCAAGCAGUAGGAAGAAAGACAUAGGCGAUAUAGGAAUGAUCAAGGGGAGUUUGCUUGCCUUGCUGCUCUGCGGCAAAGGACUGAUCGGCAGGGUCGUAGAUGUACCCGGCAGCAGCGUCAGUCUCGGGGUCUACCGGUAAGAAGAGGGGGAAGAAACAAUAAAUAAUAGCACCGAUGCAACACAAAGCAUGACAUGGAAAUAUGCAGGCUAGACAUGAGCUAACGCAGCAACAUCCGUCAUAGACGGGUCAGAAGAAUAUCUGACGAUAUUUUCCGGGUCUCGGGCUACUACCGGUUACACUGGAAACGAUGGAAAAGUUCCAUGUUUGCUAUGCUAGGGACGCGUGACAGACGAACGGGCCGUGUAUCCGGGUUCGUCUCGUUUUGCUGAUCAACUUUCAUGUUGAAACUAUUUCGAUCUGACUUACGGAUUAUUUAAUAAUAAUUUUCAAAGUUUUAUUAAUUAUUUAAGAAUUAAAAACAGAUUUAAAAGAUUUAGUAAAAUCCUAUUAUGACAUCAUCGCGAUGUCAGGCUGACAUCAACGUUUGACCGGUCAACUGACCAGCGGGUCCCGAACAUCAUAGGCACAAGUUUUAUUUAAGAUUAAAUAUUUAUUAAUCAGAUUAAUUUAACGAGGGACCCACGUGUCAUACUCUAAUUAUGUUAAUUAAUUAUUUUAACUAAAUAUCUAUUUAUUUAUCUAUUUUAAGAAAACAUUAUUUUUAAUCAUCGCGUGGGGCCUCCCUGUCAUUGACAGCGGUGCAUUGGCCCCACCGGUAAGUGGCCUAAGGUUAUUUCCUCAUUUAUUUUUAUUAGAUACCUAUCCGUGCAAAUACCGUAUUCCUCUAAAUACCCAAAUANNNNNNNNNNNNNNNNNNNNNNNNNNNNNNNNNNNNNNNNNNNNNNNNNNNNNNNNNNNNNNNNNNNNNNNNNNNNNNNNNNNNNNNNNNNNNNNNNNNNUUGCAAUAUGGGCCAUCAGACUUUCAAGUUUUCUUUUCCGUAGUGGCCUCCCGGCAAUCAGCGCAUGAGGAAGCUCCCUUGUCGGUGGUCUCGGCUUUCGCCUUCUUGCCGGCGCUACGAUCACCAGAGCCUUCGACAGCUAAUGAUGUCUUUGCCUUGCGCUUCUUGAUGUGCUUUCGGUUCCUCCCCUUCGGUCGAGGGGUAUCGUCAUCGUCAUCAAAGUCGACUCUGACACCUGCCUCCUCUCCGAGGAGCCGCCUUCCUUCUUCAGCUCGAGCACACUUCUCCACUAACAUAUAUAGCUCGUUGAUGGUCUUGGGGAGUUUGACAUUCAUCUUGGCCCACAUCGUCCUGUUGCGCAUGUUCGAAUGGAAUGCGGGAAUCACGGCUGCGGGGUGUAUUUCAACGUUGCGGUGCACUCUACUGAAGAUCUGGAGGUACUUCUGCAGAGUUUCCCUCUCUUUCUACGGGAGGACAUGCAAGUCGCUAAGCUGUCCUGGCUCCUCGUAGCCACAUGUGAAGGCGCCAACAAGCUUGUUGCACAAGUUAGCGCAUGACGAAAUGGAAUUCUCCGGAAGGUGCAUCAGCCACGACCUCACAUUUGGCUUGUGUGCCAACGGGAAAUAGUUCGCAAGCACCUUCUCAUCUCUUCCUCCGGUAGUUUGGCCGGCUAUUGUGUAGAUACCCAGGAAUUCUGCCGGUUUGAGCUUUCCGUCAUACUUCUCCAUUAGUUCAGGCUUGAAAGCUUGGCUCGACCGCCAGCAAACCUGUCACAGCUCGCGAGUGAAGGUGGGACACCCGACCUUGUAAGGUAGGUAUCUGCUAGCACUGGACGCGGGGUUGUUAGCGACUAUGUUGUUGCGCUUGUCAGAUUGAUGGUGUGCUUCCCGGCAUCGUUCAAUGGUAGCACGCGCGUCCUCCUUCCGCCGGUCUUCCAGGACACGCAGUUGGUCUCACUGGUCAUGUGGGCCGGACGAGGCCAUGGAUGCCUCAUCGGCCCGUCAACGCGUGGAGCUUGUUGUGGUUCCCCUUGGGUUUGCUAUCGAGCAGGGGACUGCACUGUUGGUGUGGGCCCCUCAAAACGACCAUCAGUCCGGGCCGUCGUCAUCAUCCGUGGACGACGGGACGGCCCUGCACGUUACGAUUUGCUGGCUUCGGUCAAGCCAAUCAAACUCUCGAUGGUGGUCCUCCACUCUUUCAUUUUGUCAGUUGCCGGUGGAAAACUUAACAGCAGUUGAGCCCUCGCCAUUGCGUGUGCGGUUGUGUCCGGCAUGGGAAGUGAGGCGGACUGCGACGUUGCUCGACUCCUGGUGGAACCGAGAGGAGCAUUGUCACGCCCUUGUCGUCGUGCAUCGGUCACCGUGGCGGUCUAACAUGGGGGAGGCUGAGCUCGUGGAUCCGCGGCUCCGCUCAGCACGCCACCUUGCUCGGGACGAGGCACGCGCCCAGCAGCCGCGCUCGUGACAUGCGCUGCGAGUGGACCGCAACUUUCUUCGGAUUGGGUGCCGCUAUUGUGACUGAGGUCACUCGCACGGCGGAAAGGUGGAGUCUGGAUGUCCCUUCUGCCCACAGCACCAGGGCCACGCUAGCUAUGACGUCGCUGCUGCUUGCCUCCGGCGCUCUUUCUUCCGGCUUCAGCCGCGAGGGACACAACAGUGGAGCCUCCUAGACCGGUCGCGUCGCUCAUGGUGCCCGCAUCGCCUCACGCCGUUGCGGUGCCAACAGCGUCCGCAGCUGCAAGCGUUGUGGCCUUCGAAGAAGAAGGAUGGGCGGCUACGCCGGUCUUCUUCUUUUGAGCCAUGAGGAAAAAGAAGAGCGAUGAAGAUCAGCAUGCUGCUCGUAAUCUCAUGUUUGCAUAAAUGAGUCCCCGUGCCUGGCGCACCAAAGAUGUCGGGGCAAGUUGCACUCGAUCACCUAUAGGGCCACUGGCCUCUUCAUGGUUCAGCGGGGAGAUUGUGUUGCAAAAAGAGAAAAAACAAUGAGGCAACAUGACGAUGAGACUCGAGGCAUUUACCCAGGUCCGGGCCACUGAGAAGCAUAAAACCUACUCCUGCUUUGGUGGAUUGAUUUGGGGAAGACGAAGUUCACAUAGUGUUCUACCCGACCAAGGGUUGCCGUGGAGAGCUACUAUAUGCGUACAAAUGUUCUAGGGUCCGAAUCCUAUGCUAAGUUGCAUGGGGCCUCCUUUUAUAACUCAAGGGGAGUCCAUAGUGGAAAAAAGACAAUAUUAUAUAGCUAAUAGUGUUAUCAUAAAUGCAGCCUUAGGUGGCGUGCGGGGGGGGGGGGGUGGUCCCGGCAAGCUCCUUCCACCGGCCUAGCUAAUUAUUGCACCACAGCUUGACACGCCUAUGGAUGGGUGUCAAGGGGGCAUAAUCUAUCUUCGAGCACAUCAACACGUACACAACGAGAGUCACUUAGCCAUCUGGGAGCUCGACACCUCAUCAACAAGUGAUUGGUGUGGCAAUGAGGUGGUGUAGUGGAAGAUUGACUCGCGCUUGCGGGAGAGGUGACUUGGCGGGUCUUCUUGACGGAUCGCUUGUGCCUUGGUCCCCGACAGGUGUCGGGGGUUCUUGGCGCAUCUUGGGCCCGUCGUGGGCUGUUGUGUAGGUCUUGUCGGCGUCUGGUUCUAGAUACUUGCUUGGGUUGGCGGUUGCCUUUGAGGGAUUAUGCGCUUCACGCAUAUGCAUAAGUCAGGGGCACUGGGUACGCCAUUACUAGUGCACCGAUAGUAGUAAUCAUAUAUAACAUUAGCAUAAGAAACCAAUGUUUUAUUAUUAUUAAAUUCAUAAUGAAAGGGAAGGUGUGGAGCAUCCAUCUUAAAGUAGCAAGUGUAAUCACAUAUGAAGCAUAAAUUCCAAGCAUACCAACGCAACAUUUUAAUUUGGUCCCAUAAGUGUUUCCUUUUUGAGUCAAGCGAUAAUCCCUAAAGUACUCACAUUGGUCCGAUGUGCCUCACAUAAUCAACUUGAGUGGAUAUUUUUGAGGAUUAUCAAAGUAGUAUUUAAUAUUUUCCACCUAACCAUUAUCGAGGGUUUUAAGAGGUUCCCCAUCUCUAUGAGUAGCAAGUACAACUAAUUAUUUUGGUGUUUCGUGUUCCAUAUCCAUAACUACAAAUAGAAAACAAGAUAGAGUAUAAAAUAAAAUUACUUAAUGAUAUAAACCAAACAAGCACACACGAGAAUAUCAACCGCUAUGCUAUUGCUCGCGUACAACAGCGCGAGAAAAAUGUCUAAAUUACCCAUAAGUGUAGGGUAUCAUUUGUAUCCUUUUUCGAUAAGUGAGAGUGUCAAACCCAAUGAGUAACUAAAGGUACAACUAAUAUUCUCUCAAGUUCUAUCGACCAAUGAUACAACUCUAUGCAUGCUAAUGCUUACUUUACCUAGAACAAGUAUGAAACUAUUUUGCGGGAAGGAAACUAGAAGUACUUCAUAGGUGUAAUAGAUAGUUCUGCAAGGCUUUAAAGAACACAAAAAUAAAAGUUAGAUGUUGUUUAGAUAAAGAUUAGUCAAGUUAGUUCGUUAGUAGAAAGCUUUUUGUAGAGCAAUAGAAUUUUUUUCCAUAUGCUAUUGAAUAUAACAUGAUAGAUACUUAUCAUAUGCAAUGAGGGAGAGGCAUACGCUAACACAUUUUCCAUAGUUGGAUCAUGUGCACUUAUGAUUGGAACUCUAGCAUGCAUCUGCAUCUACUAAAGAUCAUUAAGGUAAGACCCAACCAUAGCAUUAAACAUCAAAUCCUCUUUACUCCCAUAUGCAGCAACCCCCUUACUCAGGUGUGAGCUUCUAUCACUCUAGCCACCCACUAUAUGUGAAUCAUGAACGUAUUGCCACACCCUCCAUCGGUAAUACCCCAUGGGUACGUGCCACAGAAGGAACCUUAGGAAAACACCAUAUUAACAUACAACUCAUAUCAAUCACACAAUAUCACAAUUAACCCGUAGGACAAAAGAGAUCUACUCAAACAUCAUAGGAGAGCCACACAUCACGGGAUAAUAAUAUAUAGCAUUAAGCAGCAUGUUCAAGUAAAUAUUACAGCAGGGAGGAGAGGUUUUACACCACUACAUAGAGGGAGAGAGAGUUGGUGGUAAUGGUGGCGAAGUUGUUGCUGUAGAACGUCGUCACGAUGGCUGCCCCGACGGCACUCCGACGCCACCUGGAGAAAGGGGGAGAGAGCCCCCUCCUUCUUGUUCUUCCUUGGUCUCCCCCUAGACUGGAGGAAACUUUCCCCUCUAAUAGAUGGAGGCCAUUGCUCCCGGAGCAGAAGAGCCCCUCCGAGAUUAGACCUAUCUCUCUCUGUUUCUCUCGUAUUUUCGUGACUAUUUUCUAACCCUUCACCAUUUCUUAAAUAUCUGGAGAUCCGUCACUCUGAUAGGGCUCAAAUAUUGUAGGGAUUUUAAUCGGAAAAUUAUCAUUCUUGUCACCAAAGAAGGGUGCCAACCGACUUAAGGGGUGGCCAAAAGCUAACAGGACACGACCACCCACGUGGUCGCGCACUGUUGGCUUGUGAGAGCCUUGGACAUCGUGUGGUGAUGAUUCUUCUUCCCAAAAUUCACAUAUAUUCCAACAAAAAUCUCCAUAUAUUUUUAUCGCACUUGGACUCCGUUUUAUAUGGAUUUUCUGUGAAAAAAACAAAGAUAUGAAUUGGCACUGGGCACUGGAUAAGUAAAUUAGUCCCAAAAAUAAUGUAAAAUAUUGCCAAAAUUUGGGGACCCCGAUUUAUGGGUCGAGAUCACCUAAUGCACGUGUACAGUGGUCCGAGAGAUCAAUGCUCACAGAACAAACACAAACUGAUUAACAAGAGUCUUACAUCCAUACGUACCUUCUCAUACAAAUCAAGACGACCAUUAAGGUCAAGUCUUACAUAGAUAGCGCCUCGAAGGCCGACACAUCAAACAUAACUAGCAGAAGAAUUCUUGAUCGGACGAAUGAACCCAAGCCAUUUGCCUUAACUCUACAAGCAUUCUGACUCGGAAAUGUCCUAGUUCUCAUGCUCGUCUCCAACAAACUCUUCUCAAUAUUCCUGCUCUUCCAUGCGUGACCAAUUAAAUAACCAGUACCAAGCCGAUGAGUACUUUGAAUGUACUCGCAACCAACCCAUAAUAUGGAACGAGGCACUAACAAUGCAUGAUAUAGAAAAAGUAGGUAAGUUUUGCGGAAAGCUAGUUUGAGUGCAAUGACAUGAUCAAUCUUGUAAGAACAUGUAUCAAUAAGUUGAAGAUUUCCCUAUGAACAACUUAUAAUCAUACUCAUAAGACGGGGUUCAACGUCCCACGUUCAAUCCCCAAUACCAAGUCGUCAGACUUAGCUCAAGUAUCAUCCUUCUCAUGCCAUCAUCUUUCCCACAUACUCUCACACACGCACACACUUGGUUUAUAGGAAAACAACUUGACAUAGCUUAAUAAGCACCACCCAACAGUCCUUGAUUGUGGACAUGGCUAUUCGAAUAGUUUUACACUUUGUAGAGGUUACUCGUUGUACCCACGAGAGUCGGGGAUCUUCCGUGUCAUCCACGGCACGCAGUAUUUCACAUACCCGAGGUAAGCACCCGAACAAUGCCUUUCCCUUGACAACACUAAACAAAGAUUCCAAUCAGUUGGUACACAACCCACACGGUGUACAGCAUACGAGCCUCGCUCUAGAUCGUAUCAUCCAUGCAGGGACCAACGGUGUGCCUGGUGCCUGUGAAAAAAGCUCACAGUUUCCCUACCUGGCACGACCCCGUAAUGAGAGUGACCAUGCCACUCCCACCACUAGUAAUGUGGGCUCUCUGCUAGUAUCAACCAAAGUAAUCAACAAGGCCCUGUCUCAUAAGGGGUAUCGUGGUCACACAUGUAUGGUUGGGACGGUCGACAAAUCUUAAAUCUAAUCAUGUUUCUGAAAUCACACACACAAAACCUUUAUCGAUGCACCACUUCUUUCUCAAGUGGUCACUCAUCUCAACAUAUUCACCCUCGGGCAGUAGUGGCACCCGACGGGGUUUUAGAAAAGCCUUUGAAAACAUUUCCUUCAUCGUCACCAUGUAUAUUCCCAUCCCUUUUUGCGUAGUAACUACUAGCAACUAACUACAUCCCACAUGCAGAACCCUCAUAAGUGGUAGGGUCAUAUCCAAGUGCAAGUUUCAACGAGGUGUUUCUCGGAGACAACCCAACAAACGGGGGGGGGGGGGGUCUUCCGACCCAACAUGAAUAUAUGCAAAAGUAAGGUGAUAUAUGACAUGCAAAUAAAAGAUUGUUACACACGGUCACAGGGAUGCUUUCCUUGCUCAACAAAGUCAUCGGGGUCUUUGAAGUCUUCUGGUCUAACUCCCUCAUCAACAACGUAAUCUAUCAUCAUGAUAAACACAAAAAUAAUAAGAAUCACAACAAAAACAGAACACAAAACUCACUUCUAAAAUGUUAUCCUAUUCUGGAAAAUACUGGAUACAACACUAAAAUUAUCCUACUAAGGUUUUGUAGUGAAAAAUAUUUUGGAAACUUUUUAAAAGUGGCUAAAAAUACUUAAAACUAGGUUUUAAAAUAAAAUAAUGUAUAGAAAUUUAAUAAAAAAUUACACAAGUGGUAUUAUAAAACACUACACAUUUUUAAAAGAUUUGUGGUGGAAAAAUAUUUGGAUUUGGACAAAUGCUCACCCAUGUGGGAUUUUUGGAAAAUACGAGAAAAUAAAAAAAAAUGGGGCAGCACCCGUGGGCGAGACUUGGCCAGAAGCUGGGCCGGCCCAGCCAGCCCAGGAACGCGGUCGUCAGGUUUGAACCUGACGUGUGGAGCCCUGCGGUCAGCGGCUGAGAGAGGGAGAGGCAGAGGCCACGAGGUUGGGUCCCCUUUAGGGACCUUCUUCCACCUCAGGACCGAAGUGGGAGGGGAUCACCACCGUCGGCUCCGUCCACGGCAUUGGCUCACGAGCACGGGAAUGGAUCGGGAUGGUGUCGCAAUUUGAGGGGAGGUUGAAGGGGUAUCUGGGGUGGCGGAACCGUCGGCAGGGAAGAGGUUGCUGCAAACGUGCGUCAGGACGCGGUUGUCGCCGACGUUGCUUUGCGGGAAAAGGAGUGGUGAAGGGUGGGGAUGCAGCUAAGGCUUGUUGCGAUCUUGAUGGAGGAGAAAGGGAGGCUGGAGCGGGCUUGUGUCCCGAGAUCGACGGAGCCACGAUGCGGCGGUGCCUCGGUUGAUCUCAAGCACUGCUACUGGGGGCUAAGAGGGGGCUUUGGGCGGUCGACGAGGAGUGGGAUGGAGGGACUAGAGGGGAGAGAUGAGCUCGGGACUGGCUUAUAUAGCCAGCCCGCGGUUCACCGUGGUCGUGGACCGCCAGAGUUGGACACACAAGCACUUGAGGCCACGUGAGGGGGUAGGAUGUGUCUACGGUGUUGUUGGGGGUCGACCAGGACAAGCAGGAGUGGGAGGGGAACCGGGGAAGGGUUGCACGCGCAAUACUUUGGUUGGUCGAAGUGGCGGCAUCGGGCACGCACCGGGGAGGCCAUUGGAGAGGGAGAAAGGAGGUGCCCGGGAGGGGGGAAUGUAGCGUCGGGCAGAGCGCGGCUACAGUGCGGCUGGGCAAUGUAACGCGCUCCAGAGAGCCCAAAUUGUAUGCCAAGAACGCCAAUGAUUCCUUUUGUGUAGAAAAGCAUGUCCAGGAGGUCAAGGGGGAAUAAACAAGUGGCCACAAGCCUUGGAUACUCUGUAGAUUCGACAGAGAGAGCGGAAUGGAGACAGAGGUGAGAUCUUGUUGUCCAUGAGGGGAUUUGGGGUGGUUUACCCCACCAAUAAUUGACCUAAGGUCGUGGGAAACUUUUUGGGGGUAAAAAGCAUAAGCAAAAGAGUUGUGGUAGAAAAAUGAAGUGAAGGAGAUGAGUAAAGGUGGUGAAAACAACAACUUUACCAAACUACCAAAAGGUGUUUGAUUAUUGUUUGGGCAAGUUACCUUUACCCAAUUGUUUUGAAAGUUAACAUGAUUACGUUGUGGUAAAAAUCAAGAGUGCUCACCAAAUUUUAGCUCAUUUGAGCAACGUUGGUAAUGCAAAUUUGAAAAUACCCAAGGAUUGACAGAAUCAGAUUCCUGAUGACUUUGGUGACCAAAUCAACUCCCAAAAAUGCACAACUUGGUGUAGCAUCCUUAUUUGGGGCCUAGAUCACUUGGGUAAAAAAUUAGAUCAUUUGGGUAAACUUGGCAAUGUAAAGUUGCUCAAACUUGGUUCUCGACAGGAAGGGUUUUCGGGUUCUUAUGUGAGCAAAAUCAACUUGUAUUGAUAUGAAACUUUGCAGGGACACAACAUAUACCAUGGGUCACAUGCUAGAAUGUUCCUGGAAUUUAUUGAGAAUAUUUCCUUUUGAAAUAUUUCAAAAGCUUCACAUAGGUAGAAAAGGUUUGGAGGGGCUUUAUCCAAUAUUUUGAACAUGACCAUGUGUUGAAACUCAUAUAUAUGGAAAAUAUAUGUCCACUGAGUUUCCCUAAAUUUUCUCAAAUAUUUUUCAGGCAAGAAAAUAAUUUCUCCCUAUGAAAUACCAUUUCUGGCCUCAAAAUGGGUGUUUAAAUAGAAUAGGAAAAUAACUUUUAAAAUAAUUAUUUUGUGGUUUUGGAAAGUCAUUUUGAUAAUAGAAUCAAUAUAAAAUCUUUGGGGUAAAUCAUCCUUCAUAAAUUAAGGACUUGUAGUGCAAAUCCCAAUUUAUGGGUUUUCAAACUUAACAAUAAAUAAAUGCCCUUUGUUGAGAUAACAUUUUUAUAAAAGUAGUUUGUCGUUCUAUACACAUGGCAUGAUCAAUGGGAAAGGGUUUGGGAUCAAGGAGAGAAGUUUUUAGAAGGAAGAUAGCUUUGGUGAAUUAGAACACAAUCAAGCAUACAAGCAAGUUGCAAUCAAAUCAAUCAUCACAAGCAUUCAAAAAGUUUUAAAUGGUUCCAAUAUUUGCAAAAACAUAAUGUGGCGAAGUGGUACAAACACAGGGUGUGACAGACCUACCCCCUUACAAGAAUCUCGUCCCCAAGAUUCCUAGGCUAAGCACUAAAAAGAUAAGGGAACUCAGAUGUAGGGUAGUCUUCACGCUCCCAUGUUGCUUCUACUUCAGUGUAGUUGCUCCACUGGACCUUGAAAUACUUAAUGGUGUGACUUUGGGCUCGACGCUCGGCUUCAUCCAGGAUGCGGAUUGGCCUCUCACGAUAAGUGAGGUCUGACUGAAGGUCGAUGGCGUGAUUAUCGACGUCCUUGUAGUGAUCCGGACCGCUGGGAACUUGGAGGCACUUCCGGAGUUGCGAUACAUGGAAGACGUUGUGCACAUCCAAAAGCUCGGAAGCUAGCUCCAGCUGGUAAGCAACUUCUCCUCACCUUGCGGUGAUCUUGAAGGGGCCAAUGAAUCUUGGUGUGAGCUUUCUCUUAACAUGGAAAUGCUUUGUUCCCUUGAGAGCCGUGCCACGGAGGUAUACGUAGUCUCUGUUGUUGAGGUCCACUUUUGGAUGGUGUGAGUCGGUGUAGCUCUUCUGUCUUGACUUUGCGAUUUCCAGACAUUCCUUGACGACUUGGACUUGCUCUUCGGCUUCACGGAGGAUGUCUGGCCCAAAAAAUAGUUCUUCUCUGGUCGCUGACCAGUUGUGGGGAGUGCGGCACUUGCGUCAAUACAACACCUCAAAUGGUGCCAUGUGAAGGAUGGAGUGAUUAAUGUUUUUGUAGGAGAACUCGACAAAGGGAAAACAGUCUUCCCACUUGGCCCCAUAUACCAAAACACAAGCGCGGAGCAUAUCCUCAAGUGUGUGAUUUACUCGUUCCGUGUGUCAGCCUAUCUGAGUGUGAAAGGCAGUGCUGAAGGAGAGCUUGGUUCCCAUGGCUUCUUGAAACUUCUUCCAGAAUCUUGAGGUGAACUACAUGCCUCAGUCGAACACGAUAUCUUUUGGAACUCCGUGAAGGCUCACGAUGCGGUUGAUGUAGAGGUUGGCUAGCUGGCUACCAUCAUAGGUGGUCUUGACGGGAAUGAAGUGGGCCACCUUGGUCAGGUGAUCGACAAUGACCGAAAUGGACUCAUGUCCUUUGCUUGAUCUGGACAGACCGAGGAUGAAAUCCAUCCCGACCUUGUCCCACUUCCAUUCUGGCACUUUUAGAGGUUGAAGCAGCCCAGCAGGUCGUUUGUGCUCAGCCUUGACCCUUUGGCAUAUGUCACACUUAGUGACAUACCAAGCUAUUUCACUCUUCAUGCCAUGCCACAGGAACCUUGCCUUGAGGUCUUGGUACAUCUUGGAUCCUCCAAGACGGAUGGAAUACAGAGUGUCGUGUGCUUCUUGCAAGAUCAGGUUCUUGAGCUAAGCCUUGUUGGGUACGGAAAUGUGAUCCCUAAACAACACAACUCCUUGCUAAUCCACACAGAAUCCUGGGGCAUUGCCUUUCUUAAUCUUCUGCUUGAUGCCUUCAAUGCUCUCGUGUUCCUUUUGAGCUUCCUUGAUGUCGUCCAUUAGUGUAGGCUUCGCUUCGAGGUUGUCCAAAAAUCCUGGUGCAACUAUCUCCAUUCCGAAGCUUUCAAGUUCUUCAUACAAGGCGGGUAGCCUUUCCUUGACCAUAGCAUUCAAGGAAUAAGGAUUUCUGCUCAAGGCAUCAGCUACCACAUUGGCCUUUUCGGGGUGGUAUUGAACACUCAGGUCCUAGUCUUUGAUGAGCUCCAACCAUCUUCGCUGCCUCAUGUUCAAUUCCUUUUGAGUGAAAAUGUACUUCAAACUCUUGUGGUCUCUGUAUAUCUCAUAUCGUUUCACUAGAAGGUAAUGUCGCCAUGUCUUCAAGGCAUGAACUACAUCUGCCAGCUCCAGAUCAUGAGUGGCGAGGGUGUAGUUGUCUAGACACAUAGGCUACAACUCUGCCUUCUUGCAUGAGGACACCACCAAGCCCGAUACUUGAUGCUUCACAAUAUAUCAAAAACUCCUUGUGAAUAUUGGGGGUGGCUAAAAUUGGGGUCGUUGUCAACCUCUUCUUGAGCUCCUGGAAACACUCUUCACACCUCGGCGUCCACUCGAACUUCUUGUCCUUCUUCAAGAGCUACGUCAUCGGUCGGGCGAUGCUUGAGAACUCUUCGACGAACUUGCGGUAAUAUCCGGCAAGUCCGAGGAAGAUUCUCACUUCCUUCACAUUGGUCCGAGAUUGCCACUACGUCGCAGAUUCAAUCUUCGUAGGAUCAAUCGACAAUCCUUCUGUUGUCAUCACAUGGCCCAAAAAUCCAACUUCAUGCAACCAAAAUUCACACUUGCGGAAUUUGGCAUAAAUUUGGUGCUCCCGAAGCUUAUCCAGGACCAUCCUGAAGUGUUUCUCAUGUUCUUCUUCAGACUUGGAGAAGAUGAGUAUGUCGUCAAUGAAGACAAUGACAAACUUGACCAAAUACACGAUGAAGACUUUGUUCAUGAGGUACAUGAAGUAGGUUGGGGCAUUGGUUAACCCAAAUGACAUGACCGUGCACUCGUACAGGCCAUAUCUGGUUACAAAUGUCGUCUUUGGAAUAUGUUUGAGUCUAAUCUUUAGUUGGUAGUACCCAGACCUGGGAUCAAUCUUGGAGAACACUUUGGCACCAAUCAACUGAUCAAACAGGUCUUCAAUAUUAGGGAGUGGAUACUUGUUCUUUAUUGUGACGACAUUGAGGGAACGGUGGUCAACAUAGAGUCUGAUAGUUCCGUCCAUCUUGGACACAAAUAGAACAAGUGAUACCCAAGGAUAGGCACUAGGGCGAAUAAAUUCUUUCCUAAGCUGCUCGGCUAGUUGUCUCUUCAACUAGGCCAACUCUUCGGACCCCAUUCUAUAGGGCUUCUUAUAGAUGGGUAUCGAUCCGGGCAUUAGUUUGAUACUGAACUUGAUGUCUUGGUCAGGAGGCAUCCUAAGAAUCUCAUCGGGAAAGACAUCCGGGUAUUCACUUACCACUGGCACUUGGUCCAACUCAAUUCCCGAGAGGCAAUUAACCCGAGGGGCUUGAGCGUAGGCAUGGUUUGAAACAUACUUCACUUUGACUCCCUGACUAUUGGUCAUGGUGACGGCCCUCUUGGCACAGUCCAACAAGCCUUGGUGAUUGGUCAACCAAUCCACGCCAAGGAUCACAUCUAAGCCUUGCAACUUUAGGAUGAUGAGAUCUGCCAGGAAAUCUACUGCCUUGAUAUUACUCCCAACUCCUUUAUAUUGUAUCUUAGACCUUAAUACUGCACCCGGGGUUUGUACCAUUACCAUACUACCCAAAGGUGUGGGCUCCAUACCAGUCUUUUGUGAAAACUUGUGAGUAACAAAAGAAUGUGAAGCACCACAAUCAAAUAGAACUGUUGCUGGGGUUGACUUGACAAGGAACGUACCCAGUAUAACGUUUGGGUCUUCCUAGGCUUCCUUGGCGGUGACGUGGUUCACACGAGGCUUGCCAUAGUUGGGCUGGUUGCGGGGAGCGGGGUUCUUGGGUGGCGCUCCACUACCUUGUCCUUGAUUUGGCGCAUUGGGGCGCGGUGCAUCGGGCUUCUUGUUGGGGCACGUCCUCGAGAGGUGCCCAGGCUAUCCACAUCAAAAAUAGGUGACCUGUCCUGAGUUGUUGUUGUUGGCACCACCGCUGUUGGGAUUGUUGUAUGCCGGCUUGGCGUUGGCACACUACUGAUGCUCGUAGCUUGGGCAAGGAGGAGGGGGCCUGACUUGCUAAGGCUGAUAAGUUAGUUUUGCUUUGGCCAGUUGCCAAGGGCGAGGCUUCUGGUUGCUGUAGCUGCCCUUGUUGAUCAUCUUGCAUUUGUGAGUGUCUUCCAUGGCAUGGCUCUUGUCUUCGAGCAUAAGAGCCUUGUUCACCAGGUCAAAGAAGGUUCGACAAUCACAGACAACAAGUUGAUACUGCAGGAGUUGCUGGAGCCCUUCCAUGAAGUGUUGUGUCUUGGUUACCUCAGUGCUCACGUCUUCAGGUGCAUACCUUGAAAGAAGAUUGAACUUCGGCAGGUCUUCCUUGACACAGCUACUUACUUGCUUUAGCGCUCGCAAUUUCCAUUUCUUGUUAGCCAUACUCACAGAUGGGAUGUGAGCAGUGCGAAACCCUUGCCUAAAAUCUUCCCAAGUGAUCACACGGUCGCCUUGCAUGACCUUGAACCCAUACCACCAAGCUCUGGCGGUACCUCCGAGGCAGCGAGAGGCAUAAAGAACCUUCUCACGAUCCUCAUUGCAGUUGACCAAUGCAAGGAGGUCCUCGAUGGUGCGGUUGUAGUCAUCAGCAUCAAAAGGCUUUGGAAUCUCAAUGAAAGUUGGCGGCGAAUUCCUCAUGAACUCCGACACAGUAGUGCGUCCAUUAUUGUUCUUGCCCUGUGGCUGGUUGUUCACAAGGGUCUGGACCAACUGCUGCAUAGAGGAAACAUUAGCUUGGCGCUCCUCCAAGAGAACUUGGAGAAACUAAGCUAUGGUCAUGUUCUCCGUGGAGUUGGCGGCGGUGGAAUGUCGCCUUGUGGCUGCUCCUGGCGACCUCCAGCUUGAGCAAACCCACCGGCCUCCGGCUGCUGGCUAGAGUUGUUGGUGCUAGGGUUUCCAAAAGUGCUGGUGCGAACCGCAGUCACCAUCCUGUUCGGAGCAGCCGAUUCAAACAACUGAUAUAGGCAAAGAAGCAACAAGAGAAAUGCACGCCUAAGGGGGUUGGUAAAGUGCAAGUGUGACAAACAAAGGUCGUAACGACCCAACUCAUACCAUUAAGAUAAGAUAGGUGAUGUAGUCGCUUACACGUUUCCUAAGGCAACAACGCGGCUUGCAUCGAUGCACAAACAAUAAAAGAAACAACAACAUGCACACAUGGUUUCAUAUGAACCAUUACAUGGACUCGACAUCGCAUGGCUUAUCCUAACCUAGGGGUUCUUGGAUUUCAAGUGGUGGAGUGCUCGAUCUCGUAGUUACGUUCCUCUAGGUCUUCCUCCUGGUCAUCAUCUGUAUGUGCAUCGUCUCCCAUCGAAGGGGUCAAAGGAUGAAGAGGUUCAUCCCAACGAAGCUUUGCCGGUCGAAAGCUGAAGAGCCCACGAUACUCCUUCGCACUCAUGCGAUGAUGCCAUGUCGUUGCAUCUGUGGUUGGGGGUACUCCUCCUUUGUACGCGAUAGCUCGUUGUCCCUCGGGGUCUCCAUCCUUCUUGAUCUUGUUUGUCUUUGCAUUGGCCAGUCGGAGUAGCUCACGAGUGUGGUGAAGCUCCUUGCAAAGCCUCACACACUCCUUAAUCAGGUUGUGAGCUAGACUGUCGGUGGAGAGGUUGAAGUAGGUAUGCAAUUUGAGUGGUGUUCCAUCCUCCGGGGAUGGGGUUAAUGUCCAGCUCUCGUCAAUAUCGUCCUUUCAAAACACAAAGUGGCGACUAGUCGUCUCAUCAGCCAUCUCUCGAAUGAUGUCUCGAAGGUGGAUGAGUGCCUUCCGUGCAGUUGUCUCCACUGCUAGCGCCAAGGUCUCCAUCUGUGUUCCUUCAAGCAACCAACUCAUUGGGGACUCAUUUAUCUUCACGACCACAUCAACGUUGUACUCCUUCAUGGUGGCAUCGGCCCAAUGCUCGUGGUAGAGGAAAACGGGUGAUCGUGGAGCUGUCACUUCUCGAGGUUGUCCUCAAGGAGUAGGGGAAAGCUGCUUGCUAGGAGGUUUUCGGGUAUGACGGCCAUCUACAAAGUUUUAAGGAGAGGUGUCAGUAUGCUUUUGAAAGUAGAGUGGAAGAGGUAAGAAGUGCACAAAUUCCUAAAUAUAGGUACUAUGUUUAUUCUCAGAAAAAGGGUUUAUCCUAUCUGACAUCCAUGCUAACUAAGGCUUCCUACAAUCGGGAUGGCUCUGAUACCAGCUCUGUGGGAACUCCGACUUAUAGGUCGAGAUCACCUAAUGCACGUGUACAGUGAUCCAAGAGAUCAAUGCUCAGUGAACACACAGAAACUGAUUAACAAGAGUCUUACAUCCAUACAUACCGUCUCAUACAAAUCAAGACCAUUAAGGUCAAGUCUUACACAGAUAGGGCCUCGAAGGCCGACACACCAAACAUAACUAGCAGCGGAAUUCUUGAUCGAACGCAUCAACCCAAGCCAUCUGCCUUAAACCUAUAGGCAUGUUUACUAGGAAACGUCCUAGUUUGAAUGCUCGUAUGCAACUAACUCUUCUCCAUAUUCCUGCUCUUCCAUGCCUGGCCAAUUAAAUAACCAGCAGCAAGCCGAUGGGUACUUCAAAUGUACUCGCAAGCAACCCAUAAUAUGGAACGAGGUAGUAACAAUGCAUGAUAUAGUAGAAGAAGGUAAAUUUUCCGCAAAAAUAGUUUGAGUGCAAUGACAUGAUCAAUCUUGUAAGAACAUGCAUCAAUAAGUCGCAUAUUUCCAUAUGGACAAGUUAUAAUCAUCCUCAUAAGCUGGGGUUCAACGUCCCAUGUUCAAUCCCCAUACCAAGUCGUCAGAGUUAGCUCAAGUAUCAUCCUUCUCGUGCCAUCAUCUUUCCCACAUACUCUCUGAGGGAUCGAUAGAAGAUGUGUCUAAAGGGGGGUGAGUAGACUACUUGUCAAUAUAAAAUUUCUAAGCUAACCCAAUUUCAAGGAAGGCAGAAAUUCAGUAGUUCUAACAAGUCUAGUGCACCCUACACAUGGUAGUCAACAUAAAUGGCAGCAGAAAAGUAAAGACUUUGCACAUGUAAAGGAGUAGAGAUUAGGAGGUCAAACUCAAAGCUUGAAACAACAAUGUUUUGCAUGGUUCCGGUAGGUGGUGCUAUCGUAUGUCCAUGUUAGUGGAGACUUUAACCCAUGGAGGGUAACUAUUGCGAGGGUCCACGGAGGGUUCCACCCAGAAGGGUCCACGAAGAAGCGGCCUUGUGUAUUACACCACGGCUUCCGCCCAUGAAGGACUAGCCUUACUCACGAUAGAUCACGAAGUAGGCGAUCUCCUUGUCCUUACAAACUUCUUGGUUCUACUCCACAACACGAAGUAGGAGGCUCCCAAGCAACACCUAACCAAACUAGGAGGCACCACCCUCCAAAAGGUAAUAUAUGUGGUAGAUCAAUGAACUCCUUGCUCUUGUGCUUCUAAAGAUAGCCUCCUCAACACAAAAUCACUCUCUCAUAGAAUAUGCAUGGGUAGGAGAGAUUUAUUUGGUGGGAAGUUGUUUGGGGAGGCUAGAGAUCAAGUUUCAAAUGGUUGUACUAGAAUAUCUUGGUCUCAACACAUGAGUAGGUGCUUCUCUUUCAGAAAAUGGAUUUGGCAAUGAAGUCUGCAUUCUGAGUGCUUUUACCAUGAGUGAGAGGUGGGUGAAGGGGUAUAUAUAGGCAGCACACAAAAUCCAGCCGUUACACCUAAAGUGGCAAACUCGGUGACACCAAAGUUACAAACUCGGUGACACCGAAGUUAUAAACGAGGUGGUAUCGAUUAGAACAAAAGGGAGAACUUUUGAAUCUUGCUAAUACCGAUAUAGACAACUUGAUGGCACCGAAAUGGUGGCUAACGGUCAGAUGCCCAAACUCAGUGGCACCGAUACUCAAACUCAGAAAUUCCGAUUUUGUGUAUCUUGGCAACAGAAUGUUGGUCACACUGAACUCGGUAGCACCGAUAUGGAUUCGGCUGCACCGUUUUCAUGGGAAUGGCUAGGGUUUCUGUUUGAGGUCAAACUCGGUGGGUCCUAAAUGUGGAAUUUGGUGACACCGAAUUUGAGUAUGUGGAUUUGACAGAAUGAAUAUGUGGGAAAAUAACUGAGUAUUUUUGGUGGCUAACUUUGAGCACUUUGAGCACUCAGUUCAUUUUACUACCUCGGCCCCUUUUUAUAGUAUUGGCUUUCCUAUGGACUCAAAAGUGAUUUCUCACAAAUAUAAAAUGAAGAGUCUUCUAGCUUCAAGCAUGAGCCAAUAUUAUUCCUUUCUUGCAACAAGGGGCAUCUCCACUUAGCCUUGACCCAAAGCUCUCCAUGGACUAGACCUGGAAAAUCUAGGUAAAAGUAUUAGUGCAAGAGACAUUUAUGUUGUCAUGAAUUAUCAAAACCACCAAGGGAGCAUAUGUGUUUUCAAUCUCCCCCUUUUUGGUAUUUGAUUACACCAUACAAUCAAAGCUUCAAAUAAAGAUAAGCAUUAGAAUAUGACAUCUUUGAGGGAAACAUGACUAGUACAGGCUCCCCCUAAGUGUGUGUAAUUCCUUUAGAGGAUAGUUGCUUUGGAAUGCAUGGACACACACAGGGUAGAAGGACCAGACAAGUCAUCGACAUCGUUGCUAUAGGCAUCAAACAUGUGUGAAUGAAGGGAUUCCAUGUUCAAGACUCCCUCUUGCAAACAAUAUGUGCAAGAAACAAGAGGUCAUCAUGAACAAGGAUAUGAUGCAUAUUCUUACCUUGAGGAUCUUGAGCAUCUUAACAUAACAACACACUUGGGAAAACAAAUGUUAGAAAACACAAGAUUACUCCAUUGUAAAGAUGCAAAUAUCUUCAAAAGUACCAAGAUUUUGAAGACAUAUUGAAGAUAAGACUUAAAGAAAGGAUAUGUCUCCAAGAGAAAUAAGAACUUUUCUCCCCUAAGGAUGAAUAUGUGAUCAUUUCCUCUCCCCCUGAAUCAUUGCAUUGGAUACUGAGAGUAGGUAGGGUAAGAUAAGUUCAAAGCAAUAACACAAUUUUAUCUCUCUCCCCCUUAAUGUAUAAGGUUUGAUAUAUCUCCCUUCAGGAACAAAUAUCUCCCCAUAGUGAUGUUUCUCCCCUAUAAGUAGGUUCAUUGAAUAUAAGCUUUGAUAUUUCUCCCCCUUUGGCAUAUCUUUCCAAAAAGGUCAGAGGGUAAGGGCUCAUUGAGAGAAAGGGAUCCUGGAUACUUCUCUAUUUGAGAAGGGUUCCUUGAAUUUUUCUUUUCUCCCCCUUAGAUAGUCUGCAGGGUUCAUUGAAUGUUCUCUCCCUCUGAUAUGGAAAAGAGUUCCUUGAACUAUCUCCCCCUAUGAUAGGGAUCCUAGAUGCUUCUCCCUCUUAUAUUGUAUGGGAUCAUAGUGAUUUUUCUCCCCCAAGAGAAGUUUUCUCCCCCUAGAAGAAUAAGGCUAAAAUGGAUUUUGUCUCAGAAUAAUUUCCAAUAAGAUCUUAGGUGGCAAUGAAACAUGGGAUCAUUGGUAGAUAUUCUCCCCUAAGGAAAAAUCGAGAAGAAAAUAUCAGAGAAACUAAUGUAGUUAAAAUAUUGGAGUCACCGAGGCAAAGUGGUUCGGUAGAACCGAAAUGAGAUUCAGGCCUCUAGGAGGAAUCGGUUGGACCGAGUCUCCGAGAUCAGUGAGCCCGAGUUGCAAUGAAAAUAAACUACUUAACUAAAUACAGACCGAUUGAAAGAAUUGUUUCAAGAUUCCAAUUGUAAAUGAUACCAAUUGAGAAAGGCAAACAUAAGCAAAAGAAAAACAUAAGGUAGCAAGUUUUUUUUUGA